This 137608-nucleotide long non-coding RNA is filed under the name Hordeum vulgare. Its description in RNAcentral is "long non-coding RNA (HVUL_LNC006406)". Lineage: Eukaryota; Viridiplantae; Streptophyta; Magnoliopsida; Poales; Poaceae. The record is from RNAcentral.
AACACUCUCUUAGCACUAGUGAUAAGCACUCACCACCGUUGUAUAUGGCCUAACCGGACGCCCGUUCACUCUCGAUUGCCAACACACGCUGCAGCAGCUAGGGUUGGCAGCCGACGCCGCCCGAUCCGGCGACCCGCCGACGCCGCCCCCUCAGCCCCCAGGUACUCUCGUCCCUCCUCUUCACUCCGCCUUGCCCCUCCAUGUCUCCCUUCCUCCUCUGUCCCGAUGCACACGGCCGGCCGACUCCGUCCUCCCCGCUCCUCCAUCCCCUUCCGCCCAGAUCCGGCUGGACGUCCGGCGGCCCAGAUCCGGCUGGACGUCCAGCGGCGCCGGCGCACCAGCCUACUGCCUCCAAUAAUGUUAUAACAGAACAAUAGGUGCUGGACAAUAUGUUAGUUGACGAUCCACCAAUUGAUCAAGAUCCAACCUCCUCUGCCAGGGCUUUCUAUAGGAUGGUUAGCAGUGUUGAUGAGAUUGUCCAUGAGAACACAACACACUCGCGUCUCUCUGCAGUAGCCCGUUUGCUAGCAAUGAAAUCUCAGUAUAAUAUGUCAAUUGCAGAAUAAGAUGAUGUAUUACAAAUCAUCCAUCAACUUAUGCGGUUAUGCCUCCGGGUGCUAACUUGUCCAAGGACUUCUACCAAUCUAAGAAACUCUUAGAAGGCCUUGAUAUGUCUUAUGUCAAGAUUGAUGUGUGUAAGAAUAACAGCAUGUUGUACUAUAAAGAUAAUGAGCAUAAAGAGAAGUGUAACAUUUGUUGUACAUCUCACUACGAGGAAGACCAGAGUAAAGCCCCAUGAAAAAGAAAGAAAAUACAGGGAGUGAAGGGUCCUCCCUCCUCCGUGUCGCUCCCGCGAGCGACCGGGGGAAACCCUAGCUCCCCUCCCCCUCUCCCGGCUCUCCUCCCCCCUCCACUGCCCUGAGGCACCGCCAGGCGUGGGUGGUGGCGGGGCCUGAUUACUCUCCUCGCGUCGUGGUGUCUGGUACGGGAUGGACGUUUGUGAGGAGGCGUCGUAGGGCCUGGCGGAGCGACGGUCGGCUUGCGGGGCGGCAGCCUCUUCCUCAGGAGGCGGAGCGGCGUCAUCUUGGCGCUCGGCUCAGGCACGGCGGCUGCCCGUCAUUCUCCAUCGGGUGGUUGCUUGUGGGACGAUAGGAGUCUGAUCCACUCGCGAAGAUGUUGCGCGGAAUGGGCUGCAUGCGGUCGGCUCCACCAUGGCCGUUGGCUGGUCGAGGGGGCGCUUGGCAGAGGUGGUGGCGGGGCGUGCUCCAGGCGCCGGUGGUCUUGCCAAAUCUGAUCUGGCGUGGGCGGCUCCUCCGGCCGUUGCUUCACAGGCGGCGCGCGGGUGCGUGCCCAGCGGCUUCGACACUUGGAGCUCGUCGGGCGGCGGGUUGGUAGUGGUCCGGUGUGACUGCUGCUCUGGUCGUGGGUGGCUCCACGGCAGCUUUGCAGGUCGGAUGCGGCGGCGGCUGCCAUUUUCUGGCGUCGGCUCGGCUGUAGCCGGCUUGUGUCGGCCCUCGGUCCCUCUCCUCGUUGUCCGGGUUACUUUCGUUGAAGGGUUGGCCCUCUCCCAGCUGCAGUCCAUCGCUCUUCUCGUGCCCGGUACUACAAGACCGACCUCGUCUCGCUGUUGCAUGUCUGACCUUGUCUCGCGCCCGAUGCAACAAGACCGAGCUCGUCUUGUGCCCGGUGCUGCAGGAUGGGUCGAUGGAGGCCAGUUUUGGCCAGCCUAUUGGGUCUUGGUGCUGGGGCCGCCCAGGGGUGCGAAAGGCAGGACCUUUCCGCUCGUCUCUUUGGUUGGGGUGGCGGCGGGUCUCGGGUGAGGUGGUGUCAAGGUCUUGGAUGCUAGGGAAGCGGCCUGGUGGUGGUAGCCCGGUGCUCAUGGGCAAAGCUAGUGGCUUGGUGCAGCCCGAUGGCCAUGGCCAUGUGGGCGGCAUGGUAGCCGGGGUGUGGCGUUCGAUGGCGGUGAGUGUUGGCCGCGGACGGAUUGGCGGCGGCGAAGCUCGUUCCCUUCUUGAAGGCGUCGUUGCGGCUCUCAUUGCCUUUCGUGUUGCUCCAGGGAAAAUUCUGAUCCUCAGAUCGGGUCAUUUCUUCGUGAUGGCGUGUUCACGGUUGAAACCCCUGGUUGCUCUUGUAGUGCUAGGGGUGGUGUUGCUGUGCUCAGCGCUUAUGUAUCCUGCAUUGGGUGUGUGCGUGUGUUGUGGUGGCGUGCAUUUGUCCGGGUUGUUGUUGAUAGUUGCUUUAUAUAUAAAGCGGGGCGAAAGCCUUUUUCGUUAAUAAAGGCCCACAUGAAGUGGUGAAAUCUUGAGAUACCCCCCCCCCCCCCCCUAAAGGCACCCUAUUGAUGGUGAAGCUUGUCAAGGGUUUGACAAGGACUUCCCAGAAUUUGCCGAAGAUUGUAGAAAUAUCCGUCUUGUCAUAGCUGGUGAUGGUUUUACACCAUACAAGUUGAAUGAUGGUACAUAUACUUGCUGGCCUGUUUUUGUAGCUCCAUUAAACCUUCCACCUGGUAUUCUCUUGAAACCAGAGUAUUUAUUCCUUAGCCUUGUUAUGCCUGGUCGUGAACAUCCUGGUAAAAAUUUGAGUGUCCUAAUGCAACCUUUAGCUGAUGAACUGAUGCAGUUGUGGGCGGGGCUUGAAACAUGGGAUACUUAUCACAAGGUAAACUUUCCAAUGAAAGAGGCAUUUCUAUGGUCAGUCCACGACUUUCCCGCCUUUGGUAUGUUUGCUGGGUGGGGUACCCAUGGCAAGCUAGCAUGCCACGAAUGCAUGAGUGAUUCCAAAGCAUUUACUCUUCAAUACGGGUGGAAGCAUUGCUGGUUUGAUUGCUAUAAGUUAGCAUGCCUUUGUCAUUUACUCUUCAAUAAGCCCGACUGACAGGCAAAAGCGAAUUUCCCUGUCAAGCUAUCCCUGUCGUCUUUUCCUGACGGGCGACCGAUAGGAAAUACUUUCCCUGUCAGGUUCCCCCCUUUUCCUGUCUGUUUUCAGCCCACAGAAAUAUUUCAGUUGAUAUCAUCUUGGAAGUAAAAAAUGUUUUACCCUGUCAUAGUUGCAUACCUUAGUUGGCACUGUCUCCAAACCCUAACAUAAACCUUCAGUCCCAAAGUAACAUAUCAAGGAGAAAUAUAGUACAGAUAGUCCCCAAGAAUAAGUUAUAUGUUUCCACACUACCCAUUUCCAUCAGCAUGUUAACAAAGUGGAAAUGAUAAAUCCCAAACGUUCAGGAUUUGACCAUCACAAAUCGAACUUUUUCGAUGGCAGUUUUAGUGAUGCGAGGAUGGCAAGUUUAGUUGACACACACGGCAAUUUUCUGGCAAAAAAUACACUGAGCACGGAGUUACAAUGCUCGCGUCACUAAAAUUGCCAUUGAAAACAUUUGAUUUGCCAUCGUCAAAUCCCGAACGUUCGUGCGUUAUCGGGGUCCUAACAAAACACGCCCGCAUUCCCUCCGCCCUCCCCUUUUCGCUACCGCGAUUGACCUUAUUGUUGAAAAAGCUACCUUCCUAUGGCCUUCAGCAAAGGUUUCCGUCCAGUACUAUGAAUAGAAGAAUAUUCUCUUGGGGAUGAAGAGUUGUCCUUUUUACAAUGGAAAAGCAUGUUACUCCUCCAUCCCUAUUUCCAUGACCGCUUGUUUUUCUUGAAUAAAUUUAAGCACUGGUUUUACCAAUAAUAUAUUAAUUAUAUUUUAUAACUGUUAAAACCUGCAAAUUGAUAUGAAUUUUAUUCCCCUUCAUCCAAACUCUAAAAAGGCCACAUGAUAACUUUACAAGAAAACACAUAGUUUCACAUCGCAUUAUAAGAAUGUCCCUUUAAUAAUGGGCAUGAAUCUUAUGUUAAAGCAAGUUAGAAUCUGCCAGAAGAAAAGAAACAAGUUAAAAUAUUCCUUUGUAGUCCAUUUCCUUCAAGAAACAUUUAAAUGUCCUCAAGAAAUGCAGAACCCCAAUAAUGUUUCAUACUCUAGAAGUUUUUGAAGCAACCUGAACCAAACACUGUCAUAGAUUAGUUUUAAUGAAACUAUUUCAUAAUUUAAAACAUGUACACUACAUGUCUGUUUCCCAUUCCCUGCGAGUAUUAUCACUCCUAGGCUACAAGAACCAUACUCGAAACCGAAAGACAUCAACAAAAAAUCACAGACACUCCUAUCUUUUCAAAAAGAAAAUAUCUUCAUCACAACAACGAUCACAUCUACAAGAGGAAGACACAAAUAAAGAGAACAAACAAGUACAUCACUAAACAAAUUGAAUGUCAUCUUACCACAUCAAUCUUUUAGUCUUCAGGUCUAAGUUCGCGGAAGUCAAUCCCGGGCACAACACCUGUAGUUUCAAACAAACCAAGCAGAAUUAAAAACCAAGAUCCAAAAUUAGGGAUCAACAAGCACAUGUGAGGCUCCGGUUCUCACAUCGAUCUGCUUCUGCAAAUAACAUGGCGGCUUUCUUGAGCCUGUGUGGUGGAUGCAUGCAAUGGAUCGCGACAACGUCGUUGACGAUCUCCUCCACAACAAAGAGCCUCAAGUUUCAUUGUUCUCACUUCAGGCAAUUAAUGUUCAGUCAUGCACCACAACUCAGUGGCGGAACUUGAUGAAGAUUGUUCAGUCAUGCUCCACCACUCAGUGGCAGAACUUGAAGAAGAUUGUUCAGUCAUGCUCCACCACUCAGUGGCAGAACUUGAAGAAGAUUGUUCAGUCAUGCUCCACCACUCAGUGGCGGAACUUGAUGAAGAUUGUUCAGUCAUGCUCCACCACUCAGUGGCGGAACUUGAUGAAGAUUCUUCAGCCAUGCUCCACCAGGGGGGGGGGGGGGGGCAGCGGCCCCCUCAGCAUUGCACAUAGCUCUGCCACUGGCCCCUAGGCUGUCACACUUAUCGCCCUGGCCCAUAGUCAGCCCUUACUUACAGGGUUCUGAAGGGCUGAUGGGUUGAACUUUACCAUCGCUACACUACCAGCAGGGGGGGGGGGGGGGGUCAGUGGCCCCCUCAGCAUUGCACAUAGCUCCGCCACUGGGCCCUAGGCUGCCCAUAAGCAGCCCUUACUUACAGGGUUCUGAAGGGCUGAUGGGUUGGACUUUACCAUCACUAGCACUACCAGCAAGGUGUGCAAGUUGGAUCCNNNNNNNNNNNNNNNNNNNNNNNNNNNNNNNNNNNNNNNNNNNNNNNNNNNNNNNNNNNNNNNNNNNNNNNNNNNNNNNNNNNNNNNNNNNNNNNNNNNNAGAAAACUGCCUUUUUCACUUCACCGGCUGAAGAAACUGACGCUAGGAAGCAUCGAUGUAAAGCACCCUCCGUUGCUAAGACAAGAUUUAUUUUGAGACACAACACUCUCUUAGCACUAGUGAUAAGCACUCACCACCGUUGUAUAUGGCCUAACCGGACGCCCGUUCACUCUCGAUUGCCAACACACGCUGCAGCAGCUAGGGUUGGCAGCCGACGCCGCCCGAUCCGGCGACCCGCCGACGCCGCCCCCUCAGCCCCCAGGUACUCUCGUCCCUCCUCUUCACUCCGCCUUGCCCCUCCAUGUCUCCCUUCCUCCUCUGUCCCGAUGCACACGGCCGGCCGACUCCGUCCUCCCCGCUCCUCCAUCCCCUUCCGCCCAGAUCCGGCUGGACGUCCGGCGGCCCAGAUCCGGCUGGACNNNNNNNNNNNNNNNNNNNNNNNNNNNNNNNNNNNNNNNNNNNNNNNNNNNNNNNNNNNNNNNNNNNNNNNNNNNNNNNNNNNNNNNNNNNNNNNNNNNNNNNNNNNNNNNNNNNNNNNNNNNNNNNNNNNNNNNNNNNNNNNNNNNNNNNNNNNNNNNNNNNNNNNNNNNNNNNNNNNNNNNNNNNNNNNNNNNNNNNNNNNNNNNNNNNNNNNNNNNNNNNNNNNNNNNNNNNNNNNNNNNNNNNNNNNNNNNNNNNNNNNNNNNNNNNNNNNNNNNNNNNNNNNNNNNNNNNNNNNNNNNNNNNNNNNNNNNNNNNNNNNNNNNNNNNNNNNNNNNNNNNNAGAUCCGGCUGGACGUCCAGCGGCGCCGGCGCACCAGCCUACUGCCUCCAAUAAUGUUAUAACAGAACAAUAGGUGCUGGACAAUAUGUUAGUUGACGAUCCACCAAUUGAUCAAGAUCCAACCUCCUCUGCCAGGGCUUUCUAUAGGAUGGUUAGCAGUGUUGAUGAGAUUGUCCAUGAGAACACAACACACUCGCGUCUCUCUGCAGUAGCCCGUUUGCUAGCAAUGAAAUCUCAGUAUAAUAUGUCAAUUGCAGAAUAAGAUGAUGUAUUACAAAUCAUCCAUCAACUUAUGCGGUUAUGCCUCCGGGUGCUAACUUGUCCAAGGACUUCUACCAAUCUAAGAAACUCUUAGAAGGCCUUGAUAUGUCUUAUGUCAAGAUUGAUGUGUGUAAGAAUAACAGCAUGUUGUACUAUAAAGAUAAUGAGCAUAAAGAGAAGUGUAACAUUUGUUGUACAUCUCACUACGAGGAAGACCAGAGUAAAGCCCCAUGAAAAAGAAAGAAAAUACAGGGAGUGAAGGGUCCUCCCUCCUCCGUGUCGCUCCCGCGAGCGACCGGGGGAAACCCUAGCUCCCCUCCCCCUCUCCCGGCUCUCCUCCCCCCUCCACUGCCCUGAGGCACCGCCAGGCGUGGGUGGUGGCGGGGCCUGAUUACUCUCCUCGCGUCGUGGUGUCUGGUACGGGAUGGACGUUUGUGAGGAGGCGUCGUAGGGCCUGGCGGAGCGACGGUCGGCUUGCGGGGCGGCAGCCUCUUCCUCAGGAGGCGGAGCGGCGUCAUCUUGGCGCUCGGCUCAGGCACGGCGGCUGCCCGUCAUUCUCCAUCGGGUGGUUGCUUGUGGGACGAUAGGAGUCUGAUCCACUCGCGAAGAUGUUGCGCGGAAUGGGCUGCAUGCGGUCGGCUCCACCAUGGCCGUUGGCUGGUCGAGGGGGCGCUUGGCAGAGGUGGUGGCGGGGCGUGCUCCAGGCGCCGGUGGUCUUGCCAAAUCUGAUCUGGCGNUGCUUCACAGGCGGCGCGCGGGUGCGUGCCCAGCGGCUUCGACACUUGGAGCUCGUCGGGCGGCGGGUUGGUAGUGGUCCGGUGUGACUGCUGCUCUGGUCGUGGGUGGCUCCACGGCAGCUUUGCAGGUCGGAUGCGGCGGCGGCUGCCAUUUUCUGGCGUCGGCUCGGCUGUAGCCGGCUUGUGUCGGCCCUCGGUCCCUCUCCUCGUUGUCCGGGUUACUUUCGUUGAAGGGUUGGCCCUCUCCCAGCUGCAGUCCAUCGCUCUUCUCGUGCCCGNNNNNNNNNNNNNNNNNNNNNNNNNNNNNNNNNNNNNNNNNNNNNNNNNNNNNNNNNNNNNNNNNNNNNNNNNNNNNNNNNNNNNNNNNNNNNNNNNNNNGGCCUUCAACGUGCCGUCGGCCGCGGAGAUGAAGGCGGCGCUCACGCCGCAAAGGGCGCUCAGGAACUCGGGCCGCAUCAUCCUCGCGCAGAUCAGCGCUGGCUCUGCAAUCCCCCUCGUCGGCGUCCUCCUGCUCGCUCCCGAACAAGCCCGCGACUUUCGCGCACCACGGGGCCGCCAAUUUUGCUGCUGUCCGCCGCCAGAUCGGGCUCCAGCUCGAGGCGGCUUGGAUCUUGUCUAUGGUCAACGCCGGCCUCACGUCUCUAGAACGGGCCGAGUGGCUGCCUCUCUGUCCGCCUCAUCCAGCUCUCGUGACUGCUCAUGCAUCUACCUUCGGCAUGGGAUGCAGUUCCUGCUGCUACGUGGUGCUGCUCCACCUGCAUGUGCUCCUCCUGGCUGGCUGCUGCUCUGUUCCUGCAUGCUUGUCUGCUGCUGCUUCUUGCAUGCGCUGUUUGCAAUCUUGCUGCGUGGUAAUGCGUUCGAUUAGCUGCUGCCUUUCUACAUGGCCGGCUGUGUGCUGCAUCUCGUGCUCCCCAUGGCCGUUUACCAUCGCUUGGCCUGCUCUACUCUGUUUUGGUCUCUGAUUUUUUUUACGCUGCUAUUGCAUCUAGUCUUGAGUUUAUUCUAUGCUUCUAGCUUUCUAUAUUUUUCGGCUGCGUCCAUCAAAUCCGGCUACCUUUGUCAUGUCAUGCUUCUAGCUUUCUAGUCGAUGUUUUGUGUUAUCACGUCAUGCGAGUCCACCAUACNNNNNNNNNNNNNNNNNNNNNNNNNNNNNNNNNNNNNNNNNNNNNNNNNNNNNNNNNNNNNNNNNNNNNNNNNNNNNNNNNNNNNNNNNNNNNNNNNNNNGAGUGGAGGUAACAUCCAACAGUAUUUCAUAUAGUUACUAUACCUUCCCAACGCUCGAACAAUGGAGUGUGUGGUGGGUUUAACCACCAAGUUCGAGAGCUACCUCGAGACAGGGACACUUAUGCAUUUUCUGUCUCGCUCAUGAUGGUGAGGUGAUAAGGAGUAUUCUCGCAUGUGUAGCAACCAAGGGCCUCUCAACUAACAUAUUUUUGGACAUGGUAUGAUGUAAAUCUUCUAAUUCGAUUACUAUGAUAAGUGUGGGUCAAAAAUACGGUCAAACGCAUGAGUGCAUAGAAUCAUGCACAAGUUAUCCUAUUAUAAGAGCAAGGCACAUGACACAAGGGCCAUGGCACAAAUUUGUCUCAUUCAUAUGACCAUGAAGUGCUAAGAGAACACCAAUACUAAGCAUUUCAUCAGUGUGAUUGACAAGGACAUGCAGGAAAUUACAAAGUGGAAAAAGUAUUAUGUUCAUGCAAUGAUGCAACCUACACAGGAUUGACUCUAAUGUUAUACAUGCAUGAAGUAAAUACUUGUUACCGGAAAAGCAUUGGUAUGGCGUAGAAGUAGCCGAGUCCUGUCUUGACUCUAAUUUCUUCAUGACCAGCACCAUCUUCUUCUGAGAAUAAGUCAAGAUAGCAAUGCUUCUCCAAAGUACCUAAACCACCAAUUAAGCACAAUAUGGUCCCCCAAACUUAUUGGGUCCAAAGUAGUUAGUCCAACUACAAUAUAUAUAGGGUAAGAUCACUCAAUUAUGUGCAUAUAGAUAUAAGUUUUACUUUCAAGCACACCUUAACCUUUUAAUGGAUACGUCUGAUUUACCAUAUACAUAUAUUGGAUCAAAGAUACGAUAGACACGCCAUGUGCAUCUACACAUAGUAGAUAUGCCUACACAAGCCUAUCAAAAUCCAAGGAUAUACAAUUUGGACAAAUGAACACAUAAUUGUCAAUUACAGAACAUUCAUGUCGUCCAAAAUGGAUCAGGGUGACAAAUCAACAUAUGAUAGCACCCCAAGUUCAACACAUGAACCAGUAAAGGCAUCAAACCAUGUAAGGUAUGCAUUUUGCACAACCUUACAUGCAUGUCUCACCCCAGUAGAUGUAUAAGUGUAGGUAAUAUGAUUAUAACUCCCACAACAUUAUGAAAUAAAUAGUACGAGCUCAAAGACAUGCAUGGGAUAUUACCGGGAGACACAUGAAUUUCUCGGCAAGUUAUGUAGGUCAAAUGAAGACAAAGCCGAAAUAAAAUGACCAUGAAAAACACUACCAAGCCAGAGAUACCAUGUGUGAGAGAACACAAUGGUAUUUAGAAUUAUCAGUGGUGGUAGAUGCCAAAUGAGCACAAAGAUCGUUUUAUACUCACACAAGUGUGAUAUGGGAGUUAAACCAUAAGCAUAAUGUUUAGAUGUCAUACGUUAACAUCCCAAUUAGUUAGAUCAUAGUGUAGAGAAAUAAUUCGAAAGGCAUGCAUCAACUAUGCCCUUCUUUUAGGUAUGAUCGAGCGGCUAAGCCAUGAGUAUUGGUGUAGUAGGACGUCAUACUCACGCACAUCUAAGGGAUUUAGACACCAACAGGGUUAUUAUGUGAAUUAAUACAUGUGGAGCAUGACACGCCACACAGUUAUAGAAUAACCCCAUGUGGUAGAUUCUGAGUGGCAAUACAUCGGAUGUUUUAUCUUACCAAGGGAUGUGACGUGCACAAAGCAUAUCACACUCCCUUAAUGUGAUAAUCCAUGUAUUUAUCAUACAAGGCAAUCAAUCAUCCAACUAAGCUGAUAAGUGGAUGCCAAUUUGAACUUCGGAUGGCUUUGACAUCAAACGAAUUGAUUGGAUAAUCUUGCACCGUGAAUACUAGAUGGAGUCCAAUACAUAUAUACAUAUUUUGGGUUAGUGAUGUGCGUAGAGCAGAACACUCCCCCUUAAUGUGAUGAGCUAUUAACGUCUCAAAAGACCCACACAAUGGUGCAACUAGGAUGCAAGUAAUGAUCAGGACUACACACAACUAUAUGACAUACAUAACGACCUACACAUGAUAGAUAACACAUAACAAUCAUACUAGUAGGCGCAACAUGUCAAAGUACAUGCUAGGUAUCAAACCUAGACAUGAGAAGGAGUGGGGCAGGCAACUUUCAAUGUAAACAAUUUAAGUACAAGUUACCGCAAAGAGGCACAUUGGAUAUGGGAUAUGGGCUCGAUAAUCCAAAUGACUUGGCUUGAGAUAAUACAAUGAUGAAGAGUCCUCAAAUCUUCAUUGUGUAUCCAAGUCUCCAAUGUCCUCCAAAGUCACCUACUGAUCAAGUUUGAGCUUGUUGGUCCCCAACUACGUUGGGUCCUAAGAGGUUAGUCACAAUAGGCUUGGCAACCCAAAUGGUUCUUUUCUUGACACCAUUUUGACUACCAACAAACUUGGCAAACACAUUGCCAACCUUAUCCUUCCCAAGGGAAUAGCUAUCAUAAAUAGUGAUUGGGUUGGAUAAGUUACCUCUCGUGCAAGACGAAGCGACGUGACCCUUCUCACGACAUAAGUAGCAACAUCUACCCUUUGUUUUCUUCCCACUUGAUUUCUCACCUCGGGGAGUGUUGGCUUGGGUCUUAUUGGGAAGAGGCCUUCCUUCAACUUGUAGCUGAGUAUGUGAUUGAGUUUGUGGCCGCUUCCCUUGUUGCUUGUGACUUUGAGACUUCGUCUUCAGAGGGAAAGAUCUAACAUGGUGCCCUUUAACUUUGCACUUGAAGCAAAUGAUUUUGGCCGAAUUCUUAACUUGUUCUAGGCCACUCUUGUUCUUGUUUGAGUUUACUCCAACAUCAUUUUUGUCAUUCGGAGAUGUUUGCUCACACAGGACGUUGUUGGGUGUGGACAUCCCUUCAUGACACUGUUCCAAGUCUUUCUUCAAAGAAGUGACUUGGGCCUUGAGCUCUUCGAUUUCCUCUGCAUGGUUAGUAUCAACGCAAGUACUAGAGGAAGUGUAAGCUUCAAUGUUAGAUUAACAAGGCAAGGAAAGUAAUUCAUCAAACAAGGUAGCAACAUUAUGAGUAGAUGAAUUACGAGGACUAUCACAUGGAAAUAUAGUACUUUGACUAGAAGUAGUGCCAUUGUCCAUAUGAGGCUCACUUGAUGUUACCUUGGUGAUGGUAGCCUCAUGAGCUAACUUUUGCACAUUAUGGGAUGUUAGAAGAUUGGCAUGAGAGCUUGUGAGCAUUACAUGGUUUUCUUCCAACUUCCCAUAAUUGCUAGUUAGUAAAUGAAGUUGAGCACGUAGCUCAACAUUCUCCUUCAAUGUUGAUACUUCAAAUGAGGUAGAGUUAGAUGUACAAGUAUCAUCAACAAUAUGAGAGGAGUAAGUAGCAGUUAGAGACUUCUCAUGAGUAGAUUGAAGCUCCUCAUAGAUCUUAGAGAUUUUGAUGAGCUCUCCCUUGACACUAUUGCAUUCAAGGAGAAGGACCUCAAAAUCCUUUUUAAGUUUAUCAUGAGCAACUUCAAUCUCCUCUUUUGAAGAUCUUAAGUCUCUACAUGCUUGAUGACUCUUCUCAAGUUCAUGUUCGAGUUGUUCACUUUUAGCUUGUUCAUGAUUAAGUGAAUCAUUACAAUUUUCAAAGUAAGCAAGAACAUCUUGGAAUCUUUGAAGAGCGUUGUUUUUAGCUUUAUGAAGAAUUUUACUGAUCACAUAGAUAUUUUUCAGUCAAGUCAUCAUCAUCAUCCUUAUCGCAAAUAUCAUCGUUAUUGCACAGGGAAGAUGAUACCUCAUUAUUACCUCUUGCCAUGAGGCACAUGUGAACUGGAGGAGUUGAUGAUGAUUCUUUUGGUGAAUCAGAUUCUUCAUUAGUCAAAAGUACUUCAUAUUUCUUGAUUUCCCCUAAAUGAUUAGUCAUAGAGCAACUAGGGAGAAACAAGAUAUUUUGAUCAAGAGGACACGGGAUAGCAGGCAUAUCACCACACACAUUUGUCGAGGGAUCUUUAGGUGAAAUGCAUGACCUAUCAGCACAAUAAUUUACACUAUGUGUGGUGCUAGAUAUGCUCGUGUCCAUAGAGGCUAUGACAUUUUCAUCAACAUAUAUUUCUUCACUCACCGUGUCAUUACCUUGUGAGAUUGAAGAUGCUGAGGUGUGCAAGCAAUCGGAUAUGGAAGUAGUGGUGGACUCUUUAUGAUCGAAAAGAGUGAAGAGCUCAUGCACCAACUCCUUCAUCGUAAUAUCGUCUUUGUCAAGAUUGGACCCACCAUAUAAAUCUUCAAGUUUAGUCCAAACUUCGAACUAACUUGCAAGUCGAGAUAGACUUAAACACCUCAGGACUUAUGGUUCGAUGAAUGGCAAGAAAAGCCUCACAAUCAAGAUACAUUUCAUUAGUAGAUGAAGAUGCAUCAUCCUUUUUGUCGGAAAUCCCUACAAGAACAAUUAUUAAAGUAUUUGGGCCCUGGUCCGAAAGUGAUGAAGCAUAUGAAUUCUCCAUAGGGUAUAAUUUGUGCCAUCAAAGUCAAAGGUGUCAUUGUGCACUAAUCCAAUAGUCGACAUCGAUACUCUCUAGGUCGUGAAACCUAAUUAAAGAGAGACCUUGCUCUGAUAACAAUUGAAAAGACCACGAUGACGCCUAGAGGGGGGUGAAUAGGCUAUUUAAAAACUUCUUCGGAUUUGGCUUAAACCUAAUGCGGAAAUAAACUAAGAGGAUACUUUUCAAGCACAAAUCCUAAAUGCAAUAGGCACCGCAACGUGUACCAACAACACGAUCUACCAAGAUGGACACAAUACGGUUACUAACAAGCACAAAUAAGUUACACAAACUUACUUGAGCUAUAUCACACGACAAGUAGGUGAACGACACAAGAUACUAGAUCACACUAGAGCACAUGAUAUAUCAAAAGCUGCAAGUGUGAACGUGUGGAUAUAGAGGGUAUGCUUGAACGAUUAAUCUUGUACAAAGAAAUAGCCAACAGAAUAUAAUGAGCACAAACAAUAUGCAAUGUAUGUAUGCUCAAGUAACACAAGUAAACCACAAGUAAGGAGUUAGGGUUAAGGAUAACCAAGGUCACUGAGACAAAGAUGUAUCCCGAUGUUCACUUCCUUGGAGGGAAGCUAGUCACCAUUAGAGAGGUGGAUGUUACCACGAAGGCACACCAACGCCAAGAAGACUCACCCUAUUCUCCCUUUGAGAUAACACCACGAAGGCAUUUCUCAACCACUAGUGGUAAGCCUUGCUGGGUAACGUAGCAUAAAUUCAAAUUUUUCCUAUGCCAUAUUCAGAUCUUCCUAUGGAGAGACUAGCAACGAGAGAGGGCUAAGAGCAUAUCCAUACCUUUUAAGAUCGCUAAGCGAAAACGUUACUAGAACACGGUUGAUGGAGUCGUACUCGCAGCGAUUCAGAUCGUGGUGUGAUUCCGAUCUAGUGCCGAACUACGGCACCUCCGCGUUCAACACACGUGCAGCCCGGUGACGUCUCCCGCACCUUGAUCCAGCAAGGAGGAGGGAGAGGUUGGGGAAGAACUCCAGCAGCACGACGACGUGGUCUCCCGGCAGGGCUUCGCCAAGCACCGGCAGAGAGGAGGAGAAAAAAGGGCAGGGCUGCGCCGAGGGAGAGGCAAAACUCUGUCUCCCAAUGGCCAAAAGUGCCCAUAUAUAUAGGGGAAGGGAGGGGUUACGCCCCCUUGAGGGUUUCCCUCUCCUGGGGGGCAGCAGCCCUAGAUGGGGCUGGUGCGGCGGCCAAGGGGGGAAGGAGGGGUGUUGCGCACCCCUGGUGGGCCUUAGGCCCACCUGGCUUCGGGUUUGCCCCCCCCCCCUUCCCUCUCCCCUGCGCAUUGGGCUGAGUGGGGAGGCGUACCAGCCCACCUAGGGGCUGGUUCCCUCCCUCACUUGGCCCAUCUUACCUCCCGGGGUCGUUGCUCCCCUUUGGUGGACCCCCGGGGCCACCUCCGGUGGUCCCGGUGGUCCCGGUACAUUACCGGUGAUGCCCGAAACACUUCCGGUGUCAGAAACCAUCCCUCCUAUAUAUCAAUCUUUACCUCCGGAACAUUCCGGAGCUCCUUGUGUUGUCCGGGAUCUCAUCCGAGACUCCGAACAACUUUCGGUAACCUCGUAUAACAAUUCCCUAUAACCCUAGCGUCAUCGAACCUUAAGUGUGUAGACCCUACGGGUUCGGGAGACAGGCAGACAUGACCGAGACACCUCUCCGGCCAAUAACCAUCAGCGGGGUCUGGAUACCCAUGGUGGCUCCCACUUGCUCCAUGAUGAUCUCAUCGGAUGAACCACGAUGUCAAGGAUUCAAUCAAUCCCGUAUACAAUUCCCUUUGUCUGUCGGUAUAGAACUUGCCCGAGAUUCGAUCAUCGGUAUACCUAUACCUUGUUCAAUCUCGUUACCGGUAAGUCUCUUUACUCGUUCCGUAGCACGUCAUCGUGUGACUAACUCCUUAGUCACAUUGAGCUCAUGAUGAUGUUCUACCGAGUGGGCCCAGAGAUACCUCUCCGUCACACGGAGUGACAAAUCCCGAUCUCGAUUCGUAUCAACCCAACAGACACUUUCGGAGGUACCCGUAGUGCACCUUUAUAGUCAUCCAGUUACGUUGUUAUGUUUGAUACACCCAAAGCACUCCUACGGUAUCCGGGAGUUGCACAAUCUCACGGUCGAAGGGAAAGACACUUGACAUUAGAAAAGCUUUAGCAUACGAACAAUACGAUCUAGUGCUAUGCUUAGGAUUGGGUCUUGUCCAUCACAUCAUUCUCCCAAUGAUGUGAUCCCGUUAUCAAUGACAUCUAAUGCCCAUGAUCAGGAAACCAUGAUCAUCUAUUGAUUAACGAGCUAGCUAACUAGAGGCUUGCUAGGGACACAUUGUGAUCUAUUUAUUCACACAUGUAUUACUGUUUCCUGUUAAUACAAUUAUAGCAUCAACAAUAGACGAUUAUCAUGAACAAGGAAAUAUGAUAAUAACCAUUUUAUUAUUGCCUCUAGGGCAUAUUUCCAACAGUCUCCUACUUGCACUAGAGUCAAUAAUCUAGUUACAUUGUGAUGUAUCGAACACCCAUAGCAUUAUGGUGUUGAUCAUGUUUUGCUCGUGGAAGAGGUUUAGUCAACGGGUCUGCAAUAUUCAGAUCCGUGUGUACUUUACAAAUAUCUAUCACUCCACUCUGGACAUGGUCCUGGAUGGAGUUGUAGCGGUGUUUGAUGUGCUUCGUCUUCCGGUGAAACCUGGGCACCUUGGCUAUGGCAAUGGCCCCAGUGUUAUCACAGAAGAGUGUCAUUGGACCCGACGCGCUUGGAACCACUCCAAGGUCGGUGAUGAGCUCCUUCAUCCAAAUUCCUUCAUGAGCCGCUUCUGAAGCAGCUAUGUACUCCGCUUCACAUGUAGAUGCUGCCACGACUUCUUGCUUGCUGCUGCACCAGCUCACUGCCCCACCAUUCAACACAUAUACGUAUCCGGUCUGUGACUUAGAGUCAUCCGGAUCUGUGUCGAAGCUAGCGUCGACGUAACCCUUUACGACGAGCUCUUCGUCACCUGCAUAAACGAGAAACACUUCCUUAGUCCUUUUCAGGUACUUAAGGAUAUUCUUGACCGCUGUCCAGUGUUCCAUACCGGGAUCACUUUGGUACCUCCCUACCAAGCUUAUGGCAAGGUUUAUAUCAGGUUUGGUAUACAACAUGGCAUACAUUAGAGAGCCCACGGCUGAUGCGUAGGGGACAAAACUCAUCUUCUCUCUAUCUGCUGCCGUUGUCGGCGACUGAGUCUUACUCAAUCUCAUACCUUGCAAAACUGGCAAGAACCCUUUCUAUGAGUUUUCCAUAUUGAACUUCUUAAAUAUCUUGUCAAGGUAUGUGCUUUGUGAAAGACCUAUGAGGCGUCUCGAUCUAUCUCUAUAGAUCUUGAUGCCUAAUAUGUAUGCAGCUUCUCCAAGGUCCUUCAUCGAAAAACUCUUGUUCAAAUAGGCCUUUAUGCUCUCCAACAUUUCUGUAUUGUUCCCCAUCAAUAAUAUGUCAUCCACAUACAGUAUGAGGAAAGCUACAGAGCUCCCACUCACUUUCUUGUACAGACAGGCUUCUCCGUAAACCUGUAUGAACCCAAACGCUUUAAUCACCUCAUUAAAGCGAAUGUUCCAACUCCGAGAUGCUUGCACCAACCCAUAGAUGGAGCGCUGGAGCUUGCACACUUUGUUAGCACCCUUAGGGUCGACAAAACCUUCUGGUUGCAUCAUAUACAACUCUUCCUUAAGGUUCCCGUUAAGGAACGCUGUUUUGACGUCCAUUUGCCAAAUUUCAUAAUCAUAAAAGGCGGCAAUUGCUAACAUGAUUCGGACUGAUUUCAGCUUUGCUACGGGAGAGAAAGUCUCUUCGUAGUCAACUCCUUGAAUUUGUCGAAAACCCUUUGCGACAAGUCGAGCUUUGUAAAUGGUUACAUUACCGUUUGCAUCAGUCUUCUUCUUGAAGAUCCAUUUAUUUUCUAUGGCUCGCCGGUCAUCAGGCAAGUCCACCAAAGUCCACACUUUGUUCUCAUACAUGGAUCCUAUCUCGGAUUUCAUAGCUUCAAGCCAUUUGUUGGAAUCCGGGCCCGCCAACGCUUCUUCAUAAUUUGAAGGUUCACCGUUGUCUAACAACAUGAUUUCCAUCAUGGGGUUGUCGUACCACUCUGGUGCGGAGCGUGCCCUCGUGGACCUUCGCGGUUCAGUAGUAACUUGAUCCGAAGCUUCAUGAUCAUCAUCAUUAACUUCCUCUUCAGUUGGUGUAGGCGCCACAGGAACAACUUCCCGUGCUGCGCUACUAUCCUGUUCGAGAGGGGGUGUAAUUACCUCAUCAAGUUCUACCUUCCUCCCACUUACUUCCUUCGAGAGAAACUUAUUCUCUAGAAAGGAUCCGUUCUUGGCAACAAAGGUUUUACCUUCGGAUCUAAGAUAGAAGGUAUACCCAAUAGUUUCCUUAGGAUAUCCUAUGAAUAUGCAUUUCUCCGCUUUGGGUUCAAGCUUUUCUGGUUGAAGUUUCUUCACAUAAGCAUCGCAGCCCCAAACUUUAAGAAACGACAACUUAGGUUUCUUGCCAAACCGUAGUUCAUACGGUGUCGUCUCAACGGAUUUAGACGGUGCCCUAUUUGAAGUGAAUGCUGCAGUUUCUAAUGCGUAUCCCCAAAAUGAUAGCGGUAAGUCGGUAAGAGACACCAUAGAUCGUACCAUAUCUAAUAAAGUGCGAUUACGACGUUCAGACACUCCGUUGCGUUGCGGUGUGCCAGGCGGUGUCAGUUGUGAAACGAUUCCACACUUCCUUGGGUGUGUGCCAAACUCGUGACUCAAAUAUUCUCCUCCACGAUCAGAUCGCAGACAUUUAAUUUUUCUGUCACGUUGAUUCUCAACCUCACUCUAAAAUUCCUUGAACUUUUCAAACGUCUCAGAUUUGUGCUUCAUUAAGUAGAUUUACCCAUACCUACUCAAAUCAUCGGUGAGAGUGAGAACAUAACGAUAGCCACCGCGAGCUUCAACAUUCAUUGGACCACACACAUCAGUAUGUAUUAUUUCCAAUAAGUCGGUUGCUCUCUCCAUUAUUCUUGAGAAUGGAGUCUUAGUCAUCUUUCCAUGAGGCACGGUUCGCAUGUGUCAAAUGAUUCAAAGUCAAGAGACUCUAAUAGUCCAUCAGUAUGGAGCUUCUUCAUGCGCUUAACGCCGAUAUGACCAAGGCGGCAGUGCCACAAGUAUGUGGGACUAUCAUUAUAAACUUUACAUCUUUUGGUACUCACACUAUGAAUAUGCGUAACAUCACGAUCGAGAUUCAUCAAGAAUAAAGCAUUCACCAGCGGAGCAAGACCAUAAAACAUAUCACUCAUAUAAAUAGAACAACCAUUAUUCUCUGACUUAAAUGAGUAGCCGUCUCGCAUUAAGCAAGACCCUGAUACAAUCUUCAUGCUCAAAGCUGGUACUAAAUAACCAUUAUUAAGGUUUAAAACUAAUCCCGACGGUAGAUGUAGAGGUAGCGUGCCGACGGCGAUCACAUCGACCUUGGAGCCAUUCCCGACGCGCAUCGUCACCUCGUCCUUGGCCAGUCUCCGCUUAUUCCGAAGUUCCUGCUUUGAGUUGCAAAUGUGAGCAACAACACCGGUAUCAAAUACCCAGGAGCUACUACGAGCGCUGGUAAGGUACACAUCAAUAACAUGUAUAUCACAUAUACCUUUAACGUUGCCGGCCUUCUUGUCCGCUAAGUAUUUGGGGCAGUUCCGCUUCCAGUGACCCUUUCCCUUGCAAUAGAAGCACUCAGUCUCAGGCUUGGGUCCAUUCUUUUUCUUCUUCCCGGCAUCUGGCUUACCAGGCGCGGCAACGGAUUUGCCAUCUUUCUUGAAGUUCUUCUUACCCUUGCCCUUCUUGAAACUAGUGGUCUUGUUGACCAUCAACACUUGAUGCUCUUUCUUGAUUUCUACUUAUGCAGACUUGAGCAUCGAGUACAACUCAGGAAUGGUCUUCUCCAUCCCUUGCAUGUUGUAGUUAAGCACAAAGCCUUUGUAGCUUGGUGGGAGAGACUGGAGGAUUCUGUCAAUUAUAGCAUCAUCCGGAAGUUCGACUCCAAGUGAAGUCAGAUGACCGUGUAACCCAGACAUUUUGAGUAUGUGCUCACUGACAGAACUGUUCUCCUCCAUCUUACAGCUAAAGAACUUGUCGGAGACUUCAUAUCUCUCGACACGGGCAUGAGCUUGAAAAAAUAGCUUCAGCUCUUGGAACAUCUCAUAUGCUCCGUGUUGCUCAAAACGCCUUUGGAGCCCCGUUUCUAAACUGUAUAGCAUGCCACACCUAACCAGAGAGUAGUCAUCACUCCGCGUUUGCCAGACGUUCAGAAUGUCCUGGGCUGCUGCGGGAGCGGGAGGGUCACCUAGCGGUGCAUCAAGGCCAUAAGCCUUUUUAGCUGCUUCAAGGAUGAGCUUCAAGUUGCGAACCCAGUCCGCAUAGUUGCUACCAUCAUCUUUCAGCUUGUUUUUCUCUAGGAAUGCGUUGAAAUUGAGGUUGACGUUGGCCAUCUACAAUAUUUAUAAAGACAACUUUUAGACUAAGUUCAUGACAAUUAAGUUCAUUUAAUCAUAUUAACUAUGAACUCCCACUUAAAUCGACAUCCCUCUAGUCAUCUAAGUGAUACAUGAUCCAUGGUGACUAACCCGUGUCCGAUCAUCACGUGAGACGGACUAGUCACCAUGGUGAGCAACUUCAUGCUGAUCGUAUUCAACCAUACGACUCAUGUUCGACCUUUCGGUCUCUUGUAUUCGAGGUCAUGUCUGUACAUGCUAAGCUCGUCGAGUCAACCUAGGUGUUUCGCAUGUGUAAAUCUGGCUUACACCCGUUAUAUGCGAACGUUAGAAUCUAUCACACCCGAUCAUUACGUGGUGCUUCGAGACAAUGAUCCUUCACAAGGGUGCACACUUAGGGGAAUACGUUCUCGAAAUUUUAAGAGGGAUCAUCUUAUUAUGCUACCGUCAUUCUAAGCAAUAAGAUGAAAAACAUGAUAAACAUCACAAUGCAAUCAUACAAUGACAUGAUAUGGCCAUUAUCAUCUUUGCUCUUUCGAUCUCCAUCUUCAGGCAUCGCAUGAUCAUCAUCAUCACCGGCGUGACACCAUGAUCUCCAUCAUCAUGAUCUCUAUCAUCGUGUCUCUGUGAAGUCGUCACGCCAACUACUACUAUCACUACUACUAUAGCUAACCGUUAGCAAUGAAGUAAAAGUAGUAAGCACAUGGCGUUGCAUCUCAUACAAUAAAUUAAGACAACUCCUAUGGCUCCUCCCGGUUGUCAUACUCAUCGACAUGCAAGUCAUGAAACCUAUUACAAUAACAUGAUCAUCUCAUACAUCAUGCAUGCAACAUCACAACUUUGGCCAUAUCACAUCACAUGUCAAACCCUGAAAAAACAAGUUAGACGUCCUCUAAUUGUUGUUGCAAGUUUUACGUGGCUGAUUUGGGUUUCUAGCAAGAACGCCUUCUUACCUACGUGACAGCCACAACGAUGAUAUGCCAAAGCUAUUUACCCUUCAUAAGGACCCUUUUCAUCAAAUCCAAUCCGACUAGAGUAGGAGACACAGACACCCGCUAGCCACCUUUAUGCACGGUGUGCAUGUCUGUCGGUGGAACCAGUCCCACUUAAGCGUACGUGUAAAGUCGGUCCGGGCUGCUUCAUCCCACAAUACCGCCAGAAAAGAAUAAGACUAGUAGCGGCAAGCAAAUUGACAAAUCAUCGCCCACAACUUUUGUGUUCUACUCGUGCAUAGAAUCUACGCAUAGAAAACCUGGCUCGGAUGCCACUGCUGGGUAACGUAGCAUAAAUUCAAAAUUUUCCUACGCCAUAUUCAGAUCUUCCUAUGGAGAGACCAGCAACGAGAGAGGGGUAAGAGCAUCUUCAUACCUUUGAAGAUCGCUAAGCGGAAGCAUUACUAGAACGUGGUUGAUGGAGUCGUACUCGCAGCGAUUCAGAUCGCGGUGUGAUUCCGAUCUAGUGCCGAACUACGGCACCUCCGCGUUCAACACACGUGCAGCCCGGUGACGUCUCNGAUGGGGGUGGUGCGGCGGCCAAGGGGGGAGGAGGGGUGGUGCGCACCCCUGGUGGGCCUUACGCCCACCUGGCUUAGGGUUUGCACCCCCCUUCCCUCUCCCCUGCGCAUUGUGCUGAGUGGGGAGGUGCACCAGCCCACCUAGGGGCUGGUUCCCUCCUCCACUUGGCCCAUCUUACCUCCCGGGGUCGUUGCUCCCCUUCGGUGGACCCCGGGGCCACCUCCGGUGGUCCCGGUGGUCCCGAUACGUUACCGGUGAUGCCCGAAACACUUCCGAUGUCCGAAACCAUCCAUCCUAUAUAUCAAUAUUUACCUCCGGACCAUUCCGGAGCUCCUCGUGUCGUCCGGGAUCUCAUCCGAGACUCCGAACAACUUUCGCUAACCUCGUAUGACAAUUCCGUAUAACCCUAGCGUCAUCGAACCUUAAGUGUGUAGACCUACGGGUUCGGGAGACAGGCAGACAUGACCGAGACACCUCUCCGGUCAAUAACCAUCAGCGGGGUCUGGAUACCCAUGGUGGCUCCCACUUGCUCCACGAUGAUCUCAUCGGAUGAACCACGAUGUCAAGGAUUCAAUCAAUCCCGUAUACAAUUCCCUUUGUCUGUCGGUAUAGAACUUGCCCAAGAUUCGAUCGUCGGUAUACCUAUACCUUGUUCAAUCUCGUUACCGGUAAGUCUCUUUACUCAUUCUGUAGCACGUCAUCAUGUGACUAACUCCUUAGUCACAUUGAGCUCAUGAUGAUGUUCUACCGAGUGGGCCCAGAGAUACCUCUCCGUCACACGGAGUGACAAAUCCCGAUCUCAAUUCGUACCAACCCAACAGACACUUUCGGAGGUACCCGUAGUGCACCUUUAUAGUCACCCAGUUACGUUGUGACGUUUGAUACACCCAAAGCACUCCUACGGUAUCCGGGAGUUGCACAAUCUCACGGUCGAAGGAAAAUACACUUGACAUUAGAAAAGCUUUAGCAUACGAACAAUACGAUCUAGUGAUAUGCUUAGGAUUGGGUCUUGUCCAUCACAUCUUUCUCCCAAUGAUGUGAUCCCGUUAUCAAUGACAUCUAAUGCCCAUGAUCAAGAAACCAUGAUCAUCUAUUGAUUAACGAGCUAGCUAAGUAGAGGCUUGCUAGGGACACAUUGUGAUCUAUUUAUUCACACAUGUAUUACUGUUUCCUCUUAAUACAAUUAUCGCAUGAACAAUAGACGAUUAUCAUGAACAAGGAAAUAUGAUAAUAACCAUUUUAUUAUUGCCUCUAGGGCAUAUUUCCAAUAAGCCUUUGAGGUGGCUUCCAAACCCUCACAAACUUUUCCGGGGGUAAUCACACGGAUUGAUUCAUCUCCGAAGAACUCCUACCACCUAGGAGUCUCCAACCUCCAAGAGUAACAAGAUCACGGGGAAUGCUCAAAACUUGCUCAAAUCUCAAAUAGCUUGGGUUGAGAGGAGGAGAGGGAGACGAUCUAUCUUUUGAUUGGAACAACUCUCAAAGGGGUUCACGAAUGCUCUUGGGAUCUAAGAUUUGGUGUGAGCAAAUGUGUGUGAGGUAGAAAUGUGUUCUUAUGAGGAUAUGGCUGUGUUGGGCACCCUCUCACGAAGUGGGAGGGGGUAUUUAUAGUGGAGAGGGGAAAGUGACCGUUGGGGUCACUUAAGUCUGACAGUGGUCGGACGUCCGGCAGUUCUCGGAUGUCCGGACACCCACAAGGGGUCGGACGUCCGACAACGGUCGAUCGUCCGAGUGAUGUAUAUAUAUCAGGAACCACUGUAUAGACGAACAGGGACCGGACAUCCGGAGGGAGCCGGAUGUCCGAGACUUUGGCUAUGUUCACGGGCACCGGUUUUCUGAAAGCGGUCGGACGUCCGGCCCUCGGACGGCAGGGGGAGGACGGAAGUCCGAGUUAUUUGACUCUGGUUUUCUCUGGUGCAAGGUUCCGGUUUUCCGAAGUGGUCGGGCGUCCGGCCCUCGGACGUCUGGAGGGAGCCAGAAGUCCGAGUUAUUUGACUGUGGAUUUCUCUGGUAUAAGGUUCCGGAUUUCCGAAGUGGUCGGGCGUCCGGCCCUCGGACGUCCGGAGGAAGGCGGAUGUUCGAGGCAUUGGUUAUGUUUUCAAAUAAAAGCAGAGCAGUGGAGAUGUGGUAUGAGCAGAAAAGUAGAGAUGUAGUUUGAGCAAGUUCAUCGCAAAACCUGUGAUCCCCUCUUAAUAGUGCGGGAUCCCUAAAGACUCACGAAUCAUAAAAGGGUACUGAUGAUCCAUACUUGAGUGUAUACUUUUAUUCGCUGAUCAUCACUCUGCACCACUAACGUCAAAGGAACUGAUACCUUUGAGUUAGCCCUUUCACUUGAGCUUGAUGUUGUUGUUCCUUCGUGGCUCAAGUUGAAAGCAAGACAUGAUGAAGUCUUCAAGUAGCUCUCCCAUACACAAUGUGGAAAGCCUGGCUUAUGUAUUCAUCUUCAUUUGUCCACCAUGUGAACAUCCACAAGAAUCAAGCAUGUAGUUCUCAGGAAUGUUUAUCUUGAUCUUGUCCUUGUUAGCACAUGAGCUUGUCCUUAUCAACACGUGAUCAUUAACAACAGCUUAAAGGGGAUUAGUGAUUAGUUAUCUAUAUGUGUGUUGUCAGCAACACCAAAACACGAUUAAGGGCAUGACUGCACUUUGAUGUAUGGCUCCCCAAAAAAUUCCCGCCUACAAUGGUAUCUAGGAUGUACCUAUUCCAAGGAGAAAUCCCAACAUAGAAACUGCGAAGGAGGACGGUAGUGGAUUGCUUACAAGUAGAUCUACUUUGAGCAUUGCAAAUCCUGUACCAAGCGUCCUUUAAAUUUUCUUCCUCAUUCUGCCUGAAAUUGAGAACUUCAUUCUCGGGAGUAUCGUUUGGAGUGGUGGGUCUAGCCAUUGAUGGACUAUCUCACACACAAACGAGCAGGAAGAGAGAGUGAAACGGGCAAAAGAAAACGGCAAAGGAGAAAGGCAAAUGAAAACGGCAAAUGUGAAGUGGGGGAGAGGAAAACGAGAGGCAACUGGCAAAAAAAGUAAAUGCAAGAGAUGAGUUUGUGAGACCUACUUGGAUAGAUCUCUCCUUCCCCGGCUACGGCGCCAGAAAUACUUCUGCUACUGCAACAAAAGACGUUCCAACGGCGCCAGAAAUAGGCGUGUUACGGCACCAAGAAUCCUUCUGCUACGGCUACGCCUUAAGGGACUUCCUAGGCAAAUAUGCAAAGGAUUUCCCCCGUGGCCUUGGAGCCUUGCGUUGGUGUUCCCUCGAAGCGGAAAGGGUGAUGUAGCGCAGCGGUGGUAAGUAUUUGCCUCGGUUUGAGAACCAAGGUAUCGAUCCAGUGAAGGAGUAUCACAAGUGCCUGCACAAACACAAAAAACUUGCUCCCAACGAUAUGAAGGGUUGUCAAUCCCUUAUAGAUUAUUCGCCAAGUGAGAACUGUAAGCAACAAAGUAACAAAGCAAGUAAAAGCGAAAGUGGAAAUGAUAGGUGUGAAUAGACCCGGGGGCCGUAGUGUUUACUAUUGGCUUCUCUCAUGAAAGCAAGUAGACGGUGGGUGAACAAAUUACUGUCGAGAAAUUGAUAGAACCGUGCAAAGUCGUGACGUCAUCUAUGGCAAUGAUUAUAUCUAUAGGCAUCACGUCCAAAACAAGUAGACCGAUACUUUCUGCAUCUACUACUAUUACUCCACACGUCGACCACUAUCCAGCAUGCAUCUAGUGUAUUAAGUCCAAAAGAACAGAGUAACGCCUUAAGCAAGAUAACAUGAUUUAGAUGGACAAUCUCAUAUCUACGACAGAGCCCACCUUGUUACCCUUGAUGGCAACUACACGAUGUGUGCCUUGCUGCCCCUACUGUCACUGGGAAAGGUCACCACACGGUAAGAACCCAAAACCAAGCACUUCUCCCAUUGCAAGAAUCACAGAUCUAGUUGGCCAAACAAAACCCAAGACUCGGAGAGACUUACAAGGAUAUCAAAUCAUGCAUAUAAGAAAUCAGCAAAGACUCAAAUAUAUAUCAUAGAUAAUCUGAUCACAAAUCCACAAUUCAUCGGAUCUCGACAAACACACCACCUAAGAGGAUUACAUCGGAUAGAUCUCCAUGAAGAUCAUGGAGAACUUUGUAUUGAAGAUCCAAGAGAGAGAAGAAGCCAUCUAGCUACUAACUACGGACCCGUAGGUCUAAAGAGAACUACUCACGAGUCAUUGGAGGGGUGAUGAUGUUGAUGUAGAAGCCCUCCAACUCCAAAGUCCCCUCCGACAAGGCACCGGGAUGGGUCUCCAGAUGAGAUCUCGCGGAAACGGAAGCUUGCGGUGGCGGAAAAGUAUUUUUGUGGAUCCCUUGAUUUUUUCUGUAUUUUAGGGAAUAUAUAGGCGAAAGAUCUAGGUCAGGGGGGCGCCAGGGAGGCCACAAGUNNNNNNNNNNNNNNNNNNNNNNNNNNNGGGCUUGUGGGCUCCCUGUAGCCCUCCUGGAUUGGCCCACAAGCCCCCUGAUCUUCUUUCAUUCGGGAAAAAUCAUUUCGGGGAUUUUAUUCCGUUUGGACUCCGUUCCAAAAUCAGAACUGAAAAGAGCCAAAAACACAGAAAAAACAGGAACUGGCACUUGGCACUCAAUUAAUAAGUUAGUCCCCAAAAAGAUAUAAAAGGUACAUAAAACAUCCAAAGAUGACAAGAUAAUAGCAUGAAACCAUCAAAAAAUUAUAGAUACGUUUGAGACGUAUCAGACACGGCCUACCCCCGUGGUCGCGGGGUGGGGGCUUGUGGGCCCCUGAGGCUCCCCUGCCUUGGCUCCCAAGCUUCCUCAUCUUCUUCCAUUAUGAAAAAAAUCUUUUCGGGGAUUUUCUUCCCUUUGGACUCCGAUUUAAAAUCUCCUCUGAAAGGGGUCAAAAACAUGGAAAAACAGGAACUGGCACUUGGCACUGAGUCAAUAAGUUAGUCCCAAAAAAUAUAUAAAAGGCAUGCAAAACAUCCAAAGUUUGACAAGAUAAUAGCAUGAAACCAUCUAAAAUUAUAGAUACGUUGGAGACGUAUGAAGCAUCCCCAAGCUUAACUCUUACUCGUCCUCGAGUAGGGAAGUGAUAAAGAAUGAAUUUUUGAUGUGGAAUGCUACCUAGCAUAGUUGUCCUUUGCAACUUCUUUCACGUGACAUGAAUGUUCAGAUCCGUAAGAUUCAAAACAAUAGUUUGCUAUUAAAAUGAAAACAAUAAUACUUCAAGCAAACUAGCAAGGUAAUCAUGAACUUUCAAAUAACAAGGCCAAGGAAAGUUAUCCCUACAAAAUCAUAUAGUCUGGCUAUGCUCCAUCAUCCUCACACAACUAAUGUAAAUCAUGCACAACCCCGGUAUUGGCCAAUUAAUUGUUUUCGCACUCUUACUUUCUCAAACUUUUUAUAACUAUCACGCAAUACAUGAGCAUGAGCCAUGGAUAUAGCACUAUAAGUGGAAUAGAGUGUGGUGGUGGUUGUGAGACAAAAAGGAGGAGAUGGUCACAUUGACUCGGCAUAUCAAAGGACUAUGGAGAUGCCCAUUAAUAGAUAUCAAUGUGAAUGAGUAGGGAUUGCCAUACAAGAGAUGCACUAGAGCUAUAAGUAUGUGAAAGCUCAAAAGGAAAAUUAGUGGGUGUGCAUCCAACUUGCUUGCUCACGAAGACCUAGGGCAAUUUUGAGGAAGCCCAUCAUUGGAAUAUACAAGCCAAGUUCUAUAAUGAAGAUUCCCACUAGCAUAUGGUCGUGAAGAACAUGGUGCUAUUAUGUAGCACAAGUGUGGAAAAAAGAUAGUAGCAUUGUCCCUUCUCUCUUUUUCUCUCUUUUUUAUUUUUGGGCUCUUUGGCCUCUCUUUUUUUAUUUCCUCACAUGGGACAAUGCUCUAAUAAUGAUGAUCAUCACACUUUUAUUUACUCACAGCUCAAAAUAAUGAUGACUCUAAAGGAAAUGCCUCCAGAAGUAUACCAGGAUGUGCAACAAUCUAGCAUGGCGUAUGACGUUGAAAACAUCUCGCUAGCUAUCUUACGGUCAUGCAAUGGCAAUAUGAGAGUGACGGCACAAGUCAUGAGAAGGAACGGUGGGAGUUGCAUGGCAAUAUAUCUCGGAAUGACUAUGAAAAUGCCAUAGUAGGUAGGUAUGGUGGCUGUUUUGAGGAAGGCAUAUGGUGGGUUUGUGUACCGGCGAGAACUGCGCGGCACUAAAGAGGCUAGCAAUGGUGGAAGGUGGAAGUGCAUCUAUACCAUGGACUCACAUUAGUCAUGAAGAACGCACAUACUUGUUGCGAAAGUUUUUAUUAGUAAUCGAAACAAAGUGCUAAACGCAUACUCCGAGGGGAAGGGUUGGUAGGUGUUAACCAUCGCGCGAUCCCGACCUCAACACAAAGGAUGACAAUCAAUAGAUCAAUUAUGCUCCGACUUCCUAACAUAGCAGUUCACCAUACGUGCAUGCUACGGGAAUCACUAACUUCAACACAAGUAUCUCUAGAUUCACAACACCCUACUAACAUAUCUCUCAAUAUUACCGAAUCCACGUCUCAAAACUAAUUGAGAGGAAUCAAAACUUCUCUUUCUACUCAAUGCACAUGAAGAUGGAGGUUUUUGCAUCCUCUUUGGGUACCUAUCACAUUUGGGACUACUUUCAUAGCAUAAGCCAAUUACCAAAUCACGCACCCCGUGCUCUAAAAGAUAUAAGUGAAGCACUAGAGCAAAAGUAUCUAGCUCAAAAGAUAUAAGUGAAGCACUAUGAGCAUUCUAGCAAAAUCAUGAUGAGUGCAUGUCUCUCUCUCUCAAAUAGGUGUGCAGCAAGGAUGAUUGUGACACAACAAAAAUAAAAGACUCCUACGAUACAAGACGCUCCAAACAAAACACAUAUCAUGUGGUGAAUAAAAAUAUAGCUCCAAGUAAUGUUACUGAUGGAUUGAAGACGAAAGAGGGGAUGCCUUCCCGGGGCAUCCCCAAGCUUAGGCUUUUUUGUGUCCUUGAAUUUGGCUUUGGAUGCCUUGGGCAUCCCCAAACUUGAGAUCUUUCCACUCCUUAUCUCAUCUUCCAUGAGAACAUCACCCAAAACUUGAAAACUUCACAACACAAAACUUAAACAGAAACUCGUGAUAACGUUAGUACAAGAAAACAAACUACCACUUCUUUUGGUACUGUAGCAAACUUGAAUUCCAUCUAUAUUGGUGUUGGUCUACUGUAUUCUCACUUUUCCAUGGCUAGUACUCCCCCCCCCCAAUACUAACCAUAGUUUCAUCAAACAAGCAACCAACUCAACAAAAACAGAAUUUGUCAAAAACAGACCAGUCUGUAGCAAUCUGUAUACUUCGUGUACUUCUCGUACCUCAAAAUAUCUGAAAAAUUACGACUGACUGGGCAAAAAGCAUAUCAACCAGCAGCAAAAAAAUCAACUCAAAAGCUCUUUCUGAAUAAAAAUGAAAAAUCAUCUCGUGAGCGAAAAGUUUCUGUCUUUUUCCAGCACGAUCAAACAACCNNNNNNNNNNNNNNNNNNNNNNNNNNNNNNNNNNNNNNNNNNNNNNNNNNNNNNNNNNNNNNNNNNNNNNNNNNNNNNNNNNNAUCACAACAGAAUUGUGAUGGUGUGGACGCAACAAAACAGAAAGAAAAAAGAUAUAUUCAUUGGGUUGCCUCCCUACAAGCGCUAUUGUUUAAUGCCCUUAGCUAGGCAUAAAAGCGAUAGAAUCACGUAUCGUCGUCUUUGGUGCUCAAACCAUAAGUGGCCCUCAUCAUGGAAUCAUAAGGCAAUCUUAUUUUCUUUCUAGGAAAGUGUUCCAUGCCCUUCCUUGAAAUCAAAUAUUCCCUUCCGUCAUAUCGAUGAUAGCACCGAUAGUCCUUAGGAAAGGUCUACCAAGAAUAAUAGGGCAAGUAGGAUUGCAAUCAAUGUCAAGCACAAUGAAAUCCACGGGUACAUAGUUACUAUUUGCCAUAAUAAGAACAUCAUUGAUCCUUCCCAUGGGUUUCUUGGCAGUAGAAUCAGCAAGAUGCAAAUUAAGAGAACACUCUUCAAUCUCAUUAAAACCCAGAACAUCACAUAAAGACUUUGGAAUCACAGAAACACUAGCACCCAAAUCACACAAAGCAUUGCACUCAUAGUUUUUUAUUUUGAUUUUGAUGGUAGGUUCCCACUCAUCAUGAAGCUUUCUAGGGAUAGAGACUUCCAAUUCAAGUUUCUCUUCAAGAGAUUUUAUCAUAACUUCGACGAUAUGAUCGGUAAAGGCCUUGUUUUGGCUAUAAGCAUGUGGAGAGUUUAACAUGGAUUGCAUCAAAGAAAUGCAUUCAAUCAAGGAGCAACUAUCAUAAUUGAAUUCCUUGAAAUCCACGGUAGUAAUUUCAUUACUACUCAAAGUUUUAACAUCUUCUACUCCACUUUCAAUGCUUUUAGCAUCAAGAUAGAUGGACUCUAAAUCAUUGGGGAACUUUUCAACCAAAGUGGAUUCAUAUCCAGCCCCAUAAUCAUUAGGUUUGACACAAGAAAACAAAGAUUCAAUGGGAGUCACACCAAGCACUUUAAGAUCUUCGUGAUUCUUAUCAUGAGAACACGCCUUUUUAAGCCAUUCAUGUCUAGCACGAAUUUUGGCGGUUCUUUCUUGGCUCUCAAUCAUGGAAACACGCAUAGCUCUCAAAGUUUCAUCCAUGUUUAUUUUGGGAGGAGCACAUCUAACUUUCAAAGCAUCAACAUCACUAGACAUUCUAUCAACGCUCUUAGCCAAAUCGUCAAUUUUGAGUAGCUUUUCCUCUAUGGACGCAUUGAAAAUCUUUUGAGAGUUGAUGAACUCUUUGAUAUUACUCUCUAGAUCAGAGGGUAAUAUAUUGUAAUUUCCAUGGGUAUUGUUGUAGGAGUUGCCAAAAUUAUUAGAGGAGUUACUAGGAAAAGGCCUAGGAACAUAGUUUCCUCUAAAAGCAUUGUUGUUGCCAAAGUUAUUCCUACCAACAAAAUUAACGUCCAAGCUAGCAUUGCUACUCUCAAUCAAAGAAUACAAAGGCAUAUCAUUAGGAUCCAAAGGAGCACUUCUACUAGCAACCAAAUUUAUUAACUCGUCCAUCUUAGCACUCAACGAGUUAAUUUCCUCUAUAGCGUGUACCUUCUUACUAGUAGGUGACCUUUCAGUGUGCCACUGAGAGUAGUUUGUCAUGAUGUUGUCUAAGAGCUUUGUGGCUUCUCCUAACGUGAUUUCCAUGAAUGUUCCACCUAAGGCGGAGUCCAAGAUAUUUCUAGAAGCGAAAUUCAAGCCAGCGUAAAAGAUUUGAAUAAUCAUCCAAAGGCUCAAGCCAUGAGCGGGACAAUUGCUAAUCAUUAAUUUCAUUCUCUCCCAAGCUUGUGCAACAUGUUCAUGAUCAAGUUGCUUGAAAUUCAUGAUAUCAUUCCGGAGAGAGAUGAUCUUAGCCGGCGGAAAAUACUUGGAUAUAUAAGCAUCUUUGCACUUAUCCCAAGAAUCGAUACUAUUUUUGGGCAAAGAAGAAAACCAAGUUUUUGCGCGAUCUCGCAGCGAGAAAGGAAAAAAACUUCAAUUUAAUCACGUCAUUAUCCAUAUCUUUCUUAUUUUUCAUAUCACAAAGCUCAAUGAAGGUAUUGAGAUGGGAAGCGGCAUCUUCACUAGGAAGGCCAGAAAAUUGCUCUUUCAUAACAAGAUUCAGCAAAGCGGCAUUGAUUUCGUAUGACUCCGCACUAGUGGUGGGAGCAAUCGGAGUACUAAUAAAAUCACUAUUAUUAGUAUGCGAGAAGUCACAAAGUUUGGUGUUUUCAUUCAUGGUGACUUCGGCAAGCAAGCAGGCACACAAGCAAACAAAGAGCGGGUGAGAAAAAGGGCGAACGAAAAGGCGAACGAAAAAGGCAAACGAAAAAGGGAAAUCAGUGCAGUGGGGGAGGAAAACGAGAGGCAACUCGCAAACAAAGUAAAUGCAAGAGAUGAGUUUGCGACACCUACUUGGAUGAGUUAUUGACUUGAUCUACCUCCCCGGCAACGGCGCCAGAAAUUCUUCUGCUACGGCAACAAAAGUCCUUCCCAAGCAACGUCGGGAGUUCUUCUUGCUACUUCUCUUGUUUGUGUCAGUUUUUCCCUUGAAGAGGAAAGGCUGAUGCAGCACAGGAGCAGUAAGUAUUUCCCUCAGUUUUGAGAACCAAGGUAUUGAUCCAGAAGGAGGGUCUCGUCAAGUCGAGAGUACCUGCGAAAACACAAACAAGCUUGCACCCAACGCUUCAAAGGGGUUGUCAAUCCCUUCAAGAUUGUUUGCAAAGUGAGAUCUAAAGGCGGAAAGUGCAACGAAGUAAAAAGUGUAAGGCUGAAAAUAUGGUGUGGAGUAGACCCGGGGGCCAUAGUGUUCACUAUAGGCUUCUCUCAAAAUAGCAAAUAUCACGGUGGGUGAACAAAUUACUCUCGAGCAAUUGAUAGAACCGCGCAAAGUCAUAACGAUAUCUAAGGCUAUGAUCAUACAUAUAGGCAUCAUAUCCGAGACAAGUAGACCGAUACUUUCUGCAUCUACUACUAUUGCUCCACAUAUCGACCGCUAUCCAGCAUGCAUCUAGUGUAUUGAGUUGAUGAUGAACAGAGUAACGCCUUAAACAAGAUGACAUGAUGUAGAGGGAUAAUCUCAAACCAAUGAUGACAACCCCAUCUUUUUACCCUUGAUGGCAACAACAUGAUGCGUGCCUCGCUACCCCUUCUGUCACUGGGUGAGGUCACCGCACGGUAUGAACCCAAAACCAAGCACUUCUCCCAUUGCAAGAAUCAUAGAUCUAGUUGGCCAGACAAAACCCACAACUCGAAGAGAAUUACAAGGAUAUGAAAUCAUGCAUAAGAGAGAUCAGAAGAAACUCAAAUAAGAUUCAUAGAUAAUCUGAUCAUAAAUCCACAAUUCAUCGGAUCUCAACAAACACACCGCAAAAGAAGAUUACAUCGGAUAGAUCUCCAUGAAGAUCAUGGAGAACUUUGUAUUGAAGAUCCAAGAGAGAGAAGAAGCCAUCUAGAUACUAACUAUGGACCCGUAGGUCUAUGGUGAACUACUCACGCAUCAUCGGAGAGGUCAUGGUGUUGAUGAAGAAGCCCUCCGUGUCCGAAUCCCCCUCCGGUAGGGCACCAGAACGUGCCCCAGAUGGGAUCUUGCGGAGACAGAAGCUUGCGGCGGCGAAAAAGUGAUUUCGAUGAUCUCCUGAUUUUUUGGGGAUUUUUAGGGAAUAUAUAGGCGCAACCCCUAGGGCAGAGGGCGCCCAGGGGGCCCACAAUCCUUUGGGCCGCGGCCUACUCCCCUCGUCGCAUGGUGGGGGCUUGUGGGGCCCCUGAGGCUCCCCUGCCUUGGCUCCCAAGCUUCCCGAUCUUCUUCCGUUAUGAAAAAAAACUUUUUGGGAAUUUUGUUCCGUUUGGACUCCGUUUCAAAAUCUCCACUGAAAGGGGUCAAAAACAUGGAAAAAACAGGAACUGGCACUUGGCACUGAGUCAAUAAGUUAGUCCCAAAAAUACAUAAAAGGCAUGCAAAACAUCCAAAGUUUGACAAGAUACUAGCAUGAAACCAUCAAAAAUUAUAGAUACAUUGGAGACGUAUCAGUCUGCUACAAUCAGAUCCGUGUGCACUUUGCAAAUAUUCACGUCCUCUCCUUGGACAUAGUCACGGAUGAGGUUAAAGCAUCGCUUGAUGUGUCUGGUCUUCUUGUGAAACCUUGGUUCCUUUGCUAAGGAAAUGGCACCAGUGUUGUCACAUAACAGAGUUAAUGGAUCCAGUGCGCUCGGCACAACUCCAAAAUCUGUCAUGAACUGCUUCAUCCAGACACCCUUCUUUACUGCCUCUGAUAUGUCUCCAACGUAUGUGUAAUUUUUGAUGGUUUCAUGUUAUUAUCUUGUCAAACUUGGGAUGUUUUGCAUGCCUUUUAUUUAUUUUCUGGGACUAACUUAUUAACUCAGUGUCAAGUGCCAGUUCCUGUUUUUUCCAUGUUUUGACCCCUUUCAGAGGAGAUUUUGAAACGGAGUCCAAACAGAAGAAAAUCCACAAAAAGAUUUUUUUCUGGAACGGAAGAAGAUCGGAGAGCUUGGGGGCCAAGCCAGAAGAGCCCCAGGGGCCCCACAAGCCCCCACCCCGCGGCCAGGGGGGCGUGCCAUGCAGGCUUGUGGGCCCCCUGGAGGUCCCCCUGACCUAGAUCUUACGCCUAUAAAUUCCCAAAUAUUCCCAAAAAAAUCAGGGGAGCAUCGUAAUCACUUUUCUGUCGCCGCAAGCUUCUAUUUCCGCAAGAUCCCAUCUAGGGCACGUCCUGGUGCCCUGCCGGAGGGGGGAUUCGGACACGGAAGGCUUCUCCAUCAACACCAUGACCUCUCCGAUGAUGCGUGAGUAGUUCACCAUAGACAUGCGGGUCCAUAGCUAGUAACUAGAUGGCUUCUUCUCUCUCUUGAAUCUUCAAUACAAAGUUCUCCAUGAUCUUCAUGGAGAUCUAUCCGAUGUAAUCUUCUUUUGCGGUGUGUUUGUCGAGAUCCGAUGAAUUUUGGAUUUAUGAUCAGAUUAUCUAUGAAUCUUAUUUGAGUUUCUUCUAAUCUCUCUUAUGCAUGAUUUCGUAUCCUUGUAAUUCCCUUCAAGUUGUGGGUUUUGUUUGGCCAACUAGAUCUAUGAUUCUUGCAAUGGGAGAAGUGCUUGGUUUUGGGUUCAUACCGUGCGGUGACCUCACCCAGUGACAGAAGGGGUAGCGAAGCACAUAUCGUGUUGUUGCCAUCAAGGGUAAAAAGAUGGGGUUUUCAUCAUUGGUUUGAGAUUAUCCCUCUACAUCAUGUCAUCUUGCUUAAAGCGUUACUCUGUUCUUCAUGAACUCAAUACACUAGAUGCAUGUUGGAUAGUGGUCGAUGUGUGGAGUAAUAGUAGUAGAUGCAGAAAGUAUCGGUCUACUUGUCUCGAACGUGAUGCCUAUAUGCUAGAUCAUUGCCUUAGAUAUUGUCAUGACUUUGCGCGGUUCUAUCAAUUGCUCGACAGUAAUUUGUUCACCCACCGUGACAUUUUCUAUUUUGAGAGAAGCCUCUAGUAAACACUAUGGCCCCCAGGGUCUACUCCACACCAUAUUUUCUGCCUUACACUUUUUACUUCUUUGCACUUUCCGCCUUCAGAUCUCACUAUUGCAAACAAUCUUGAAGGGAUUGACAACCCCUUUGAAGCGUUGGGUGCAAGUUUGUUUGUUUUUGCGCAGGUACUUUGGACUUGACAAGGCCCUCCUUUUGGUUCGAUACCUUGGUUCCCAAACUGAGGGAAAUAGUUACUGCUCCUGUGCUGCAUCACCCUUUCCUCUUCAAGGGAAAAACUAACGCAAACCAGAGAAGUAACAAGAAGAAUUCCUACGCGCCAGGGAAGGACUUUUGUUGUCAUAGCAGAAGAAUUUCUGGCACCGUUGCCGGGGAGGAAGAUCAAGUCAAGAACCCAUCCAAGUAAGUGUCGCAAACUCAUCUCUUGCAUUUACUUGUUUGCUAGUUGCCUCUCGUUUUCCUCUCCCCCACUUCACCAAUUCGCCUUUUCGUUCGCCUUUUUGUUCGCCCUUUUCUCUCGCUUGCUUUCUGCUCAUCUAUGUGGGAUAGCCUAUCCUGAUGGCUAGAUCCACCACUUCAAACGAUACUCCCGAGAGCGAAGUUCUCAAUUUCAAACAAAUUGAGGGAGAAAACUUAAAGGACGCUUGGUAUAGGAUUUGCAAUGCUCAGAGUAGAUCUACUCAUAAGCAAUCCACUACCGUCUUGCUUCCUUGUUUUUAUGUGGGUAUUUCUCCUUGGAAUAGGUAUAUUUUUGACACCAUCGUAGGUGGAAAUUUCUUGGGUAGCCAUACCGUUGAUUCUUACGGUGUUGUGAUAAAUUUGGUAGGCUCACCCCCACUCAUGGUUAAUGGAACUACCUUAACUCUGGAACAUGUGAGGCGUAGACUGGACGCUAUUGAAAAUAAAGUCGCUACGAUUGAACUCAUUGAGAAUUUGGAUAAAAAGAUCCAUAAUCAAAUCACUCAUUAUGGAUCCAAGGUGGGAAUGGUUUUGAAAAACUUAAAGGAGAAGGAACCCAUAGUUAGCGAAAAGCUAGGUCAUGACUCUCCUAGGAUUGCAAACUAGAGGAUGUUAUAACCAACAUGGGUUCCGCUCUUGCCGCUGUGCAGAAUACUCCAAAUUUUGCCCACAAUAAAAUCACCAAGUCUGUAUUUGUUCCUAAAAGUAGUGGUGAAUCAUCUAGCAAGAAAGAUGAAAACCUCAAGAUGAUAAGUGAUCAUGCCACUUAUGGUUUGAGCACCAAAGACGACGAUAUGUGAUUCUAUCGCUACUAUGGCUAGCUAAGGGCGUUAAACAAUAGCGCUUGUUGGGAGGCAACCCAAUGAAUUUAUAUUUUUUCUUUCUGUUUUGUUGCGUCCACACUUUCACAAUUCUGUUGUGAUUGUGUUUUUUGUGUUUAUUUUUGUAUUUGAGCCAAGCAAAACCUUUAUGAUUGGUCUUGGUAAUGGUUGUUUGAUCUUGCUGGAAAAAGACAGAAACUUUUCACUCACGAGAUGAUUUUUCAUUUUUAUUCAGAAAGAGCUUUUGAGUUGAUUCUUUUUGCUUCUGAUUGAUAUGCUUUUUCCAUAGACUGUCGUAAUGUUUAAGAUUUUUUGAAGUACCAGAAGUAUACGAAGUAUACAGAUUGCUACAGACUGGUCUGUUUUUGACAGAUUCUGUUUUUUAAUGAGUUAGUUGCUUGUUUUGAUGAAACUAUGGUUACUAUCGGGGAGUACUAGCCAUGGAAAAGUGAGAAUAUAGUAGCUCAUCAUCAAUAUGGAUGGAAUUCAAGUUUGCUAUAGUACCAAAAGAAAUGGUAGUUUGUUUUCCUGUACUAAUGUUAUCACAAGUUUCUGUUUAAGUUUUGUGUUGUGAAGUUUUCAAGUUUUGGGUGACGUUCUCAUGGUGUAACAUCCCAAUUUUCCUAAUUGGGAAUGUUUUACAUUGUAGCUAAGCAUCUAUGAAUGUUGAUUGAAAUAAAUUUAGCACGUGAAUUUCCUUCGUCUUUUGAUUUGCAUUCCCAUUUUUCCUCGCACGAGAAAUGCCCGGAGAAAAUACUCUCUUGCACGCAAGAGAGAGAGCGGAGGAANACAGUUUUCCUAGGGUCUAAUCUAGACCAUACAACUUAAAUCUAACGACUACAAUGAAGAAAAGGAAAAGGAACAGAGAGGGGAGGAGAGCUACCGUGCUGGCCGUGGGGUAGCUCCCGCGACGCCCCUCGCCGGAGCUACCCCACGGCCAGCACGGUAGCUCUCCUCCCCUCUCUGUUCCUUUUCCUUUUCUUCAUUGUAGUCGUUAGAUUUAAGUUGUAUGGUCUAGAUUAGACCCUAGGAAAACUGUUCGGUUUAGAUUAGAAAAACCAACGGUUUUUAGUUCACUUAUGAUUUAGCCAGCGAGUUUUACUAGAGCUAGGCCGUUUUCUCAAAGCUUUGCAGCAAACGCACCCCUCGCCCUAUAGCAACAUGCCACGUGUACCCUCUUUUUUGUACUAGUUAGCUUCAUAUUUUUCUGUCUAAAUUGCAAAAACAGAAAGUUUCUGUUUUGUUUUGGCCACAACUUUUGAUCCCUAAGUCCAAUGACAUUUAUUCUUUUUCCAGUAGCUCACAAAUUUCCUGUAGUCUUUAAAAACAUAUAAUUUGUCUAUAUUUGAAGUUUUCAAAUAUAAGUUAGAUCAGAUUUAGUUUAAACCUUGUUUUGCCUAUUCCAGGAGUUUGAAAAAUGAUUUUGAGUUGAUUCUUUUUGCUACUACUUCCUAGUGAUUAAAUCUUACUGUAGUAGAAGUUUCAAAAAUUUUAAAGUAUUUUUACUGAUGUUCUCAACAGAAACAAGUUUCUGCCAUACCGGCGCAUGAUGAAUUCUUUUACUUAGGCUUUCGCAAAUCCUUACUUGUGAUGUUAUUUUACUUGUUGCAUGAUUGAAGUGCUUAUGGUGUGCUUUGUGUUUGUAUCGGUAGAUCAUCCGGAGUGCGAAGCGUGUUACUUAGAAGCGCUCGAGCAAGACAACUAUCAUCAAGGCAAGUCAUUUUGAUCAUGUUAUUUUCCUAUGUUUUCAAUGCAUGGUAGAUCACCUUUCUUUGCCCAAUUGCAUGCUGCCUAGGUACUUGGAAAAUUUAGCAUAAGUUAUAGUAUCUUGUGGUAGGCACACAACAACCCCGAUACUUGGCCCCGGGACGACAAUUUUAUUUGCUACGCUUGAGUAGACGGGUUUUCGGUUGAGUGCAUAUCACGAGUGAUGCGAGGUUGAUUAAAUAAUCAAGACCGGUUAAGACAAGAUUUUCAAGACCUCGGACGCAAUGCAACUCUGGGUGAAGGAUGGUUGAUCGGCUCCCUGGAGAACCCAGUGGAUGCCCGGGAUGCUGGAGAGGCCAUGUCAUCCUGCGGAAAGCUUCACCCAGGCUCGAAGAGACGGACGGAGACUUCAAGACUCAAGGCUUACCUGCACAGCCACAAGUCAUUAUGGGCUCUGGCUUGGUUGGACAACGCGGCGACUCUGGAUAGGCGGUGCUAGCAGAUGUAGAAGAACGAUAGGAUUGGAUGGGCACCGACAGGGAUUCAGAGGGACCUGUUGAAAGACCAUGUUUUGAUCAUCCGGUCUUCAAACACCCUGAAGUGCGAGGACAAACCCGGAGGCGGUCAAAUCUUGUGGGGAACGUGUGCAAAACUCUGCAGAGUGCCCAACCUAAUCGAUUAGUCGUGUCCACGGUCAUGGACAACUUGAGCCGAAGGCAUUGAAUUUCCCCUGAACUCUCGACACCACUUAAUAAUGAUGUGGGUGUUAACAACUAUUCGGGCACGAGAAUUGGUUGGCGGAACCAUCUCGUUAACAACAAACAAUGUAGUAAUAUUUUGCUUCCAACCCCUCUUGUGGUAGGAUAAAACUGGCUUUAUGCAAAACUUAGCUCCACCAGGCCAAAUAUGCAUGUAGAGAUAGUUGAUUAUUAUUUUACCCCCCUCUCUUUGAUGACUUGUCGGCAUAUUCAAUAUGCUGACCUACACGGCUGCAACGUAUCAUGUUGCAGAGUACUUUUCCAACCAGGAGUGAGGCUACGAUCUAUGCUCAGCGACAUGCCCUUGGAGUCGGAUGGACUCGUCUACCUGAUGCUUCCGCUAGUCUUCGUUAGAUAUCUCAUGAGUUGGCCUUCAGCCACUUUAUUGUAAUCCUUUAUUGUAAUAAAGUACUCUUUAUGAGAUUUCGAUUAAUAAAGCUGUGUGAUUGAACUCUUGAAUAUAUACAUUAUGUACUGUGUGUGUACCAGCAUGAUCUUGGGAUGGUACGGAAACACUAGAGGCUUGACUCGUCUUGAGUCGGGUCGCUACACAUGGACAAAGAGAUAAGAAGUGGAAAGAGCUCAAGCUUGGGGAUGCCCAAGGCCCCCCAAGCCAAAUUCAAGGACACCAAAAAGCUUAAGCUUGGGGAUGCCCCGGGAAGGCAUCCCCUCUUUCGUCUUCAAUCCAUCGGUAACAUUACUUGGAGCUAUAUUUUUAUUCACCACAUGAUAUGUGUUUUGCUUGGAGCGUCUUGUAUCAUAGGAGUCUUUUGUUUUUGUUGUGUCACAAUCAUCCUUUCUGCACACCUUUUUGAGAGAGAGAGACAUGCACUCAUCGUGAUUUUGCUAGAAUGCUCAUAGUGCUUCACUUAUAUCUUUUGAGCUAGAUACUUUUGCUCUAGUGCUUCACUUAUAUCUUUUGAGCUAGAUACUUUUGCUCUAGUGCUUCACUUAUAUCUUUUGAGGUAGACACUUUUGCUCUUGUGCUUCACUUAUAUCUUUAGAGCACGACGGUGCGUGAUUUGGUAGUUGGCUUAUGCUAUGAAAGAAGUCCCAUGUGCUAGGUACCCAAAGAGGAUGCAAAAACCUCUAUCUUCAUGUGCAUUGAGUAGAAAGAGAAGUUUCGAUUCCUCUCAAUUAGUUUUGAGGCACGGAUUCGGUAAUAUUGAGAGCUAUGUUAGUAGGGUGUUGUGAAUCUAGAAAUACUUGUGUUGAAGUUAGUGAUUCCCGUAGCAUGCAUGUAUGGUGAACCACUAUGUUAGGAAGUCGGAGCAUAAUUGAUCUAUUGAUUGUCAUCCUUUGUGUUGAAUUCGGGAUCGCGCGAUGGUUUACACCUACCAACCCUUCCCCUCGGAGUAUGCGUUUAGCACUUCAUUUCGAUUACUAAUAAAAACUUGUGCAACAAGUAUGUGAGUUCUUUAUGAAUAAUGUUGAUUCCAUGGUAUAGAUGCACUUUCACCUUCCACCAUUGCUAGCCUCUCUAGCGCCGUGCAAUUCUCGCCGGUGCACAAACCAACCAAAUUCCUUCCUCAAAACAGCCACCAUACCUACCUACUAUGGCAUUUUCAUAGCCAUUCCGAGAUAUAUUGCCAUGCAACUACCACCGUUCCGUCUAAUGACUUGUGUCGUCACUUUCAUAUUGCCAUUGCAUGAUAAUACUAGAUCGUUGCACAUCCCGGUACACUGCCGGAGGCAUUUCCUAUGGAGUCAUCAUCAUUAUAAUUUUUGAGCUUUGAGUAACUAAAAGUGUGAUGAUCAUCAUUAUUAGAGCAUUGUCCCAUGUGAGGAAACAAAAAAAAUAAGGGGCCAAAGAGCCCAAAAACAAAAAAUAAAAAAAGAGGCCUAAGAGCCCAAAUAAAAAAAUGAGAGAAAAAGAGAGAAGGGACAAUGCUACUAUCUUUUUCCACACUUGUGCUUCAUAAUAGCACCAUGUUCUUCAUGAUUGAGAGCUUCUUGCUUUGUCACUACCAUAUGCUAGUGGGAAUCUUCGUUUUAUAACUUGGCUUGUAUAUUCCAAUGAUGGGCUUCCUCAAAAUUGCCCUAGGUCUUCAUGAGCAAGCAAGUUGGAUGCACACCCACUAGUUUUCCCUUGAGCUUUCACAUACUUAUAGCUCUAGUGCAUCUCUUGUAUGGCAAUCCCUACUCAUUCACGUUGAUAUCUAUUAAUGGGCAUUUCCAUAGCCUAUUGAUACGCCGAGUCAACGUGACCAUCUCCUCCUUUUUGUUUCAUAACCACCACCACACUCUAUUCCACCUACAGUGUUAUAUCCAUGGCUCGCGCUCAUGUAUUGCAUGAUAGUUAUAAAAAGUUUGAGAAAGUAAGAGUGCGAAAACAAUUACUUGACCAAUUCCGGGGUUGUGCAUGAUUUACAUUAGUUGUGUGAGGAUGAUGGAGCAUAGCCAGACUAUAUGAUUCUGUAGGGAUAACUUUCUUUCGCCGUGUUAUUUUGAAAGUUCAUGAUUACUUUGCUAGUUUGCUUGAAGCAUUACUGUUUUCAUGUCAAUAGCAAACUAUUGUUUCGAAUCGUACGGAUCUGAAUAUUCAUGCCACGUGAAAGAAGUUGCAAAGGACAACUAUGCUAGGUAGCAUUCCACAUCAAAAAUUCGUUCUUUAUCACUUCCCUACUCGAGAACGAGUAGGAGUUAAGCUUGGGGAUGCUUGAUACGUCUCCAACGUAUAUAUAAUUUUUUAUGGUUUCAUGCUAUUAUCUUGUCAAACAUGGGAUGUUUUGCAUGCCUUUUAUUUAUUUUCUGGGACUAACUUAUUAACUCAGUGCCAAGUGCCAGUUCCUGUUUUUCCAUGUUUUUGACCCCUUUCGGAGGAGAUUUUGAAAUGGAGUCCAAACGGAAGAAAAUCCCCGAAAAGAUUUUUUCUGGAACAGAAGAAGAUCGGAGAGCUUGGGCGCCAAGACAGAAGAGCCCCAGGGGCCCCACAAGCCCCCACCCCGCAGCCAGGGGGACGCGCCAUGCAGGCUUGUGGGCCCCCUGGAGAUCCGCUGACCUAGAUCUUGCGCCUAUAAAUACCCAAAUAUUCCCAAAAAUAUCAGGGGAGCAUCGUAAUCACUUUUUCGCCGCCGCAAGCUUCUGUUUCCGCAAGAUCCCAUCUGGGGCACGUCCUGGUGCCCUGCCGGAGGGCGGAUUCGGACACGGAAGGCUUCUCCAUCAACACCAUGACCUCUCCGAUGAUGUGUGAGUACUUCACCAUAGACCUACGGGUCCAUAGCUAGUAACUAGAUGGCUUCUUCUCUCUCUUGGAUCUUCAAUACAAAGUUCUCCAUGAUCUUCAUGGAGAUCUAUCCGAUGUAAUCUUCUUUUGCGGUGUGUUUGUCGAGAUCCGAUGAAUUGUGGAUUUAUGAUCAGAUUAUCUAUGAAUCUUAUUUGAGUUUCUUCUGAUCUCUCUUAUGCAUGAUUUCAUAUCCUUGUAAUUUUCUUCGAGUUGUGGGUUUUGUUUGGCCAACUAGAUCUAUGAUUCUUGCAAUGGGAGAAGUGCUUGGUUUUUGGUUCAUACCGUGCGGUGACCUCACCCAGUGACAGAAGGGGUAGCAAGGCACGUAUCGUGUUGUUGCCAUCAAGGGUAAAAAGAUGGGGUUUUCAUCAUUGGUUUGAGAUUAUCCCUCUACAUCAUGUCAUAUUGCUUAAAGUGUUACUCUGUUCUUCAUGAACUCAAUACACUAGAUGCAUGUUGGAUAGCGGUCGAUAUAUGGAGUAAUAGUAGUAGAUGCAGAAAGUAUCGGUCUACUUUUCUCGGACGUGAUGCCUAUAUGCUAGAUCAUUGCCUUUGAUAUCGUCAUGACUUUGCGCGGUUCUAUCAAUUGCUCGACAGUAAUUUGUUCAUCCACCGUGAUAUUUGCUAUUUUGAGAGAGGCCUCUAGUGAACACUAUGGCCCCAGGGUCUACUCCACGCGGUGAAUACAUGCAUGAACUCCUCAUACUAUGGUCAUCUCCGGGAGUGGUUCCGGCUAUUGUCACUCCGGGGUUGCCGGGUCAUAACACAUGGUAGGUGGCUACAACUUGCAAUAUAGGAUCUAAAACACACAUAUAUUGGCGACAACAUAAUAGGUUCAGAUCCGAAAUCAUGGCACUCGCGCCCUAGUGACAAGCAUUAAGCAUAGCCAAGUAGUAGCAACAUCAAUCUAGAACAUAGUGGAUACUAGGGAUCAAUCCCCGUCAAGAACUAACUCGAUUAUAUGAUAGAUCUCAUCCAACUCAUCACCGUCCAGCAAGCCUACGAUGAGAUUACUCACGAACGAUGAAGAGCAUCAUGGAAUUGUCGAUGGAGAAAGGUUGAUGAUGACGAUGGCGACGAUUUCCCCUCUCCGGAGCCCGAAACGGAGUCCAGAUCUACCCUCCAGAUGAAGAACAGGAUGUGACGGUGCCUCCGUAUCGCAAAACGCGAUGAAACCUUCUCUCUAAUUUUUUUCCAGACGAAACGAAAGAUAUAGAGCUGAGUUUGGGGGCCCCACAAGCCUGCACGGCGCGGCCAUAGGGGGUGGUCGCGGCCUGCGGGCUUGUGGCCCACUGGCAGGCCCCCUCUGGUGGAUCUUUGCACAGGUAUUUUUUUCUUUUAUUCCAGAAAAAAUCUCCGUAAAUUUUCAAGACAUUUCGAGAACUUUUAUUUCUGCACAUAAACAACACCAUGGCAAUUCUGCUGAAAACAGCGUCAGUCCGGGUUAGUUCCAUUCAAAUCAUGCAAGUUAGAGUCCAAAACAAGGGCAAAAGAGUUCGAAAAAGUAGAUACGACAGAGACGUAUCAACUCCCCCAAGCUUAAAGCCUUGCUUGUCCUCAAGCAACUCAGUUGACAAACUGAGAGAGACAAAAGAAAAACUUUGACGAACUAUGUUUUAUCUUGUUGUUGCAACUAUGUCUAACUCAUAACCAGAAUUUCAGCAAGAUCACAAUCAAACCACAUAAGAAAAUGACAUCUAGGUCUCACGGUAAACUCAUAUCAAUGGCAUAAUCAGCUAGCGAGCAAAUAAUAAUAAGCCUCAAAUGUCAACACUUCAAUCAAAAAAAGCAUGAAGCAGUACGAAUAGAUGGUAUCUCGCUAGCUCUUUCUGAGACCGCAAAACAUAAAUGCAGAGCACCUUAAAAGACCAAGGGCUGACUAAACAUUGUAAUUCAAGGCAAUGAAGAUCUAGUCAUAGUCAUACUCAACACAGUUAAAAGCAAAGCAUAAAAAUGACAGAGGUGCUCUCUAAUUGGUGCUUUGUAAGAGGAGGAUGACUCAAUAGGAACAUAAAUAGACAGGCCCUUUGUAGAGGGAAGCAUUGAUUUGCACAGGUGCCAGAGCUCAACCUUUCAAAACAGAGAUAAUAAUUUUGGGUGGCAUGCUUUCAUUGUCAAUGCAAUGACUAAGAGUGCUCAACAUCUUCCACGCUACACAUGCUUUAGGCGGUUCCCAAACAGAAAAGUAAAGUUUUGACUCCCCCACCACCAAUCAAUCACACUCCAUGGCUAGCCGAAUCCUCGGGUACCGGCCAAACCAACAUCAAUCCUAGGGGAGUUUUGUUUGCAAUUAUCUUUUCGAUUUGAGCAUGGAACUGGGAAUUCCAAUUACCGGCCCCUUUCCUGUGAAUGAUAGUGAAUAAACACAUAUCAAGGAUAAUACGCCUAGCAUGGAAGAUACCAAUAGCCCCUGUCACCACAUGAGCGGUUCGGGCAUGCAAAACAGAUUAUUUCUUGAAGGUUUAGAGAGUGGCACAUGCAAAUUUACUUGGAACGGCAGGUAGAUACCACAUAUAGGUAGGUAUGGUGGACUCAUAUGGCACAACUUUGGGUUUAUGGAAGUGGAUGCACAAGCAGUAUUCCCACUUAGUACAAGUAAAGGCUAGCAAAAGACUGGGAAGCGACCAACUAGAGAGCGAGAACAGUCAUCAAAAUGCAUUGAGAUCAACUAACAUUGAGUGCAAGCAUGAGUAGGACAUAAAUCACCAUGAACAUGAACAUCAUAGAGGCUAUGUUGAUUUUGUUUCAACUACAUGUGUGAACAUGCGCCAAGUCAAGCCACUUGAAACAUUCAAAGGAGGAUACCAUCCUAUCACACUACAUCAUAGUUAUCUCAACAUUCAUGUGGGCAUCCAAGACAAACCAUUAUAAGCUCCUAGCUAAGCAAACAUGUUUCUCUCACAACAAAGCUGAAUUAGGCAUGAUGACCUAGUCAUAUUUACAAAAACAAAAUAGAUCGAGUUCAUACCAGCUUUUCCAGGCUCAGCCACUUCAUCAUAUAUCGUCAUUAUUGCCUUUCACUUGCACGGCCGAACGAUGUGAACAAUAAUAAUCGUGCUCGUGCAUUGGACUAAAGUUGGAAUCUGCAGGCAAACACAAAGGAGAAGACAAAGUAAUAUGGCUCUUUGAAAGCUAAACAGUUAUGCAUGCAAGAGCCACUAAACAUUGUAACCAAUAUCUUCUACCUUGACCCAAAUAAAAAGAAAACUAUUUACACGGGAAAGCUCCCAACAAGCAAAAGAAGAAACAGGAAAUCUUUUUGGGUUUUCUCAAACUAGACAGACACACGAAAAGAAAACGAGAAAAAGAAAAUAAACUAGCAUGGAUGAUGUAGUGGCAGAGUGUGAACACCGGCUAACAAAGUAAAAGCAUAAGCAAGAAUGUAAAGUCGGUGAGAACACGUACUCCCCCAAGCUUAGGCUUUUGGCCUAAGUUGGUCUACUCCCAAGGAGGGAAAUAACCAGCUCCGAGAUACUCCGGAGUGGACUGUGGAUGCCACUACUGUGUGAGCUCCUCUGGCUCCCACUGAUAAACUGGCAUCUGGUACUUGACUGGCGGCUCGGGCACGAGCACCUGUGGUUGGGCUAGGCCCCAAUAUGCGUAGAUGUCCGAGGGCAUAAUAGUGUACCUACCUGCAUGAAGAUUGAUCAAAGAAGGAGCAGGCAAAGUAAUAGUCUCACGAGUACCCUGACUAAAUACCAGGUUAUAAAUCAUCAUUACACCUAUAUCUCUAUCAAGAAAGUCACGGCGAACCAUGCUAUCAUAAUCUAGAUAUCUCUCGGGAAGAAGAACCUCUUCUUCUUCCUCCAGUCUAAUGGGUAUCUCAAAGUGUCUGGCAAGACGGGUAGCAUAGAUACCUCCAUAUACAACACCUUUAGAACGGUUCAGGUUCAACCGUUGAGCUACUAUAGCGCCCAAGCUAUAAAUUUUAUCGUUAUAAAGGGCUUCGCGCAAUACCACAAGAUCUGGGGAACUAAUGACCCAGCUUUCCCACGACCAAUCAAACAUUUUCCCACAAAAAGUGAGAAGUACCGAAGCACGGGAAAAUGAAUGCUAGCAGCUCUAGCGCAAGACACUCCUCUCUCCUCUCCUACAACAAUUGUACCGAUAAAAGCUUCCAAGUCCCGUGGACGAGGUUCAUGAAUAUCCCCAACGUAAGGUAAUUUGCAAACAUUGCAAAAGUCCUGGAGUGACAUGCGCUGGGGGAUAUCAUAAAGUUUGAACUAAACCAUAGGAGGAUUCUUCCUCAGAUAGAAGUUAAAGCUUUGUACGCAGAUAUUAGUGAGGAGUAAGUAUUGCAAACACUUAUCUUCAACGAAGGCGGUAAGGCAUGCGUUUUCCACGAAGUGAUAAAAGUCCUCAUAAAUUCCAGCGGCGCGUAAGAACACGUCGCUUGGCCACUCGCACGCUCGAACUUCCACGACUCGAGGGACCGUAUACUUGGGCUUCUUCUCACUCCCAUCAUCCUUGGGGUCACGGCUUGACGAGCCUCUCAAGAACCUCCUCAUCUUUUCCCUUUUCUAUCUCUGAAAAUUUCUGAAAUUUUUAGUGACUCUACGAAAAAGUGAAUAAGGCUCAACGAAACUCGUAGCAACUACUCCCACAAGUGCCUAGAGGCCAUAUUAUGCAUCGAAACUACUUGGGACCAGCUAGAAUAAGCAUGCAAAGCUCAAGAACAUGGUCACCAAGACAACAAAAAUACGCGGAGUAUAAGUAACUAGAGCAAAAACUAAUUGGACCAAUGGAGGAGUCACUUACCAAGGAGUAAUUUCCCCAAAACAGUUAGGAGAACGGUGAUUUGAGCAAAGAGAUCAAAAAUCCCAGCAAGAGGAGCAAGAACACGGGUUUGAGCUGCGAAACGAUUUUUUCUAGAGGUAGGAGAAGGGGAUGAGAGCAAGAAUGAGUGGAGGGGGUGCCUGUGGGCCCCACAAGCCUGGAUGGCGCGGCCAGGGGGGUGCCCGCGCCCCUAGGGCUUGUGGCCCACUGGUGUGGCCCCCAGACAGACUCUUUAUCCCGGUAUUUUUCAAAUAUUCCAGAAAAAAUCAUACUAGAUUUUCACAGCGUUCGAAGAACUUUUAUUUUCGGGGUACUUUUCUACUGGAGCUAAAACAGAAAACAGGGAAAACUAAAAUAAACCUAUCAUUUUUCUUCUAAGCAACCUAAAGUGAAAGCUUGGAACAGAGGUUUGUGACUCCUCGCUUCAUCCAUCUCAUGGUCAUCGAAAGAAAUCCGUCAAUGGGGUUGAUCAAAUCCCCUUGACAAAAUUUUCUCGAAUCGCAAAAGAGAAUGGAGAAUUUUCGAAUAGUCACUAAGUCACCUCAAUGGGGAUGUGUAUCUCCCCAACAAGCAAAUCAUACUUCAUCUUGACACGAGGAAUAGGGCAUUCAAAGCUCCCAAUAAGAAUUGAUGAAGUUUUUUCGAUAGCAUUGAUGCAAUGUACUCGAUAUUGUUUCUUCGGAAAGUGCACCGUAUGCUCAUUACCGUUGACAUGGAAAGUGACAUUGCCUUUGUUGCAAUCUAUAACAGCCCCUGCAGUGUUUAAAAAGGGUCUUCCGAGGAUGACAGCCAUGGCAUCGUCCUCACGAAUAUCGAAGAUAACAAAGUCUGUUAAGAUAGUGGUGUUAGCAACCACAACAGGCACAUCCUGGAAAAUGCCGAUAGGGAAAACAGUUGGUUUGUCGGCCAUUUGCAAAGAGAUUUCAGUGGGUGUCAACUUAUCUAGUUCAAGUCUACGAUAAAGAGAGAGAGGCAUAACACUAACACCGGCUCCAAGGUCGCAUAAAGCAGUUCUAACGUAGUUACCUUUAAUGGAGCAAGGUAUAGUGGGCACAGCGGGAUCACCUAGUUUCUUAGGAGUUCCACCCUUGCAGGUGUAAUUAGCAAGCAUGGUGGAAAUCUCAACCUCAGGUAUCCUCCUCUUAUUAGUCACAAUAUCCUUCAUGUACUUAGCAUACGGAGACAUUUUGAGCAUAUCUGUCAAACGCAUUUGCAGAAAGACAGGACUGAUCAUUUCAAAAAAUCGCUCAAAGUCCUCAUCAUCCUUUUUCUUGGAUGGUUUGGGAGGAAAGGGCAUAGGUUUCUGAACCCAUGGUUCCUUUUCUUUACCAUGCUUCCUAGAAGUGAAGUCAUUCUUAUCGUAUCUCUUAUUCUUAGGCUGUGGGUUAUCAAGAUCAACAGGUUCAAUCUCCACAUCCUUCUCAUUGCUAGGUUGAGCAUCUUCAUGAACAUCACUAUUGAUAUCAUCAUUAGGCUCAUGUUCAUCACCAGAUUGUGUCUCAGCAUCAGAAACAGAGGCAUCGUUUGGACUCUCAGGUGUAGCAGCAACAGGGUUGCUAGCGUGCACAUCCCUAUCAUCUUUCUUCUUCUUUCCAGGAUGACUAGGUGCUUCAGUGCUAACUCCUUGAGAAUCUUGUUCAAUUCUCUUCGGAUGACCCUCAAGAUACAAAGGUUCCUGGGUCAUUCUACCGCCUCUAGUAACGACUCUGACAGAAUUGUCAUUCAACUCAUUGAGUAAGUCAUUCUGAGCUUUAAGUACUUGUUCUACUUGAGUAGUAACCAUAGAGGCAUGUUUACUCAGAAGCUUAAGAUCAUUGACAUUUCUGUCCACACAAGCACUUAAAUGGCUAAGCAUACGAGCAUUCUUUUCCAGUUGUCUGCUAACAUAAUCAUUGAAACUUUGUUGUUUAGCAACGAAGUUAUCAAAUUCAUCCAUGCAUAAGCUAGCAGGUUUAUAAAAAGGAAUAUCACUCUCAUCAAACCUACGAAGAGAAUUUACUUCUACUACCUGUAUCGGGUUAUCGAGACCAUGGAUCUCUUUGAUAGGUGGUAGAUUUUUGACAUCUUCAGAUUUAAUUCCUUUAUCUCGCAUAGAUUUCUUGGCUUCUUGCAUAUCUUCAGGACUGAGGAAUAGAAUACCUCUUUUCUUCGGAGUUGGCUUAGGAGGUGGUUCGGGAAUAGUCCAAGCAUUCUCAUUGCACAAGAUGUUAUUCAGCAGAAUUUCAGCUUGUUCUACAGUUUGUUCCCUAAAAACACUACCGGCACAACUAUCUAGUUGGUCUUUGGAAGCAUCGGUAAGUCCAUUAUAGAAGAUAUCAAGUAUUUCAUUCUUCUCAAGAGGGUGAUCAGGCAUAGCAUUCAGUAGCUGGAUAAGCCUCCCCCAAGCUUGUGGGAGACUAUCUUCCUCAGCUUGAGCAAAGUUGUAUAUUUCCUGCAAGGCAGCUUGCUUCUUAUGGGCAAGGAAAUAUUUUUCAGAGAAGUAGUAGACCAUAUCCUGGGGGCUACGCACACAACCAGGAGCAAGAUAAGUGAACCAAGUCUUAGCAUCAUCCUUUAGCCAGAAAGGAAAUAGCUUGAGCAUAUAGUAGUGGCGGAUCUUUUCCUCAUUAAUGAUUAGGAUUGCUAUAUCGUGCAGUUUGGUAAGAUGGGCUACAACCGUUUCAGACUCAUAACCGUGAAAGGGAUCAGAUUCGACCAGAGUGAUUAACUCAGGGUCGACAGAGAAUUCAUAAUCCUCAUCGGUCACAAAGAUAGGCGAAGUGGCAAACUUCGGGUCAUAUUUCAUCCUAGCGUUCACAGAUUUUUCUAUCCACUUGCGCAGAAGUUUCUCAACAUCAUAGCUAUCCUUACACGCAAGAAAAUCAUCAGCUAUCUCUCCCUCCAUAACAUAGCGCGUAUCAGGCAUAACAGGCAAUUCAGGCAUAGUAGCAGGUUCUACUUCAAUAGUAUCAGCAGUUUCAGAAGUAUCAUCACGUCUAGCAGCAGCUCUAGCAAUAUGUGCAUCAAGGUAUGCACCAAGUGGCAAAGCAGUAUCAGGCAUAGCAGGCAUAGUAUCUAGCAUAGCAUCAUCAGGCAUAGUAUCAAGCAUAGCAUCAUCAGGCAUAGUAUCAAGCAUAGCAUCAUCAGGCAUAGUAUCAAGCAUAGCAUCAUCAAGCACAGGCUACAUAUCAAGAUUUCUAGCAGGAGGCGAAGUCGCAAACUUACUCAAAACUGAAGGUGAAUCAAGUGCAGAGCUAGAUGGCAGUUCCUUACCUCUCCUCGUAGUGGAAGGUAGGAUUUUAGUUCUUGGAUCUUUCGGAUUCCUCAUAGUGAUCACCAGACGUCAAUCCCAAGUGACUCAGAGAAUAUAGUUGUGCCUCCCCGACAACGGCGCCAAAAAAAGCCUUGAUGUCCCACAAGCGUAUGGGAUCGCAGCAGUUUUCGAGGGUAGAGUAUUCAACCCAAAUUUGUUGGUUUGCACGACGGGAAGCGAAAGAAUAUUCUCAAGUAUUAGCAGCUGAAUGUGUCGGAUUCAACCACACCUGAAAGAUUAGUGUCUGCAAGCAAAGUAUCAGUACCAAAGUAGUAUGAUAGCAACGGUGCCAGAAACGAUCUAUUGACGGCAGACUAUUCCUAACCGUUGUAUCAAUGGCGCCAGCACGUUGACGAGGGAUUAUUCUUGAGAAGAAUGCUUCCCCGGCUACGGCUCCAGAAAAGUCUUGCAACAAGUAACAGCAGAGUAGCAAGGGGGGGGCAGCAGCAGCAAAGUAACAGCACUAGCAACAGUAGCAGCAAAGUGACAGCAGUAGCAACAGUAGCAGCAAAAGGCCCAAUCCCUUUUGUAGCAAGGGACAAGCCUAGACAAAGUUACAUAGCGAGAACCAUUAGUAAAAGACUUGUAGGCAGUGGAUUGGUGAUGGAUGAGUAUGAAGGAUGUGACUCAUCAUGUAACAGCUAUAACAUGGAGAGAUAAGUAACUAGCUCCCGUUCGUCAAUCUAAUGUAGGCAUGUAUUCCGUAUGUAGUCAUACGUGCUUAGGGAAAAGAACUUGCAUGACAUCUAUUGUCCAUCCCUCCCGUGGCAGCGGGGUCCUAAUGGAAACUACGAGAUAUUAAGGUUCUCCUUUUAAUAAAGAACCGGACCAACGCAUUAACACGCGGUGAAUACAUGAACUCCUCAUACUAUGGUCAUCUCCGGGAGUGGUUCCGGCUAUUUUCACUCCGGGGUGGCCGGGUCAUAACACAUACUAGGUGACUACAACUUGCAAGAUAGGAUCUAAAACACACAUAUAUUGGCGACAACAAAAUAGGUUCAGAUCUGAAAUCAUGUCGCUCGGGCCCUAGUGACAAGCAUUAAGCAUAGCCAAGUAGUAGCAACAUCAAUCUAGAACAUAGUGGAUACUAGGGAUCAAUCCCCAUCAAGAACUAACUCGAUUACAUGAUAGAUCUCAUCCAACUCAUCACCGUCCAGCAAGCAUACGAUGAGAUUACUCACGAACGAUGAAGAGCAUCAUGGAAUUGUCGAUGGAGAAAGGUUGAUGAUGACGAUGGCGACGAUUUCCCCUCUCCGGAGCCCGAACGGACUCCAGAUCUACCCUCCAGAUGAAGAACAGGAUGUGGCGGCGCCUCCGUAUCGCAAAACGCGAUAAAACCUUCUCUCUGAUUUUUUUUCCAGGCGAAACGGAAGAUAUAGAGCUGAGUUUGGGGCGGUGGUGCCAUGUGGGCCCCACAAGCCUGCACGGCGCGGCCACUGGCAUGCCCCCUCCGGUGAAUCUUUGCGCAGGUAUUUUUCUUUUAUUCCAGAAAAAAUCUCCGUAAAUUUUCAGGACAUUCCUAGAACUUCUAUUUCUGCACAAAAACAACACCAUGGCAAUUCUGCUGAAAACAGCGUCAGCCCGGGUUAGUUCCAUUCAAAUCAUGCAAGUUAGAGUCCAAAACAAGGGCAAAAGAGUUCGGAAAAGUAGAUACGACGGAGACGUAUCAAUCUACAUAAAGAUCAUGGAGAACUUUGUAUUGAAGAUCCAAGAGAGAGAAGAAGCCAUCUAGCUACUGAUGACCCACAAGUAUAGGGGAUCAAUCGUAGUCCUUUCGAUAAGUAAGAGUAUUGAACCCGACUAGGAGCAGAAGGAUCUGACAAGUGGUUUUCAGCAAGGUAAAAUCUGCAAGCACUGAAACUGUCGGUAACAAGUGAUUGUGUGGUGAGAUGAUUCGUAGCAAGCAACAAGUAACAAAAGUAGCAAUGGUGCAGCAAAGUGGACCAAUCCCUUUUGUAGCAAGGGACAAGCCUGGACAAAGUCUUAUAGGAGGAAAAACGCUCCCGAGGACACACGGGAAUUUCUGUCAUGCUAGUUUUCAUCAUGUUCAUAUGAUUCGCGUUCGUUACUUUGAUAGUUUGGUAUGUGGGUGGACCGGCACUUGGGUACUGCCCUUACUUGGACAAGCAUCCCACUUAUGAUUACCCCCUCUCGCAAGCAUCCGCAACUACGAAAGAAGAAUUAAGACAAAGUCUAACCAUAGCAUUAAACUAGUGGAUCCAAAUCAGCCCCUUACGAAGUAACGCAUAAACUAGGGUUUAAGCUUCUGUCACUCUAGCAACCCAUCAUCUACUUACUACUUCCCAAUGCCUUCCUCUAGGCCCAAAUAAUGGUGAAGUGUUAUGUGGUCGACAUUCAUAUAACACCACUAGAGGAAAAACAACAUACAACAUAUCAAAUUACCGAACGAAUACCAAAUUCACAUGACUAUUAUUAGCAUGACUUAUCCCAUGUCCUCAGGAACCAAAGUAACUACUCACAAAGCAUAAUCAUAUUCAUGACCAGAGAGGUAAUGAGUAGCAUCAAGGAUCUGAACAUAAACUCUUCCACCAAACAAUCCAACUAGCAUCAACUACAAAGAGUAAUCAACACUACUAGCAACCUUACAAGUACCAAUCGGAGUCGCAAGACAGAGAUUGGUUACAAGUGAUGAACUAGGGUUUGGAGAUGAGAUGGUGCUGAUGAAGAUGUUGAUGGUGACGAGUCCCCUCCGAUGAGAGGAGUGUUGGUGAUGACGAUGGCGACGAUUUCCCCCUUCGGGAGGGAAGUUUCCCCAACAGGAUCGUCCUGCCGGAGCUCUAGAUUGGUUCUGCUCAAGUUCCGCCUCGUGGCGGUGGCGAAAGCAAGAAAAAGCUCCUCCCCGAUUUUCUCCUGGACGAAACCCUCCAUAUAGCAAAAGAGGGGAGCAAGUGGGCCAGUGGGCUGCCCACAAGCCCUCAUGGCGCGGCCUGGGGGUGGCCGCGCCGUGCAGGCUUGUGGGCACCCCCUGGUGCCCCUCUGGCACUUCUUCAGCCCAGUAUUUUUGAUAAAUCAGGAAAAAAAUCCUCGUUGAUUUUUACGGCGUUUGGAGUUGCGCAGAAUAGAUAUCUCAAUGGUGCUCCACUUUCAGGCCAGAAUUCCAGUUGCCGGCAUUCUCCCUCUUCAUGUAAACCUUGCAAAAUAAGAGAGAAAAGGCAUAAGAAUUGUACUGUGAAGUGAAAUAACAACCCAAGAAGCGAUAAAUAUCAACAUGAAAACAUGAUGCAAAAUGGACGUAUCAACUCCCCCAAGCUUAGACCUCGUUUGUCCUCAAGCAAAAGCCUAGCUCAAUAAAUAUGUCCACAUGUUUAGGGAGCAAGGUGUCGACAAAACAAGAUACGAACAUGCAUGCAUCAUGAUCAAGAUUAGAACAGCAAUACCAACAUAUAAUCUCUCAUGCUAAAGUGAUAAUUCCUUCACAAAGUAAAGCAUGGAUCAAGAACCUUACCGAGAAGUAACAACCGAUAGCCUUUAGUCAUGGAAGCAAUUGCAAUUUAUCACAACAUCAGAAAGAGUCAAAUAAGAUCUUGUAAAGCAAAUCCACAUACUCAAUCAUUCUUUCGUUCUCUACAAUUGCUACAACUCACGUGGUACUCAUGAGAUCAAAGUUUCAGCUAGACACAGAGAAAGAUAGGGGCUUACAGUUUUGCCUCCCAACUGCUUACCUCAAGGGUAAUGUCAACAACAAUAAUUCAUGAAUACUUACCUCCAAGUUGACAUAUGAAUAUAGAUCUUUCCCAAGCAUGUGACGAUAGCCAAGAUAAAGGCGAGAUAAGGAAUUGGUCAAGAUCACCAUGACUCUUUCAAGGGCAAAAAGUAAAGGUACAAGAUAAGCCCUUCGUAGAGGGAAGCAGAGGUUGUCAUGCGCUUUUGAGGUUUAGAUGCGUGUCCUCUUAGUGUGGAGGAACGUCACUUUAUAUUGCCCCCUGUGAUAAAGAACUUUAUUAUGUAGUCUGUCGCUUUUAUGUCUUCCUCAUCAGAGGUUCGUAUAAAGCUUAUUUUUCACACACUAAUAGAUCAUACAUAUUAGAGAGCAAUUUUUAUUGCUUGCACCGAUGACAACUUACUUGAGGGAUCUUAUUCAAUCCAUAGGUAGGUAUGGUGGACACUCAUGGCAAAACUGGUUUGAAGGUUUAUGGAUGCACAAGUAGUAUCUCUACUUGGUGCGGGAGUUUUGGCUAAUAUGAGGUGGAUGUAAUCGUCACAUGCUAAGGGAUCUCUAAUCAUAUAACAUUGUCCAGAGCCAAGCAAACACAAUUCAUUACGUUGUCUUCCUUGUCCAACAUCUACUUCUAGGCAUGCAAUAGUUUAGUGAGUGUUCACAAUCAUAGAUGGUGUCAAAGAUGAUAUAUUUAUAUGUGAACCUCUCCUUCUUUAUCACUUCCUAUUAAUUGCAACAAUGAUCAAGGUCUAAGUUUUCCUACCCUCAACAAGUUUCAAUCCUCAUUCUUUUUAUAUGUGAAGUCGUCACUUCCCAUAAGAUCAUUACAUGAUCUUUCAUGUUUUUGUUCUAUUCUCACUCUUUUGAUCAUGGCAAGAGGCAAAGCCCUUCAACUAAGACACUGUUUAUUAUAUGGCUCACGAGCUCGAAUACAUCGGGGGUGACACAAAGCAAAACUCAAGACUAAAAAACUAAGACUUUUAAUCUACUAGAGAAAGAGAAAACUAAAAAGGAAAACUAAAACAAAGGUAAAGGCAAAAGAUGUGAUGGUGAUACGAUACCGGGGCAACUCCCCCAAGCUUGGCACAAACCAAGGGGAUUGCCCAUAUCAAUGCUCAGUUGUCUUCCUUUGGUGGUGGUGGAGGAGUAGUUGCAACAUGGGUUUGAUCCUCCGUCGUCCAAGGCAUAGGUGCUCUAGAUCUGCAACAGAAAACAGGCUCGAAACGAAAACAGAGGAAAUCUACGUGAUGCAGGGGUCAGACCAAACGGAAGUAUAUAUAAUUUUUUUUCAGACCAAAAGGAGUACCCUACACGAAAACGGAGUCCGGGAGGCGCACGAGGUGGCCACAAGCCCUCACGGCGCGGCUAGGGGGUGGGCCCGCGCCGUGCAGGCUUGUCGCCUCCUCGAGCACUUUCCGGACUACUUCCAAUUUUUGUAUUUUUUCAAAUAUUGCAAAACGGAGAAAAUUUCCUACUGGAAAAGUUUUGGACUUUGUUUUCUUACCGAAUCACAUACCUCUUCGUUUUCGGAGUCUGAAAUAGGCUGAUAAACAUCCCUUAGGUAUUCCUCCGGAGUUAUGGUAUUAAUGAUAUUGCUUUCAACAUUUAUGGGAGUACCUGAGAUAUAAUGCUUGAUUCUCUGCCCAUUUACCACUCUUGGACAAUUACCUUCCGUGUUGUUGAUCUUGAUAGCACCGGAACGAUAUACUUCCUCAACAACAUAGGGACCUUCCCAUUUAGAGAGAAGCUUGCCUGCAAAGAAUCUUAAACGAGAGUUAUAUAGCAAGACAUAACCACCUACAUUGAACUCACGCUUUUGUAUCCUCUUAUCAUGCCACCUCUUAACCUUCUCUUUGAACAGCUUGGCAUUCUCAUAUGCCUGAGUUCUCCAUUCAUCAAGCGAGCUAAUAUCAAAUAACCUCUUCUCACCGGCAAGUUUGAAAUCAAAGUUGAGCUCUUUGAUUGCCCAAUAAGCUUUAUGCUCUAGCUCAAGAGGUAAAUGACAUGCUUUACCGUACACCAUUUUGUACAGAGACAUGCCCAUGGGAUUCUUAUAGGAAGUUCUAUAAGCCCACAGUGCAUCAUCGAGCUUCUUAGACCAAUUCUUUCUAGACCUGUUGACAGUCUUUUGCAGAAUUAGUUUAAUCUCUCUAUUGCUUAGCUCUACUUGACCACUGGACUGAGGGUGGUAGGGAGACGCAAUUCUAUGGUUGACAUCGUACUUAGCAAGCGUUUUACGGAAAGCACCAUGAAUGAAGUGUUAACCACCGUCGGUCAUUAGAUAUCUAGGGACUCCAAAUCUAGGGAAGAUAACUUCUUUCAGCAUCUUGAUAGAGGUGUUGUGAUCAACACUACUAGUGGGGAUAGCCUCUACCCACUUAAUGACAUAAUCAACAACAACUAGGAUGUGAGUAUACCCAUUGGAUUUUGGAAAAGGUCCCAUAUAAUCAAAGCCCCAAACAUCAAAUGGUUCAAUGACAAGUGAAUAGUUCAUAGGCAUUUCCUGACAUUUGCUAAUAUUACCUAUUCUUUGACAUUCGUCACGAGACAAGACAAACUUACGGGCAUCCUUGAAGAGAGUGGGCCAAUAGAAACCUGAUUGCAAUACCUUGUGUGCAGUUCUAUCUCCCGCAUGGUGUCCUCCGUAGGCCUCGGAGUGACACUUCUGUAGGAUCUGUCCCUGUUCAUGUUCAGGUACACAAUGUCUAAUAACACCAUCUACUCCUUCUUUAUAAAGGUGAGGAUCAUCCCAAAAGUAGUGUCUCAAGUCAAAGACGAAUUUCUUCUUUUGCUGGUACGUGAAACUAGGUGGUAUGUAUUUGGCAACGAUAUAGUUUGCAUAAUCAGCAUACCACGGUGCACUAUGUGAAGCAUUGAUGACAUUCAGUUGCUCAUCGGGAAAGCUAUCAUCAAUAGGUUGUGGGUCAUCAAGAACGUUCUCCAACCUAGACAAGUUAUCUGCUACUGGGUUAUCAGCACCCUUCAUGUCAACAACGUGCAAAUCAAAUUCUUGUAGCAAGAGAACCCAUUUGAUAAGUCUAGGUUUAGCGUCCUUCUUCUCCAUGAGGUACUUAAUAGCACCAUGAUCAGUGUGAAUAGUGACUUUGGAAUCAACUAUGUAAGACCUGAACUUUUCACAUGCAAACACGACUACUAAAAAUUCCUUCUCCGUAGUAGCAUAGUUUCUUUGGGCACUGUCUAGAGUUUUACUAGUGUAGUGCAUAACAUUCAACUUCUUAUCAACUCUUUGCCCUAGAACAGCACUAACAGCAUAAUCACUAGCAUCACACAUGAUUUCAAAAGGUAAGUUCCAAUCAGGUGGUUGAACAAUAGGUGGAGUUAUCAAAGCCCUCUUAAGUAUUUCGAAGGCUUCCUCACAAUCAUCAUCAAAAACAAAAGGAAUAUCCUUUUGCAAGAGAUUGGUAAGAGGCCUAGAAAUCUUAGAGAAGUCCUUAAUGAACCUUCUAUAGAAACCAAUAUGACCAAGGAAACUUCUUAUACCUUUGAUAUCUGUGGGGUAUGGCAUUUUCUCGAUUGCAUCAACCUUAGCCUUAUCGACUUCAAUACCUCUUUCAGAAAUUUUAUGUCCUAAGACGAUGCCUUCAUUAACCAUAAAGUGGCACUUCUCCCAAUUCAAGACAAGGUUGGUGUCUUUACAUCUCUGCAAGACUCGAUCAAGGUUGCUGAGGCAAUCAUCAAACGAUGACCCGUAAACGGAGAAGUCAUCCAUGAAAAUCUCGACAAUCUUUUCACAAAAGUCAGAGAAUAUAGCCAUCAUACAUCUUUGAAAGGUGGCAGGUGCAUUACAUAAGCCAAAAGGCAUACGUCUAUACGCAAAGGUACCGAAAGGGCAGGUGAAAGUGAUUUUCUCCUCAUCAGAUUGUGCAACCGGUAUUUGGGAGAAACCAGAAUAACCGUCUAGAAAGCAGAAGUGUGUGUGUUUAGACAGCCUUUCUAGCAUUUGGUCGAUAAAAGGCAGAGGGUAAUGAUCUUUCCUAGUGGCCUUAUUCAGUUUCCUGAAAUCGAUCACCAUCCUAUAGCCAGUAAUAAUCAUGCGUGGGAUCAAUUCAUCCUUAUCACUAGGGACAACGGUAAUGCCUCCCUUCUUGGGGACGCAAUGCACCGGACUCACCCAAUUGCUAUGAGCAACAGGAUAGAUAAUACCCGCUUCCAGGAGCUUUAGUAUUUCUUUUCUUACUACUUCUUUCAUCUUAGGAUUCAAUCUCCUUUGAUGAUCAACAACUGGUUUCAAAUCAGGAUAUAUUUUAAUCUUGUGCUGGCAUAGAGUGGGACUAAUGCCCUUAAGAUCAUCAACAGUAUAUCCGAUAGAAGCACGAUGCUUCCUCAGAGUUUCUAGUAACUUCUUUUCAUCAAGCUCCGAGAGGCUAGCACUAAUAAUAACAGGAUAUAUCUCUUUUUCAUCAAGAUAGGCAUACUUAAGAGGAUCAGGCAACUGUUUAAGCUCGAACACAGGAUCACCCUUUGGUGGGGGUGGAUCCCCAAGCAGUUCAACAGGCAGAUUAUUCUUAAGGAUAGGAUAUUGUUCUAAGACAACUCUAUCUAUCUCAUCCCUUUCAUCCAUAUGCAUAUCAUUUUCAUGCUCAAGCAAGUAUUGCUCUAAGGGAUCACUAGGAGGCACGGCAAUAGAAGCUAAGGCAAUAGUUUCAUCCUUACUAGGAAACUCCUUUUCAUGAGGUUGUCUAUCAAACUUAGAGAAAUUGAACUCAUGUGACACACCUUCAAAGCCAACAGUGAUGGUUUGCUUCUCACAGUCAAUAUGAGCAUUGACGGUAUUGAGAAAAGGUCUGCCAAAUAUGAUGGGACAAAAGCUAUCUUGAGCGGUAGCAAGAACGAGGAAAUCAGCAGGAUACUUUGUUUUUACCACACAAGUCUUCAACAUCCCUAACAAUUCCCACAGGGUAGAUAGUAUCUCUAUUGGGAAGCUGAAUAGUGACAUCAAUAGGUUCUAUCUCAACAGGUGCAAUCUCAUCUUUGAUUUCAUCGUAUAAGGAUUGAGGUAUUGCACUAACACUAGCACCCACGUCACAUAAACCAUGAUAACAAUGAUCUCCUAUCUUAACAGAAACCACAGGCAUGCCAACAACAGGCGUAUGUUUGUCUCUAACGUGAGGUUUAGCAAUUCUAGCAGCAUCUUCACACAAGUGAAUAUUAUGUCCCUCAACUUCUUCAGACAGAAGAUCUUUGAUAAUAGCAAUGCUAGAUUCAACUCUAAUUUUCUUAGGGGGUGUAGGUGUUCUAAUAUAGCCUCUACGUAUCACAGUUGAAGCUUUAGAAUGAUCCUUUAUCCUAAUAGGGAAAGGUGGUUUCUCAAUGUAAGCACUGGGAACCACAGGAUCAUUAUAGGCAAUGACUUUCUCUUCAACUGGAGUGGGUUUAACUACAUUGAAUUCUAAAGGAGGGUGAUAUUUAAACCACUUCUCUUUGGGGAGAUCAAUAUGAGCAGCAAAUGAUUCACACAAUGAAGCUACUAUCUCAGAGUCAAGUCCAUACUUAGCGCUAAAGUCACAAAAAGUAUUUGUCUCAACAAGGAAUUAACGCAAUCAAACAUGAAAUUCAUACCUGACUCCUUACCUUAUUCAAGCUCCCAGUCUUCAAAGUUGCAUUUAAUUCUCUCCAAUAAAUUCCAUUUGAAGUCAAUAUCUCUCUUCAUAAAAGAACCGGUACAAGAAGUAUCAAGCAUGGUGCGAUCAUCAUGAGAAAGCCGAGCAUAGAAGUUCUGAAUGAUAAUUUCUCUCGAGAGCUCAUGAUUGGGGCAUGAAUAUAGCAUUGAUUUAAGCCUCCCCCAAGCUUGAGCGAUGCUUUCUCUGUCACGAGGCCAAAAAUUAUAAAUAUAAUUCCGAUCACGAUGUACUAAAUGUAUAGGAUAAAACUUUUGAUGAAAUUCCAAUUUCAACCGAUUGUAGUCCCAUGAUCCAGUAUCAUCACAUAGCCUAUACCAUGUCAACGCCUUAUCCUUCAAAGAUAAAGGAAAGACCUUCUUCUUCACCUCAUCCUCGGGCACGCCUGCAAGCUUAAAUAAACGACAAACCUCAUCUACAUAGAUUAGAUGCAAGUCUGGAUGUGAUGUUCCAUCUCCUAUAAAAGGAUUAGCCAGCAAUUUCUCAAGCAUACCCGAAGGAAAUUCAAAGCAAAUAUUUUCAGUAGGUGCAGCAGGUUGAGGAGCAAAUCUUUGUGCUUCUGUUCAAGGUGAAGAUGCCCCGAACAAGCCCCUCAAAGGAUUAGUAUCCAUAGUGACAAGUGACAAUAAAUUUCAGCACACUAUAUGAAUGUUUCCUUACCAAGUUCCACUUACCAAAGGCGCUUCACUCCCCGGCAACGGCGCCAGAAAAGAGUCUUGAUGACCCACAAGUAUAGGGGAUCAAUCGUAGUCCUUUCGAUAAGUAAGAGUGUCGAACCCAACGAGGAGCAGAAGGAUCUGACAAGUGGUUUUCAGCAAGGUAAAAUCUGCACGCACUGAAACUGUCGGUAACAAGUGAUUGUGUGGUGAGAUGAUUCGUAGCAAGCAACAAGUAACAAAAGUAGCAACAGUGCAGCAAAGUGGCUCAAUCCCUUUUGUAGCAAGGGACAAGCCUAGACAACUUAUAGGAGGAAAAACGGUCCCGAGGACACACGGGAAUUUCUGUCAUGCUAGUUUUCAUCAUGUUCAUAUGAAUCGCGUUCGUUACUUUGAUAGUUUGAUAUGUGGGUGGACCGGCACUUGGGUACUGCCCUUACUUGGACAAGCAACCCACUUAUGAUUAACCCCUCUCGCAAGCAUCCGCAACUACGAAAGAAGAAUUAAGACAAAGUUUAACCAUAGCAUUAAACUAGUGGAUCCAAAUCAGACCCUUACGAAGUAACGCAUAAACUAGGGUUUAAGCUUCUGUCACUCUAGCAACACAUCAUCUACUUACUACUUCCCAAUGCCUUCCUCUAGGCCCAAAUAAAGGUGAAGUGUUAUGUAGUCGACGUUCACAUAACACCACUAUAGGAAAAACAACAUACAACAUAUCAAAUUACCGAAUGAAUACCAAAUUCACAUGACUAUUAUUAGCAUGACUUAUCCCAUGUCCUCAGGAACCAAAGUAACUACUCACAAAGCAUAAUCAUAUUCAUGACCAGAGAGGUAAUGAGUAGCAUCAAGGAUCUGAACAUAAACUCUUCCACCAAACAAUCCAACUAGCAUCAACUACAAAGAGUAAUCAACACUACUAGCAACCUUACAAGUACCAAUCGGAGUCGCGAGACGGAGAUUGGUUACAAGUGAUGAACUAGCGUUUAGAGAUGAGAUGGUGUUGAUGAAGAUGUUGAUCGUGACAAGUCCCCUCCGAUGAGAGGAGUGUUGGUGAUGACGAUGGCGACGAUUUCCCCCUCCGGGAGGGAAGUUUCCCCGGCAGGAUCGUCCUGCCGGAGCUCUAGGUUGGUUCUGCUCAAGUUCUGCCUCGUGGCGGCGGCGAAACCACGAAAAAGCUCCUCCUCGAUUUUUUCCUGAACGAAACCCUCCAUAUAGCAAAAGAGGGGAGCAAGUGGGCCAGUGGGCUGCCAACAAGCCCUCAUGGCACGGCCUGGGGGGGUGGUCGCGCCGUGCAGGCUUGUGGGCACCCCCUGGUGCCCCUCUGGCACUUCUUUGGCCCAGUAUUUUUGAUAAAUCGGGAAAAAUCCUAGUUGAUUUUUACGGCGUUUGGAGUUGCGCAGAAUAGGUAUCUCAACUUUGCUCCACUUUUAGGCCAGAAUUCCAGUUGCCGACAUUCUCCCUCUUCAUGUAAACCUUGCAAAAUAAGAGAGAAAAAGCAUAAGAAUUGUACCGUGAAGUGAAAUAACAGCCCAAGAAGCGAUAAAUAUCAACAUGAAAACAUGAUGCAAAAUGGACGUACCAGCUACUAGCUAUGGACCCAAAGGUCUGUGGUGAACUACUCACGCAUCAUCGGAGAGGCAAUGGUGUUGAUGAAAGAGCCCUCCGUGUCUGAAUCCCCCUCCGGCAAGGCACCAGAACGGCCCCGAGAUGGGAUCUCACAGAGACAGAAGCUUGCGGCAGCGGAAAAGUAUUUUCGUGGCUCUCUCUGGAGGUUUCAGGAUUUUUGGGAAUUUAUAGGCGGAAGAGGUAGGGCAAAGGAGGCAAGGGGGCCCACGAGCCUGCUAGGCGCCCCCCUAGGACGCGCCUAGGGGGCUCGUGACCUCCCACGAGACCUCCUGCCUUGGUUGUCAAGGCUUCUGGGUAUCUUCUGUUAUGGAAAAAUCACCCCACAUGUUUUAUUCUGUUUGGACUCCGUUUCAUAUUCUUUUCUGAAAAAGGUCAAAAACACGGAAAAAGCAGAAACUGGCACUAGGCACCGAGUUAAUAGGUUAGUCCCAAAAAUGAUAUAAAAUGGCAUAUAAAUGCAUAUAAGAUAUCCCAAGUUGAUAAUAUAAUAGCAUGGAACAAUCAAAAAUUAUAGAUACGUUGGAGACGUAUCAAGAUCCCACUCACUUUCUUGUAAAUACAAGAUUCUCCAACCACUUGUAUAAACCCAAAUGCUUUGAUCACCUCAUCAAAGCGCUUAUUCCAACUCCGAGAUGCUUGCACCAGUCCAUAAAUGGAUCUCUCGAGCUUGCACACUUUGUUAGCAUUCUUUGGAUCGACAAAACCUUCGGGUUGCAUCAUAUACAACUCUUCCUUAAGAAAACCAUUAAGGAACGCCAUUUUGACAUCCAUCUGCCAAAUUUCAUAAUCGUAAAAGGCAACUAUUGCUAACAUGAUUCGGACGGACUUAAGCAUCGCUACCGGUGAGAAUGUCUCAUCGUAGUCAACUCCUUGAACUUGUGAAAAACCCUUUGCCACAAGUCGAGCUUUAUAAACAGUCACAUUACCGCCUGCAUCUGUCUUCUUCUUAAAGAUCCAUUUGUUCUAAAUAGCCUAGCGGCCUUCAGGUAGUACUUCCAAAGUCCACACUUUGUUCUCAUACAUGGAUCCUAUCUCGGACUUCAUGGCCUCCAGCCAGGGGGGGGGGGAAUCCAGGCUCACCAUUGCUUCUUCAUAAUUCGCAGGUUCAUUGUUGUCCAACAACAUAAUUGAUAAGAUAGGAUUACGUACCACUCAGGAGUAGUACGUGAUCUUGUCGACCUGCGAGGUCCGAUAGGAACUUGAUCCAAAGUUUCAUGAUCAUCAUAAUCAACUUCCUCCUCAAACGACGCCGUAGCAACAGGGGUUUCCCCUUGCCCUACACCACCAUCUAGAGGGAUUAGAGGUUCGACAACCUCAUCAAGUUCUAUCUUCCUCCCACUCAAUUCUCUCGAGAGAAACUCCUUCUAAAGAAAAGCUCCAUUUUUAGCAACAAACACUUUGCCCUCGGAUUUGAGAUAAAAGGUAUACCCAACUGUCUCUUUUGGGUAACCUAUGAAGACGCACUUUUCCGCUUUGGGUUCCAGCUUUUCAGGUUGGAGCUUUUUGACAUAAGCAUCACAUCCCAAACUUUAAGAAACGAUAGUUUUGGUCUUUUGCCAUACCACAGUUCGUAUGGUGUCAUCUCAACGGAUUUUGAUGGUGCCCUAUUUAAAGUGAAUGUAGUUGUCUCUAAUGCAUAACCCCAAAACGACAACCUCAAAUUCGUAAGAGACAUCAUAGAUCACACCAUCUCUAAUAAAGUACAAUUAUGACGUUCGGACACACCAUUACGCUGUGGUGUUCCAGGCAGAGUCAACUGUGAAACAAUUCCACAUUGUCUUAAGUGAGCACCAAACUCGAAACUCAAAUAUUCACCCCCACGAUCAGACCGUAGGAACUUGAUCUUCUUGUUACGAUGAUUUUCGACGUCACUCUGAAAUUGCUUGAACUUCUCAAACGUUCCAGACUUGUGCUUCGCCAAGUAGACGUAACCAUAUCUACUCAAAUCGUCAGUGAAGGUGAGGAAAUAACGAUAUCCGCCGCGCGCCUUGAUACGUCUCCAUCGUAUCUACUUUUCCAAACUCUUUUGCCCUUGUUUUGGACUCUAAUUUGCAUCAUUUGAAUGGAACUAACCCGGACUGGCGCUGUUUUCAGCAGAAUUGUCAUGGUGUUGUUUUUGCGCAGAAAUAAAAGUUCUCGGAAUGACCUGGAAAUUUACGAGGAUUUUUUGUGGAAUAUAUAAAAAAUACUGGUGCAAGAAUUACCUGGAGGGACGGAGCCAGGAGCCCACAAGCCCAGGAGGCGAGCCCCCCUGGCCGCGCAUGGCGGGAUUGUGAAGCCCUCGUGGCUCCGCCGCCUCCAACUCCAGCUCUAUAUAGUCUCUCUCGCCCAGAAAAAAUUAAGAGAGAAGAGUUCAUCGCGUUUCAUGACACGGAGCCACCGCCACCACCUGUUCUUCCUUUGGAGGGCAGAUCUGGAGUCCGUUCUGGGCUCCGGAGAGGGGAAAUCGUCGCUGUUGUCAUCACCAACCAUCCUUCAUUGCCAAUUCCAUGAUGCUCUUCAUUGUUCGUGAGUAAUCUCAUCGUAGGCUGGCUGGACGGUGAUGGGUUGGAUGAGAUCUAUCAUGUAAUCGAGUUAGUUUUGAUGGGGUUUGAUCCCUAGUAUCCACUAUGUUCCAAGAUUGAUGUUGCUACUACUUUGCUAUGCUUAAUGCUUGUCACUAGGGCCCGAGUGCCAUGAUUUCAGAUCUGAACCUAUUAUGUUUUCAUCAAAUAUAUGUGUGUUCUUGAUCCUAUCCUGCAAGUUGUAGUCACCUACUAUGUGUUAUGACCCGGCAACCCUGGAGUAACAAUAGCCGGAACCACUCCCGGAGAUGACCAUAGUAUGAGGAGUUCAUGUAUUCACUAAGUGCUAAUGCUUUAUUCUGGUUCUCUAUUAAAAGGAGACCUUAAUACCCCUUAGUUUCCAUUAGGACCCCGCUGCCACGGGAGGGAUGGACAAUAGAUGUCAUGCAAGUUCUUUUGCAUAAGCACGUAUGACUAUAUACGGAAUACAUGCCUACAUUACAUUGACGAACUAGAGCUAGUUACAUAUCUCCCCAUGUUAUAACUGUUACAUGAUGAAUGGCAUCCAACAUAAUUAUCCAUCACUGAUCCAAUGCCUACGAGUUUUUCCUACUGGUCCUUGCUAUGUUACUUUACCGCUACUGCUGCCAUUGUUACCGCUACUGCUGUCACUAUUGCUACUGUUACCGCUGCUACCAUUACUAUCACGCUACUUUGCUACUGAAACUUUGCUAUAGAUACUAAGUCUUUCAGGUGUGAUUGAAUUGACAACUCAACUGCUAAUACUCGAGAAUAUUCUUUGGCUUCCCCUUGUGUCGAAUCAACAAAUUUGGGUUGAAUACUCUACCCUCGAAAACUAUUGCGAUCCCCUAUACUUGUGGGUUAUCAAGACUAUUUUCUGGCGCCGUUGCCCGGGAGGCAUAGCUCUAUUCUCUGAGUCAAUUGAGAUUUACGUCUGUUGAUCACUAUGAGGAAUCCGAGAGAUCCAAAAACUAAAGUCUUUCCCUCAACUACGAGGACAGGUAAGGAACUGUCGUCUAGCUCUGCACUUGAUUCACCUUCAGUUAUGAGUAAGUUUGCGAGACCACCACCUACUAGAAAUUCUGAUGUGUCGCUUGUGCUUGAUGAUGCUACUUCUGCUAUCCAUUAUGCUUAUGAUGAUUCUUUGCUUGAUACUGCUUUGCCACUGGGUGCAUUCCUUGAUGCACAAAUUGCUAGAGUUGCUGCUGAAUGUGAUGAUACUUCUAAAACUGUUGAAAUUAUUAAAGUAGAACAUGUUGUUUCACCUGUUAGAACUAUCUCUCCUAGAUAUGAAUUGUCUGAUAUACCUGAGGGUUAUGUUAUGGAAGGAGAGGUAGCUGGGGACUUUCUUGCUUGUAAGGAUAGCUAUGAUCUUGAGAAUUUAUUGCGUAAGUGGAAAGAAAAAUCUCUGAAUGCUAGAAUGAAAUACGAUCCUAAGUUUGCUACUUCACCCAUCUUUGUGACUGAUAAGGAUUAUGAAUUCUGUGUUGAUCCUGAGUUGAUCACUUUGGUUGAAUAUGAUCCUUUUCAUGGUUAUGAGUCUGAAACGGCUGUAGCACAUCUUACUAAGCUGAAUGAUAUAGCCACCCUAUUCACGAGUGAGGAAAAGAUUCGCCAUUACUAUAUAAUUAAGUUGUUUCCUUUCUCUCUAAAGGGUGAUACUAAGACUUGGUUUACUUCUAUUGCCCAUGGUUGUGUGCGUAGUCCCCAGGAUAUGAUCUACUACUUCUCUGAGAAAUAUUUUCCUGCCCAUAAGAAACAAGCUGCCUUGCAGGAUACAUAUAACUUUGUGCAAGUUGAAGAAGAGAGUCUCCCACAAGCUUGGGGGAGGCUUGUCCAGUUACUGAAUGCUUUGCCUGAUCACCCUCUUGAGAAACAUGAAAUACUUGAUAUCUUUUAUAAUGGACUAACCCAUGCUUCUAGGGACCACCUAGAUAGUUGUGUUGGUUGUGUUUUCAAGGAACGAACUGUGGAACAAGCUGAAAUUCUAUUGAAUAAUAUCUUGAGCAAUGAUAAUGCUUGGACUAUUCCCGAACCAUCUCCAAAGCCAACCCCGAAGAAAAGAGGUAUUCUAUUCCUCGGUCCUCAAGAUAUGCAAGAAGCCAAGAAAUCUAUGCAAGAGAAAGGUAUUAAAUCUGAAGAUGUUAAGAAUCUACCACCUAUCGAAGAAAUACAUGGUCUUGAUAACCCGACACAGGUAGUAGAGGUAAAUUCUCUUUGUAGAUUCAAUGAGAGUGAUAUUUCUUAUGAUAAACCUGUUAGCUUAUGCUUAGAUGAAUUUGAUAACUUUGUUGCCAAACAACAAAGUUUCAAUGAUUAUGUUAGCGGACAAUUGGAACAAAAUGCUCGCAUGAUUAAUCAUAUAAGUGCUUGUGUGGAUAGAAGUGGCAAUGAUCUUAAGCUCUUGAGUAAACAUGCCUCUAUGGUCACUACUCAAGUAGAACAAGUACUUAAGGCUCAAAAUGACUUGCUCAAUGAGUUGAAUGACAAUUAUGUUAGAGUUGUCACUAGAGGUGGUAGAAUGACUCAGGAACCUUUGUAUCCUGAGGGCCAUCCUAAGAGAAUUGAACAAGAUUCUCAAGGAGUUAGCACUGAGGCACCUAGUCAUCUUAGUAAUAGGAAGAAAAAGAAAGAUGAUAGGAACUUGCAUGCUAGCAAACCUGUUGCUGUUACACCCGAGAAUCCAAAUGAUGUCUCUGUUUCUGAUGCCAAAACACAGUCUGGUGAUGAACAUGAGCCUAGUGAUAAUAUUGAUAGUGGUGUUCAUGUUGAUGCUCAACCUAGUAAUGAUAAGGAUGUGGAGAUUGAACCUAGUGUUGAUCUUGAUAACCCACAACCUAAGAACAAGAGAUACGAUAAGAACGACUUCAUUGCUAGGAAGCAUGGUAAAGAAAGAGAACCAUGGGUUCAAAAACCCAUGCCCUUUCCUCCCAAACCAUCCAAGAAAAAGGAUGAUGAGGAUUUUGAGCGCUUUGUUGAAAUGAUUAGACCUGUCUUUCUGCAAAUGCGUUUGACAGAUAUGCUCAAAAUGUCUCCUUAUGCUAAGUACAUGAAAGAUAUUGUGACUAACAAAAGGAAGAUACCUAAGGUUGAGAUUUCCACCAUGCUUGCCAACUACACUUUUAAGGGUGGGACUCCUAAGAAACUAGGUGAUCUCGGAGUGCCCACUAUACCUUGCUCCAUUAAAGGAAAUUAUGUUAGAACUGCUUUAUGCGAUCUUGGAGCUGGUGUUAGUGUUAUGCCUCUCUCUUUAUAUCGUAGAAUUGAAUUGGAUAAGUUGAUGUGCCUGUUGUGGUUGCUAACGUUACUAUCUUAACGGACUUUGUUAUUUUGGAUAUUCCCGAGGAUGAUGCCAUGGCGGUCAUCCUUGGAAGACCCUUUUUAAACACUGCAGGGGCUGUUAUUGAUUGCAAAAAAAGGCAAUGUCACUUUCCAUGUUAAUGGUAAUGAGCACACGGUGCACUUUCCGAAGAAACAAUAUCGAGUACAUUGCACCAAUGCUAUGGAAAAAACUUCAUCAAUUCUUAUUGGAAGCUUUGAAUGCCCGAUACCUACUGUCAAGAUGAAGUAUGAUUUACUUGUUGGGGAUAUGCACAUCCCCGUUGAGGUAACCUAGUGAUUAUUCGAAAAUUCUCCGGUUUUAUGCGAUUCGAAAAAAGUUUGUCAAGGAGACUUGAUCAACCUCAUUGACGGAUUUCUUUUGAUGACCAUGAGACGAAUGAAUCUAGGAGUCACAACCCUCUGUUCCCAACUUUUACUUUCUGUUGUUUAGAAGAAAAAUGAUAAAGUUAGCUUUAUUUUCCUGUUUUCGGCUUUUUGCGUCCCUUAGAAAAGUAUCUCGAAAAUAAAAGUUCUUCAAAUGCCCUGAAAUUCAAGUAUGAUUUUUUCUGGAAUUUUUGAAAAAUUCUGAGAUAGAGAGCUAGUCAAGGGGAUGCACUAGUGGGCCACAAGCCCAGGAGGCGCGGGGACCCCCUGGCCGCGCCUGGCAGGCUUGUGGGCCCCACAUGGCCCCCCUCCACUUAUUCCAGCUCCCAUCUCCUUCUUCUACCUCCAUAAAAAAUCAUUCCACAGCUCAAACCCGUGUUCUUGCUCUUCUUGCUGCAUUUUUCGAUCUCCUUGUGCAAAGCCCCAUCCACCAAACUGUUUUGGGGGAAUUGUUCCUUGGUAUGUGACUCCUCCAUUGGUCCAAUUAUUAUUUUCUCUAGUGCUUUAUUCGUUGCAUAUUUUUGCUGCCUUGGUGACCCUGUUCUUGAGCUUUGCAUGCUAAUUUUAGCUAGUUCCAAGUAGUUUUGAUGCAUGAUAUGGCCUCUCGGCACUUGUAGGAGUAGUUGCUAUGAAUUUGUUGAGCCUUUUUCACUUUUCUUUUGAGUCACUAAAAAUUUCAGAAAUUUUCAGAGAAAGAAAAAAGGAAAAGAUGAGGAGGUUCCUAAGAGGCUCUUCAAGCCGUGACCCCAAGGAAGAUGAAAAUGAGAAGAAGAAACCCAAGUAUCCGGUCCCCCGAGUUGCAGAAGUUCGAGCGUGCGAGUGGCCAAGCGAUGUGUUCUUACGUGCCGCCGGUCUUUAUGAGGAUUUUUAUUACUUGGUGGAGAACGCAGGCCUUACCUCAUUUGUCGAAGAUAAGUGUCCACAAUACCUCCUCCUCACUAAUUUUUUUGUGCAAAGCUUUAAUUUCUAUCCAAGGAAGAGUCCUCCUAUGGUUGAGUUCAAGUUAUAUGAUAUCCCCCAGCGCAUGUCACUUCAGGAUUUUUGCAAUGUUUUCAAAUUACCUUAUGUUGGGGAUAUUCAUGAACCCCGUCCACGGGACUUGGAGGCUUUCAUUGAUACUAUUGUUGUAGGAGAGGAGAGAGGAGUGUCUUGUGCUAGAGUUGCUAGUAUACAUUUUCCCGUGCUUCGGUAUCUCUCAUUAUUUGUGGGAAAAUGUUUGAUUGGUCAUGGGAAAGCUGGGGCUUUUAGCUCCCCAGAUCUUGCGGUUUUGCGUGAAGCUCUUUGUAAUGAUAAAACUUAUAGCUUGGGCGCUAUAGUAGCUCAACAGUUGAACACGAACUGCACUAAAGGCGUUGUUUAUGGAGGUAUCUAUGCUACCCGUCUUGCUAAACAUUUUGAGAUACCUAUUAGACUGUACGAGGAAGAAGAUAUGCUUAUUCCCGAGAGAUAUUUAGAUUAUGAUAGCAUGGUUCGCCAUGACUUUCUUGAUAAAGAUAUAAAUAAGAGGAUGAUUUAUAACUUGGUAUUUAGUCAGGGUACUUGUGAGACUAUUACUUUGCCUGCUCCUUCUUUGUUCAAUCUUCAUAUAGGCAGGUACAUUAUUAUGCCCUCGGACAUCUACGCAUAUUGGGGCAUAGCACCACCACAGGUGCCCGUGCCCGAGCUACCAGUCGAGUACCAGACAUCAGUUUAUCAGUGGGAGCCAGAGGAGCUCACCCAGCAUUGGCACCCUCAGUACACUCCGGAGUACCCCGGAGACGGUUAUUUCCCUCCAUGGGAGUAGACCAACUUAGGCCAAAAGCCUAAGCUUGGGGGAGUAUGUGUUUCUCACAGACUUUAUAAUCUUGCUCACACUUUCACUUUGAUAGUCGGUGUUCACACCUUGCCAUUGUAUCAUCCAUGCUAGUUUAUUUGUUUUUCUCGCUUUCUUCUCGUGUGUUUGUUUAGAUUGAGAAAAACAAAACAAAAAUAGUUGUAAGUUUACUUUCCAACUUGCUUAGUGGUGUUUAAAAAAAAGAAAAUCCAAAAAGAUUUUCCGUUCUUCUUUUGCUUGUUGGGAGCUUUCCCGUGUAAAUAGUUUUCUUUUUCUUUGGGUCAAGGUAGAAGACCAUGGUUAAAAUGUUUAGUGGCUCUCACAUGCAUAUCUAUUUAUCCGUCAAAGAGCCAUAUUACUUUGUCUUCUCCUUUGAGUUUGUUUGCAGAUUCCAGCUUAGUCCAAUGCACGAACACUCUCAUUAUUAUUCACAUCAUUCGGUCAUGCAAGUGAAAGGCAAUAAUGACGAUAUAUGAUGAAGUGACUGAGCCUGGAAAAGCUGGUAUGAACUCGACCUAUUUUGUUUUUGUAAAUAUGACUAGCUCUUCGUUCCUAAUUCAGCUUUGUUAUGAGAGAAACAUGUUUGCAAUGACAACUUAGAGAUCAUACUUUCUAAUGCCAUGCUUAAUUAGCUAGGAGCUUAUAAUGGUUUGUCUUGGAUGCCAACAUGAAUUUCAAGAUGAUUAUGAUGUAGUAUGAUAGGAUGGUAUCCUCCUUUGAAUGAUUCAAGUGGCUUGACUUGGCGCAUGUUUACGCAUGUAGUUGAAACAAAAUCAACAUAACCUCUAUGAUAUUCGUGUUUAUGGUGAUUUAUGUCCUACUCAUGCUUGCACUCAAUGUUGGUUAAUUUCAAUGCAUAUUGAUGACUGUUGUCGCUCUCUAGUUGGUCGCUUCCAAGUCUUUUGCUAGCCUUCACUUGUACUAAGCGGGAAUACUGCUUGUGCAUCCACUUCCAUAAACCCAAAGUUGUUCCAUAUGAGUCCACCAUACCUACCUAUAUGCGGUACCUACCUGUCGUUCCAAGUAAAUUUGCAUGUGCCACUCUCUAAACCUUCAAGUAAUAAUCUGUUUCGUAUGCCCGAACCGCUCAUGUGGCGACAAGGGGCGGUCAGUAUCUUCCAUGCUAGGCGUGUUAUCCUCAAUACGUUUUAUUCACUAUCACUCACGAGAAAGGGGUCGGUAAUCGGAAUGCCCAGUUCCAUGCUCAAAUCGAAAAUAUAAAUGCAAACAAAACUCCCCCUGGAUUGUUGUUGGUAUGGACGGCACCUGAGGAUUCGGCUAGUCAUAGAGUGUGAUUGAUUGGUGGUGGGGGAGUCAAAACUUUACUUUUCUGUUUGGGAACCGCCUAUAAUAUGUGUAGCAUGGAAGAUGGUGAAAACUCUUGGUCAUUGCUUUGACAAUGAGAGCAUACUACUCAAAAUUAUUUGUCUCUCUUGAGCUCUGGCACCUCUGCAAAUCAAUGCUUCCCUCUGCGAAGGGCCUAUCUAUUUAUGUUUCUGUUGAGUCAUCCUCUCCUUAUAAAGGCACCAAUUAGAGAGCACCUCCGUCAUUUUUAUGCUUUACUAUUAAUUGGUAUUGAGUAUGACUGUGGCUGGAUCUUCUUUGCCAUAAAUUACAAUGUUCACUCAGCCCUUGGUCUUUGAAGGUGCUCUGCAUUUAUGUUUUGCGGUCUCAGAAAGAGCUAGCGAGAUACCAUCUGUUUGUAUUGCUUCAUGAUUGCUUUGAUUGAAGUGUUGACAUUUGAAACUUACUAUUAUUGCUCGCUAGUUGAUUAUGCCAUUGAUAUGAGUACAUCAUGAGACCUAAAUGUCAUUGCUUAUGUGGUUAGAUUAUGAUAUUGCUGAAAAUCUGAAUAUGAGUUAGACAUAAUUACAACAACAAGAUCAAACAAAGUUCGUAAAAGUUUUUCUUUUGUCUCUUUCAGUUUGUCAACUGAAUUGCUUCAGGACAAGCAAGGCUUUAAGCUUGGGGGAGUUGAUACGUCUCCAUCGUAUCUACUUUUCCAAACUCUUUUGCCCUUGUUUUGGACUCUAAUUUGUAUGAUUUGAAUGGAACUAACUCGGACUAACGCUCUUUUCAGCAGAACUGCCAUGGUGUUGUUUGUGCGCAGAAAUAAAAGUUCUUGGAAUGACCUGGAAAUUUACGAGGAUUUUUUGUGGAAUAUAUAAAAAAUACUGGCGCAAGAAUUACCUGGAGGUACGGAGCCAGGAGCCCACAAGCCCAGGAGGCGCGCCCCCCCUUGCCGCGCCUGGCAGGAUUGUGAGGCCCUCGUGGCUCCGCCGCCUCCAACUCCAGCUCUAUAUAGUCUCUCUCGCCCAGAAAAAAUUAAGAGAGAAGAAUUCAUCGCGUUUCACGACACGGAGCCGCCGCCACCACGUGUUCUUCCUCUGGAGGGCAGAUCUGGAGUCCGUUCUAGGCUCUAGAGAGGGGAAAUCGUCGCCGUCGUCAUCACCAACCAUCCUUCAUUGCCAAUUCCAUGAUGCUCUUCAUCGUUCGUGCGUAAUCUCAUCGUAGGCUUGCUGGACGGUGAUGGGUUGGAUGAGAUCUAUCAUGUAAUCGAGUUAGUUUUGAUGGGGUUUGAUCCCUAGUAUCCACUAUGUUCCAAGAUUGUGUUGGGGAACGUCGCAUGGGAAACAAAAAAAUUCCUACGCACACGAAGACCUAUCAUGGUGAUAUCCAUCUACGAGGGGGAUUUCAGAUCUACGUACCCUUUUAGAUCGCACAGCAGGAAGCGUUAAUAAACGCGGUUGAUGUAGUGAAACAUCCUCACGUCCCUCGAUCCGCCCCGCGAACCGUCCCACGAACCGUCCCGCGAUCCGUCCCACGAUCUAGUGUCGAACGGGCGGCACCUCCGCGUUCAGCCACCUACAACUCGACAAUGAUCUUGGCCUUCUUGAUCCAGCAAGAGAGACGGAGAGGUAGAUGAGUUCUCCGGCAGUGUGACGGCGCUCCGGAGGUUGGUGGUGAUCUUAUCUCAGCAGGGCUCCGCCCGAGCUCCGCAGAAACGCGAUCUAGAGGAAAAACCGUGGAGGUAUGUGGUCGGGCUGCCGUGGCAAAGUUGUCUCAAAUCAGCCCUAAUACCUCAGUAUAUAUAGGAGGGAUGGGAGGGGCCUUACCUUGAGGCUCAAGGAGCCCCAAGGGGUUCGGCCGAAGGGGGGGAGGAGGAAUCCUCCUCCAAUCCUAGUCCAACUAGGAUUGGAAGGUAGAGUCCUUCCCUUCCUUCCCACUUCCCCUCUCACGCAAUACAUGAGCGUGAGCCAUGGUUAUAGCACUAUAGAUGGUGUGGAAUGUGGUGGAGGUUGCAAGACAAAAAGGAGAAGAUAGUCACAUUAACUAGGCAUAUCAAUGAGCUGUGGAGAUGCUCAUCAAUAGAUAUCAAUGUGAAUGAGUAGGGAUUGCCAUACAAAUGAUGCACUAGAGCUACGAGUAUGUGAAAGCUCUUAAAGAAAACUAGUGGGUGUGCAUCCAACUUGCUUGAUCACGAAGAUCUAAGGCAAUUUUGAGGAAGCCUAUCAUUGGAAUAUACAAGCCAAGUUAUAUAAUGAAAAUUUCCCACUAGCUAUAUGGUGGUGACAAAACGAGAGACUCUCAAUCAUGAAGAUCAUGGUGCUUAAUAUGCACAAGUGUGGAAAAAGUGGUAGCAUUGUCCCUUCUCUCUUUUUCUCUCAUUUAUUAUUAUUAUUUUGGUGGGCUCUUUGGCCUCUUUUUUUAUAUUUUGGUGGGCUUCUUUGGCCUCUUUUAUUUCCUCACAUGGGACAAUGCCCAUUAAUGAUGAUCAUCACACUUUCAACUCAAAACUUAGAGCAACUAUGACUCUAUAUGGAAUGCCUUCGGUAGUGUACCGUGGCAAUGAUCUAGCAUGGCAUAGACAUCAAUGGAAACAUCAUGCUAGCUAUCUUACGAUCAUGCAAUGGCAAUGUAGACGUGGUGGCACAUGUAGUGGUGGUAGUUGCAUGGCAAUAUAUCUCGGAAUGACUUUGAAAACGCCAUAUUAGGUAGGUAUGGUGGCUGUUUUGAGGGAGGCUAAUGGUGGGUUUUGUGCACCGGCCAAAGUUGCACGGCACUAAGAAGAUAGUGAUGGUGGAAGGUGAAAGUGCAUUUAAACCAUGGACUCAACAUUAGUCAUGAAGAACUCAUAUACUUGUUGCAAAAGUUUUAUUAGUAAUCGAAACAAAGCAUUCAACGCAUACUCCUAGGGGAAGGGUUGGUAGGUAUAAACCAUCGCGCGAUCCCGACCGCCACGCAAAGGAUGACAAUCAAUAUACUAAUCAUGCUCAGAUUUCAUCACAUAGCGGUUCAUCAUACGUGCAUGCUACGGGAAUCACUAACUUCAACACAAGUAUUUCUAUAUCCACAACACCUUACUAGCAUGACUUCAAUAUUACCAUAACCACAACUCAAAACUAAUUGAGAUGAAUCAAACUUCUCUAACUAUUCAAUGCACAUGAAGGUGGAAGUUUUCAUAUCCCUUUGGAUAACUACCCCUUUUGAGACUACUUUCAAAGCAUAGAUCAACUACCAAGCCACGCACCGUUGUGCUCUAAAAGAUAUAAGUGAAGCACAUAGAGCAAAAGUAUCUAGCUCAAAAGAUAUAAGUGAAGCACAUGUGAGCUGAAUUGUCUACCAAAAGAUAUAAGUGAAGGUCGAAAAAAUCACGGUGAGUGCAUGUCUCUCUCUCUAGGUGUGCAGCAAGGAUGAUUGUGUAACAACAAAAAUAAAAGACUCCUACGAUACAAGACGCUCCAAGCAAAAACACAUAUCAUGUGGUGAAUAAAAAUAUAGCCCCAAGUAACGUUACCGAUGGAUUGAAGACGAGAGAGGGGAUGCCUUCCCGGGGCAUCCCCAAGCUUAGGCUUUUACGGCAUCCUUGAAUCUCUUGGGGUACCUUGGGCAUCCACAAGCUUGAUCUCUUGCCACUCUUUAUCUUUUUGUCCAUAAGAACUUCACCCAAAACUUGAAAACUUCACAACACGAAACUUAAACAGAAACUCGUGAUAACAUUAGUAUGAGAAAGCAAACCACCACUUCCUUAGGUACUGUAGCAAACUUAAAUUCUACUUGUGACGAUGUUGGGUUACUGUAUUUUCAAUCUUCCAUGGCUAAUACCCCCGAUACUAUCGAUAGUUUCAUCAAAAUAAGCAACCAACACAAUAAAAACAGAAUUUGUUAACAGCAGACCAGUCUGUAGCAAUCUGUAUAUUUCGUAUACCUCUGGUACUUCAAAAAUUCUGAAAAAUUACGACAGUCUUAAGAAUUUGUGUAGUAAUAAGAAGAAAAAGAAUCAACUCAAAAUAUCUUACAGAAAAAAAAACGAAAAUUCUUUUCGUGAGCAGAAAGUUUCUGUCUUUUCCAGCAUGACCAAACGAUCAUCCCCAAGACUAAUCAUAACGGUUUUGCUUGGCACAAACGCAAAAAGAAACACAAAAAACACAAUCAUAACAGAAUUAUGAAAGUGUGGAAAACACAAAACAGAAAGAAAAAGGAUAGAUUCGUUGGGUUGCUUCCCAACAAGCGCUUUUGUUUAACGCCCUUAGUUAGGCAAAAAGUGAUGGAAUCACGUAUAGUCAUCUUUGGUGCUCAAACCAUAAGUAGCCCUCAUCAUAGAUUCAUAAGGCAAUCUUAUUUUAUUUCUAGGAAAGUGCUCCAUGCCCUUCUUCAAAGGAAAUUGAAAUCUAAUAUUCCCUUCCUUCAUAUCGAUGAUAGCACCAAUAGUCCUUAGGAAAGGUCUACCAAGAAUAAUGGGACAUGAAGGAUUGCAAUCUAUGUCAAGUACAAUGAAAUCCACGGGUACAUAGUUCUUAUUUGCAACAAUAAGAACAUCAUCGAUCCUUCCCAUGGGUUUCUUGACAGUAGAAUCCGCAAGAUGCAAAUUAAGAGAACACUCUUCAAUCUCAUGAAAACCAAGAAUAUCACAUAAAGACUUUGGAAUCGUGGAAACACUAGCACCCAAAUCACACAAAGCAUUGCACUCAUAGUUUUUGAUCUUGAUUUUUAUAGUAGGUUCCCACUCAUCAUGGAGUUUUCUAGGUAUAGAGACUUCUAGUUCGAGCUUCUCUUCAAGAGAUUUCAUCAUAGCAUCUACGAUAUGCGCGGUAAAGGCUUUGCUUUGGCUAUAAGCAUGUGGAGAGUUUGCAAUGGAUUGCAUCAAAGAAAUGCAUUCAAACAAGGAGAAAUUAUCAUAAUUGAAUUCCUUGAAAUCCAAAGUGGGAGUUUCAUUACUACCUAAAAUUUUGACCUCUUCUACUCCACUCUCCACACCUUUAUCAUCAAGAUAGGUGGACUCCGAAUCAUUGGGGCGUUUUUCAACCAAAGUGGAUUCAUAUCCAGCCCCUCCAUAAAUAGGUUUGACACGCGAAAAAAAAGAUUCAAGAGGAGACACACCAAGCACUUUAAGAUCUUCGUGGUUUGCAUCACUAGAACACACCCUUUUAAACCAUUCAUGCCUAGCGCGAAUUUGGGCGGUUAUUUCUUUGCUCUCAUUCAUGGAGACACGCAUAGCUUUCAAAGUUUCAUCCAAGUUGACCUUGGGAGGAGCGCAUCUAACUUUCAAAGCAUCAAUAUCACAAGACAUCCUAUCAACGCUCUUAGCCAAAUCGUCUAUUUUGAGUAGUUUUUCCUCUAUGGACGCAUUAAAAUGUUUUGAGAGUUGAUGAACUCUUUGAUAUUACUCUCUAAAUCAGAGGGUAAUUUGUUGUGAUUCCCAUAAGCGUUGUUGUAGGAAUUGCCAUAAUUGUUAGAGGAGUUACUAGGAAAAGGCCUAGGAACAUAGUUUCCUCUAAAAGCAUUGUUGUUGCCAAAAUUGUUCCUACCAACAAAGUUCACGUCCAAACUAGCGUUGCUACUCUCAAUCAAGGAAGAUAGUGGCAUGUCAUUAGGAUCUACGGUAGCGUUUCUACUAGCAACCAAAUUCAUCAACUCGUAGCACUAAGCGAGUUAAUUUCUUCUAUAGCGUGCACCUUUUUGCUAGCAGGCGACCUUUCAGUGUGCCACUGAGAGUAGUUGGUCAUGAUAUUGUCUAGGAGUUUUGUAGCGUCUCCUAACGUGAUUUCCAUGAACGUUCCACCUGAGGCGGAGUCCAAGAUAUUGCGAGAAGCGGAAUUCAAGCUAGCAUAAAAGAUUUGUAUAAUCAUCCACAAACUCAAGCCAUGAGCGGGACAAUUUCUAAUCAUAAGCUUCAUCCUCUCCCAAGAUUGUGCAACGUGUUCAUGAUUAAGUUGCUUGAAAUUUAUGAUAUCGUUACGUAAGGAGAUGAUCUUAGCCGGCAGAAAAUACUUGGAUAUGUAAGCAUCUUUGCACUUAUCCCAAGAAUCGAUAUUAUUUUUAGGCAAAGAAGAAAACCAAGUUUUUGCGCGAUCUCGCAAUGAGAAAGGAAAAAAGCUUCAACUUAAUCACGUAAUUAUCCACAUAUCUUUUCUUUUGCAUAUCACAAAGCUCAAUGAAGGUAUUGAGAUGGGAUGCGGCAUCUUCACUAGGAAGGCCAGAGAAUUGCUCUUUCAUAACAAGAUUCAGCAAAGCUGCGUUGAUUUCAUACGAUUCCGCACUAGUGGCGGGGGGGGGGAUCGGAGUACUAAUAAAAUCAUUAUUAUUACUGCUCGAGAAGUCGCAAAGUUUGUUGUUUUCAGCCAUGAUGACUUCAACAAACAAACAAGCACACAAGCAAGCCCCAAGGGGUUCGGCCGAAGGGGGGAGGAGGAAUCCUCCUCCAAUCCUAGUCCAACUAGGAUUGGAAGGUGGAGUCCUUCCCUUCCUUCCCACUUCCCCUUUUUUUCUCUUUGAUUUUUCUUAUCUCCUGCGCAGGGGCCUUCUUGGGCUUGCCCACCAGCCCACUAAGGGCUGGUGCGGCACCCCUAAGGCCUAUGUGCUUCCCCGGGGUGGGUUGCCUCCCCCCGGUGAACAUCUGGAACCCAUUCGUCACUCCCGGUACAUUCCCGGUAAUGCCGAAAACUUUCCGGUAAUCAAAUAAGGUCAUCCUAUGUAGCAAUCUUCGUCUCCGGACCAUUCCAGAAACCCUUGUGACAUCUGUGAUCUCAUCCGGGACUCCGAACAACAUUCGGUAACCAACCAUAUAACUCAAAUACGCAUAAAACAACGCCGAACCUUAAGUGUGCAGACCCUACAGGUUCGAGAACUAUGUAGACAUGACCCGAGGGACUCCUCGGUCAAUAUCCAAUAGCGGGACCUGGAUGCCCAUAUUGGAUCCUACAUAUUCUACGAAGAUCUUAUCGUUUGAACCUCAGUGCCAAGGAUUCAUAUAACCCCGUAUGUCAUUCCCUUUGUCCUUCGGUAUGUUACUUGCCCGAGAUUCGAUCGUCGGUAUUCGCAUACCUAUUUCAAUCUCGUUUACCGGCAAGUCUCUUUACUCGUUCCGUAAUACAAGAUCUCGUGACUUACAAUAAGUCACAUUGCUUGCAAGGCUUGUGUGUGAUGUUGUAUUACCGAGUGGGCCCCGAGAUACCUCUCCGUCACACGGAGUGAUAAAUCCCAGUCUUGAUCCAUACUAACUCAACGGACACCUUCGGAGAUACCUGUAGAGCAUCUUUAUAGUCACCCAGUUACGUUGUGACGUUUGAUACACACAAAGCAUUCCUCCGGUGUCAGUGAGUUAUAUGAUCUCAUGGUCAUAGGAAUAAAUACUUGACACGCAGAAAACAGUAGCAACAAAAUGACACGAUCAACAUGCUACGUCUAUUAGUUUGGGUCUAGUCCAUCACAUGAUUCACCCAAUGAUGUGAUCCAGUUAUCAAGCAACAACACAUUGUACAUAGUGAGAAGACCCUGACUAUCCUUGAUCAACUAGCUAGCCAACUAGAGGCUUGCUAGGGACAGUGUUUUGUCUAUGUAUCCACACAUGUAUCUAAGUCUUCAUUCAACACAAUUAUAGCAUGGAUAAUAAACGAUUAUCUUGAUACAGGAAUUAUAAUAAUAACUUAUUUAUCAUUGCCUCUAGGGCAUAAUUCCAACAGAUUGAUGUUGCUACUACUUUGCUAUGCUUAAUGCUUGUCACUAGGGCCCGAGUGCCAUGAUUUCAGAUCUGAACCUAUUAUGUUUUCAUCAAUAUAUGUGUGUUCUUGAUCCUAUCCUGCAAGUUGUAGUCACCUACUAUGUGUUAUGACCCGGCAACCCCGGAGUGAAAAUAGCCGGAACCACUCCCGGAGAUGACCAUAGUAUGAGGAGUUCAUGUAUUCACUAAGUGCUAAUGCUUUGUUCCGGUUCUCUAUUAAAAGGAGACCUUAAUAUCCCUUAGUUUCUAUUAGGACCCCGCUGCCACGGGAGGGAUGGACAAUAGAUGUCAUGCAAGUUAUUUUCCAUAAGCACGUAUGACUAUAUACGGAAUACAUGCCUACAUUACAUUGACGAACUGGAGCUAGUUACAUAUCUCCCCAUGCUAUAACUGUUACAUGAUGAAUGUCAUCCGACAUAAUUAUCCAUCACCGAUCCAAUGCCUACGAGUUUUUCCUACUGGUCCUUCUACGUUACUUUACCGCUACUGCUGUCACUAUUGCUACUCUUACCGCUGCUACCGUUACUAUCACGCUACUUUGCUACUGCAACUUUGCUGCAGAUACUAAGUCUUUCAGGUGUGGUUGAAUUGACAACUCAACUGCUAAUACUCGAUAAUAUUCUUUGGCUUCCCCUUGUGUCGAAUCAACAAAUUUGGGUUGAUUACUCUACCCUCGAAAAUUGUUGCGAUCCCCUAUACUUGUGGGUUAUCAUGCCUCUACACUCAUCGGACCGCAUACAUCGGUAUGUAUAAUUUCCAACAAGUCACUUGCACGCUCCAUUGUUCCGGAGAACGGAGUCUUAGUCAUCUUGCCCAUGAGGCAUGGUUCGCACGUGUCAAGUGAAUCAAAGUCAAGUGACUCCAAAAGUCCAUCGGAAUGGAGUUUGUUCAUGCGCUUUACACCAAUAUGACCUAAGCGGCAGUGCCACAGAAACAUGGCGCUAUCAUUGUUAACUCUAACUCUUUUGGUGUCAAUGUUAUGUAUAUGCGUAUCAUUGCUAUCAAGAUUCAAGAUGAACAAUCCUCUCACAUUGGGUGCUUGACCAUAAAAGAUAUUACUCAUAGAAAUAGAACAACCAUUAUUCUAUGACUUAAACGAGUAACCGUCUCGCAAUAAACAAGAUCCAUAUAUAAUGUUCAUGCUUAAUACAGGCACUAAAUAACAAUUAUUUAAGUUCAUAACUAAUCCUGAUGGUAAUUGAAGUGAAACUGUGCCGACGGCGAUUGCAUCAACCUUGGAACCAUCUCCCACGUGCAUCGUCACUUUAUCCUUCGCCAGCCUUCGCUUAUUUCGCAGUUCCUGUUUCGAGUUGCAAAUAUGAGCAACAGAAAUGGUAUCGAAUACCCAGGCACUACAACGAGAGAUGGUUAAGUACACAUCCAUAACAUGUAUAUCAAAUGUACCUGAUUUUUUCCUUGGCUGCCUUCUUAUCAGCCAGAUACUUGGGGCAGUUGCGCUUCCAGUGACCCACCAUUACAAUAAUAACACUCCGUUUCAGGCUUAGGUACAACUUUGGGUUUCUUCGUCGGAUUGGCAACAGGCUUGCCGCUCUUCUUGGAAUUACCCUUCUUUCCUUUGCCGUUUCUCUUGAAACUAGUGGUCUUAUUCACCAUCAACACUUGAUGCUCUUUACGGAGUUCUGACUCUCCGACUUUCAGCAUCGCGAAUAACUCGCCGGGUGAUUUGUUCAUCCCUUGCAUGUUAUAGUUCAACACAAAGCUCUUGUAGCUUGGUGGCAGUUAUUGAAGAAUUCUGUCAAUGAUAGCCUCUUGCGGGAGUUCAAUCCCCAGCUCAGCUAGACGGUUUGAGUACCCAGACAUUCUGAGCACAUGUUCACUGACAGACGAAUUCUCCUCCAUCUUGCAAGCAUAGAAUUUAUCGGAGAUCUCAUACCUCUCGAUCCGGGUGUUCUUAUGAAAGAUAAACUUCAACUCCUGGAACAUCUCAAAUGCUCCAUGACGCUCAAAGCGACGUUGAAGUCCCGGCUCUAAGUCAUACAAGACUGCACAUUGAACUACUGAGUAGUCCUCCUUGCGUGCUAACCAGGCGUUCUUAACAUCUUGGUCAGCCGCGGCGGGUGGUUCAUCUCCUAUCGCAGCAUUAAGGACAUAAUCCUUCUUCCCAGCUUGCAGGAGCAACUUAAGAUUAUGAGCCCAGUCUAAAAAGUUGCUUCCAUCAUCUUUCAACUUAGCUUUCUCUAGGAACGUAUAAAAAUUUAGGGUGACUGUCGCGUGAGCCAUUGAUCUACAACACAAAUAUUUCAAAGUGGACUUAGACUAUGUUCAAGAUAAUUAGAGUUUAACUAAUCAAAUUACUUGCUAAACUCCCACUCAAAAAGUACAUCUCUCUAGUCAUUUGAGUGGUACAUGAUCCAAAUUCACUAACUCGAGUCCGAUCAUCACGUGAGUUAAGAAUAGUUUCAGUGGUAAGCAUCUCUAUGCUAAUCAUAUCAACUAUACGAUUCAUGCUCGACCUUUCGGUCUCAUGUGUUCCGAGGCCAUGUCUGCACAUGAUAGGCUCAUCAGGCUUAACCCGAGUGUUCCGCGUGUGCAACUGUUUUGCAACCGUUGUAUGUGAAUGUUGAGUCUAUCACACCCGAUCAUCACGUGGUGUCUCGAAACGACGAACUGUAGCAACGGUGCACAGUCGGGGAGAACACAAUUUCGUCUUGAAAUUUUAGUGAGAGAUCACCUCAUAAUGCUACCGUCGUUUUAAGAAAAAUAAGGUGCAUAAAAGGAUUAACAUCACAUGCAAUUCAUAAGUGACAUGAUAUGGCCAUCAUCUUGUGCUUCUUGAUCUCCAUCACCAAAGCACCGACACAAUCUUCUUAUCACCGGCGCCACACCAUGAUCUCCAUCAACGUGUCGCCAUCGGGGUUGUCGUGCUACUUAUGCUAUUACUACUAAAUCUACGUCCUAGCAAUAUAGUAAGCGCAUCUGCAAAUACAAAUGUUAGUUUAAAGACAACCCUAUGGCUCCUGCUGGUUGUCGUACCAUCGACGUGCAAGUCGAUAUUAACUAUUACAACAUGAUCAUCUCAUACAUCCAAUAUAUCACAUCACGUCAUUGGCCAUAUCAUAUCAUAAGCAUACCCUGUAAAAACAAGUUAGACAUCCUCUAAUUUGUUGUUGCAUGUUUUACGUGGCUGCUAUGGGUAUCUAGUAUGAUCGCAUCUUACUUACGCAAAAACCACAAUAGAGAUGUGCAAAUUGCUACUUAACCUCUCCAAGGACCGCCUCGGUCAAAACCAAUUCAACUAAAGUUUAAGAAACCGACACCCGCCAGUCAUCUUUAUGCAACGAGGUUGCAUGUCAAUCGAUGAAACUAGUCUUUCGUAAGCUUAUGAAUAAUUUCGGUCCGGGCCACUUCAAUCCAACAAUACCGCCGAAUCGAGAAAAUACUAAGGAGGGCAGCAAAUCGAAAUCACCGUCCACAAAAACCCUUUGUGUUCUACUCGAGAUAACAUCUACGCAUGAACCUAGCUCAUGAUGCCACUGUUGGGGAACGUUGCAUGGGAAACAAAAAAAAUUCUACACACACGAAGACCUAUCAUGGUGAUGUCCAUCUAUGAGAGGAGAUUUGGAUCUACGUAUCCUUGUAGAUCGCACAACAGGAAGCGUUAAGAAACGCGGUUGAUGUAGUGGAACGUCUUCACGUCCCUCGAUCAGCCCCACGAACCGUCCCACGAACCGUCCCGCGAUCCGUCCCACUAUCCGUUCCGAUCUAGCGCCGAACGGACGACACCUCCGCGUCCGGCACACGUACAGCUCGACGAUGAUCUCGGCCUUCUUGAUCCAGCAAGCAAGACGAAGAAGUAGAUGAGUUCUCCGGCAGCGUGACGGCGCUCCGGUGGUGGUGACGAUCUACUCAUGUAUGGCUCCGCCCGAGCUCUGCAGAAAUACGAUCUAGAGGAAGAACUAUGGUGUCUAGAUCUGAGUUGCACGUGGCAAAAGUUGUCUCAAAUCAGCCCUAAAUCACCACUAUAUAUAGGAGGGAGGGGGAGGAGGCUUGCCUUGAGGGCCAAGCCCUCAAGGCAAGCCGACUAGGAGGAGAGGAGGAAUCCUACUCCAAUUAGGAUUGGAAAGUGGAGUCCUUCUCUUCCUUCCCACCUCCCUUUUUUUCUCUUUGGUUUUCCUUCUCUUGGCGCCAAGGCCCUCUUGGGCUGUCCCACCAGCCCACAAAGGGCUGGUGCGCCACCCUAAGUCCAUUGGGCCUCCUCCGAGUGGGUUGCCCCUCCCGAUGAACUUCCGGAACCCAUUCGUCACCCCUGAUACAAUGUCGAUAAUGCCCGAAAACCUUCCGGUAACCAAAUGAAACCAUCCUAUAUAUCAAUCUUCGUUUCCGUACCAUUUCGGAAACCCUCGUGACGUCCGUGAUCUCAUCCGGGACUCCGAACAACAUUCGGUAACCACACAUAUAACUCAACUAUACUAAAACAUCGUCGAACCAUAAGUGUGCAGACCCUGCGGGUUCGAGAACUAUGUAGACAUGCCCCGAGGCACUCCUCGGUCAAUAUCCAAUAGCGGGACCUGAAUGCCCAUAUUGGAUCCUACAUAUUCUCCCAAUAUCUUAUCGGUUGAACCUCGGUGUCAAGGAUUCAUAUAAUCCCGUAUGUUAUUCCCUUUGUCCUUCGGUAUGUUACUUGCACGAGCUUCGAUCGUCGGUAUCCGCAUACCUAUUUCAAUCUCGUUACCGACAAGUCUCUUUACUCGUUCCGUAAUAUAAGAUCCCGUGACUUACACUUAGUCACAUUGCUUGCAAGGCUUGUGUGUGAUGUUGUAUUACCGAGUGGGCCCCGAGAUACCUCUCCGUCACACGGAGUGACAAAUCCCAGUCUUGAUCCAUACUAACUCAACGGACACCUUCAGAGAUACCUGUAGAGCACAUUUAUAGUCAGCCAGUUAUGUUGUGACGUUUGAUGCACACAAGGUAUUCCUCCGGUGCCAGUGAGUUAUAUGAUCUCAUGGUCAUAGGAACAAAUACUUGACACGCAGAAAACAAUAGCAAUAAAACGACACGAUCAAUAUGCUACGUUCAUAGUUUGGGUCUAGUCCAUCACAUGAUUCUCCUAAUGAUGUGAUCCAGUUAUCAAGUGACAACACUUGCAUAUAUCGAGAAAACCUUUAUCAUUGAUCAACUGGCUAGCCAACUAGAGGCUUGCUAGGGACAUUGUUUUGUCUAUGUAUCCACACACGUAUCUAUGUUUUCAUUCAAUACAAUUAUAGCAUGGAUAAUAAACGAUUAUCUUUAAACAGGAAAUAUAAUAAUAACUAUUUAUCAUUGUCUCUAGGGCAUAUUUCCAACAUUAUCCACUAUUGUUGUAAGGACUACAUCUAGUCUUUUGACAAGAUGACUACCUUCAAAGUGUUGUUGUAAAAUGUAGUAUGACACAUAGGUAAUGGGCAUAUGAACAUCUACUGGUCAAAACCAGAUUAUGCUCUCCAUUACUAUGAGAUCUACACCGCAAUGGUGACUAUCUUCAAGGUGACCACGGAUCUCGCCUCUAAUGAAACAAAUAAAAGCAGACACAAUGACAUGCAGGUUCAUCCUUGCCAUUUUUCUUACCUUCUCUUGUCCUUCCCCUGUCCUUUCCCGUGAUGGCUCUGUGUCUCUCUCGGCAGAGGCAAUGCUGAUAACGUGUUAAACAAUGAAAUGAUCGAAGAAAACUUGUGUAUUGCAUUGAUCCCGAAACUGGGUAUUUAUACAUGGGUAAGUGUCUUUUGGAGACACCGGUUACAAGAGUUACGACUGUUCGCAAUGUCGGUAAAUAGAAGAGGCGUUUUUACACGAAAGGAAGCGUCCGUACGAACACAUGGGUCCGUAUGGCGUUUUGGGUAAACAGUAACUGCCUAUGGCACUUAUAUUCUAUUUCUAACAACGACUAAAGUGAGCCGGCCGGUUUGUUUUUGCCACGCUGGACAGACAAAGGUCCACUCCCCUCCUUUUGGGAAACAGAGAGAGAGGGUAAUGGGCCCAAUGGGGUGGGUCCCGCGACCAUGCCGGACGGACAGGCGUCGAGACUGGGGUUCGGNNNNNNNNNNNNNNNNNNNNNNNNNNNNNNNNNNNNNNNNNNNNNNNNNNNNNNNNNNNNNNNNNNNNNNNNNNNNNNNNNUUGUUGUUGUUGUUGUAUACUACUCUCUCCGUCCCAAAAUUCUUGUCUUAGAUUUGUCUAUAUAUGAAUGUAUCUAGUCACGUUUUAGUAUUUUGAUACAUCCAUUUGUAGACAAACCUAAGACAAGAAUUUUGAGACAGAGGAAGUACUUUUUAUUUAGAAGUCUUAUAUAACAAGCUAACAACAGAAUAGCAUGUAUCGAUUACAUCUCGAGGAGAAAUGACUUCUAAAGAAGGGCCCUUAACGCCUUAUUAUUCUGUCUCAUCUUGUUCACCACCUCAUAUGAGAACAAUACUAAAUAGGUUGCAAAGCCACAGUCAAACUUCAGCCUCUGCCUUCUUCCAUGUCACGAGCUUUUGAAGAAAUUCUUGCACCUGAAUCAAAAGUUAAAAUAUUAGUAGUUAUUUUAUUGGGUACAACUAACAAGACCACAAUGCAAUGCAUUUGAGGUUGAAUACAUUACCUGGGCCGGGUCCUCCAGUGAGUACGACGCUUUAGUCCACUUGCGCUCCUUGCUGACAAGGAUCCCCAAUCCGCCGUCUCGUCCACGAAGCACCUAAUUGCAAAAAAAGUGGAGAGAUAGAUUAAAUAAUGAUUUAGCAAGAUUAUGUUUCCGUGUUUAGAUGAAAUUGUAAAGAAUUCCACCUUGAAUGCAUCUUCAUCUGUCCUAUCAUCGCCGAUAAAGAUGGCUACCACCUGAGAACUGUCCCAAUUAUUUUUGCGGGCUAGCUGCUCGAGUAGAUACUUGACUGCAUACCCCUUGUUGAAUUCAGCAUUAGGACCAACCUCUAAAACCUAUAAAAUGGCAUACAAGUGUACAUGUGAUGAAUAUGAUCAAAGUUAAGCUUCAUGCACUAGCCAACGCAACCAAAAGUCCGAACUGGUGGAAAGGGCUAGGCAAUCCACAUAUACACUUUAACACCCCCUCUCGCGUGUACACUUGAGAUGGGGUGUUUAAGUGUACAUGUGGAUUGCCUAGCCCUUUCCAUUAGUUUGAAAUUUUUGUUGUGUUAGCUAGUGCAUGAAGCUUGACAAUCAAAACAUUUAAACUUGAUUGAUGUCCAACCAAAUCUACUUACCUUGUCACCAUCAGUUACUCUGAGCUCAGGAAAACCUUUAAUGGUUUUCUUGACAAGCUUCUUAACCAGUUCCUGUUUCUGCAAAGAAAUAAAAAAACGAACGUUAGGAAAAUUAUUUCAAUAUAGCAAAGAGGUGGAAGAACUCGAAUUUCUAAUUACUCUCCCACAAAAAACCGUGGCUUCCUAAGAUGGAGUUUCCUCGAUUCGAGGGUGAUGGGGUGCGAAUUUGGUUGGAUAACUGUGAAGUGUAUUUCCAGCUGUAUCAAAUUCCGGAAGGAUUCAAGGUGAUGUCGGCAUCUCUGCGUUUGCACGACAAUGCAGCUCACUGGUAUCAAACAAGUAAACACACUGAUUCUUGUGCAGAUUAGCCACAGUUCAAAGCAGCUAUCCUGCAAAAGUUUGAUGUUAACAUGCACCGCAACUGUCUGUGAGAGCUGUUGUUGUUGAAACAAACAGAGAAAGUGCAGCAAUACCGCACACUGUUUAAUCAGCUGGUGUAUCAGGUUCGACUGUAUGACUCGACUAUCAGUGAGACUAUGUUGGUGACACAACUUGUGCUAGGGUUGAAGGAGGAGAUCUGAGCUGCAGUCGAAAUUCAGCUACCCAACAUUGUUCUGAUCGCAGCAGAAUAUGCUCUGGUUCAGGAAGCUGUGUUAGAGAGACAGAGACUGCAAAUUUCCAAGGGCCCAAGACAACUACCUGUCACCUAGUUUACAGCACAUCGUCAGGGAAAUCCUUCUAAACCACAAUUUGUGGCAGGUGACCUCUGGCGUGCAAAACAAUUCAGAGUUCAGAAGAGCCAAUGGACUUUGUUACAGCUGUGGAGGCAAGUACAGCCAGGGCCACGUAUGUCCCAAUAAACCACAACUUCAACUCAAAGCAUUAGAAGGGCAUGAGAUUAAGGGCACACUGACAGAUGAAAUUUUCAACACACUUACUAUAGAAGAAGCUGUUGAGGAUGUAGCAGCUUACUUAUCAGUGAAUGCUCUGGCUGGGUCUGAAAAUCCCAAGACUAUUCGACUGAGGGAUUUAGUGGAAAAUAAGGUCAUGUUGUUGCUGGUGGAUUCAGGAAGUUCUCACACUUCCAUUGAUAAGCAAUUGACUGACAAACUUCAACAUAAAGCUACUGCUCUCAACAAACCUUUGCAAGUCAAAGUGGCAAAUGGUGAACAAUUGCAGCGUGACUCUGAACUGAAAGAGUUGCAGUGGUGGAUCAAUGGUCAUACAUUCACAUCUGACAUGAAGGUGAUUGAUCUAGGGGGGUCUGAUGCAAUAUUGGGCAUGGAUUGGUUGGAACAAUGGGGAGCUAUGACAUGUCAUUGGGAAGAAAACUGGCUCCAGUUUGACAAGCAAGGGCAACAAGUGAAUUACAAGGCAUUGUGGAGAAAACACAGGCUGAGCUCCAGGCCAUCACUAUGGAUCAAAUGUUUAAGUGGCAGAAAGACAAUGAUAUAUGGGCCACAGCAGUGCUCUCACUCUCUCUCCACACUGAAAAACAUACAGUGCCUUAGUGCAUAGCAAAAACCCUGGCUGAUUUUGCUGAUGUUUUUGAAGAUCCAAAGCAACUACCUCCUCGCAGAGUUUUUGACUGCAAUUUCCCUACUGCCAGAUAGUGCUCCCUUUAAUGUCAGACCCUAUAGAUAUAACCGUCAACAAGAGGAUGAGAUUGAGAAGCAAUUGACUGAGAUGUUGGCCUCUGGGUUGAUAAAACCUAGCAUGUCCCACUUUGCAUCCCCUAUCCUGUUGGUCAGAAAGAAAGAUGGUACACGGAGAUUUUGUGUGGACUACAGGAGAUUGAACACUGUAACAGUUAAGAACAAGUUCCCUAAAUGGUUCUCUAAACUAGAUUUGAGAGUUAGAUAUCACCAGAUCAGAAUGGUGGAAACUGAUGAGGAGAAACUGCUUUUAAAACCCAUCAUUGGCAGUACCAAUUCAGGGUCAUGUCCUUUGGUUUGACAAAUGCUCCGGCAACUUUUCAAUGUUUGAUGAAUGUGAUCUUUGGUAGAUAUGUCAGAAACAUUUUGUUGGUUUUUAUGGAUGAUAUCCUAAUCUUCAGUGAGACUCUAGAAGAGCAUCAGCAACACUUACAGCAAGUACUUCAGAUAUUGACGGAAAAUCAGCUAUAUGCUAAGCCGAGCAAGUGCCCAUUUGCCAACCAGGAGUAAAGCUACCUAGGCCAUAUCAUUUCUGACAAAGGAGUGUCUACAGACCCUGAGAAGACUAAAGCAAUGGAACAGUGGCUACAACCAAUUUCCUUUACAGAGUUAAGGGGCUUCCUGGGCCUCACUAGGUUUUACAGAAAAUUCGUACAACAGAAUGGCAUGAUGGCCAAACCAUUAACUUCUUUAUUACAACAGAAAGUGUUCCAGUGGACACCUUCAGCUCAGGCUGCAUUUGACAAAUUGAAAUUGGCAAUGGCAUCUACUCCUGUGCUGGCCCUACCUGACUUCUCUCAGCCCUUCAGUAUUGAAACUAAUGCUUGUGACACUGGCAUAGGAGCUGUCUUGAGCCAGCAAGGACAUCCAGUGGCCUACUACAGCAAAGCACUUGGAGUUAACAGCCAAAAGCUGCCCACUUAUGAGAAGGAGUUCUUGGCUAUUAUGAUGGCAGUUGACAAAUGGAGAUCCUAUCUCAACAGAGGGCCUUUUGUCAUUAAAACAGACCACAAAAGCUUGUGUAAUUUGGAAGAUCAAGUACUCCACAUUGAACUACAGAAGAAAGCCAUGGCUAAGCUAGCUGGUCUGCAAUUCAAAUUCCAGUACAAUAAAGGCUGUGAAAACAAAGCAGCAGAUGCUCUUUCCAGAGUGGGGUAUGUUUUUGCAAUACAGGCAGUUUCCACUGCUCAGCCUUUGGCUGCAAGAGGUCAUCAAUUCCUACAGUGUGGACACCAGGGCACAGGAGUUGCUCACAAAAUUGGCAGUUUUCCAGGGGCAGAACAAAGGUAUACCUUAAGACAGGGCCUGAUCAGAUAUCAGGACAGUAUUUGGGUGGGAGCUAACUCAGGCCUCCACACUAAACUAAUUGAGUCCUUCCAUGCCUCUCCUGUUGGGGGCCACACUGGCAUUCAAGCAACAUACCAGAGGGUCAAGAAACUGUUUUAUUGGGAAGGGAUUAAACAGGAUGUCCAGAACUUUGUGCAGCAAUGUCAAAUAUGUCAACAGGCCAAGCAUGAAAACUGCAAAUACCCAGGUCUUCUCAACCCCUUGCCCAUACCUACUAAAGCCUGGGAAGAUGUCACCAUGGAUUUUGUUGAAGGACUACCUAAAUCCAACGGUUUCAAUGUGAUUUUAGUAGUAGUGGACAAAUACACAAAAUACAGUCAUUUUAUACCUCUGAAACACCCCUAUACAGCUGCAACAGUGGUUCCAUUUAUGCAAAAUAUAGUCAGGUUAAAUAGCAUGCCUCUGACUAUUACUUCAGAUAGAGAGACUGUUUUUACCAGCCAUUUUUGGAAUGAAUUACUGGCCAUAUGGGGCCCCAAGCUAGAGAUGUCCACUGGCAGACAUCCUCAGACUGAUGGACAGUCAGAAAGGGUGAACCAAUGUCUUGAAAUGUAUCUCAGGUGUGCUGUGCGUGAUUCUCCAACAAUGUGGCACAAUUGGUUAGCCCUGGCAGAGUUCUGGUACAAUACAUCACACCACUCUUCUUUGGGAUGUUCCCCCUUUAAAGCUUUAUAUGGCCAAGAACCGCAGAUGGGACAGUUUUCUGUGGGAGAGUUGGUAUUUCUGAAACUUCAACCUCAUGGACAACCAUCCUUGAUCAACAGACCUUGUCCCAAGCUGGCCUUCAAAUAUUUUGGCCCUUUUCAGAUCAUGGAGAAGAUGGGUCCAGCAGCUUACAAAUUGGAUUUACCAGCAGAAGCUCAGAUCCACCCAGUCCUCCAUGUUUCCCAGCUCAAGCAACAUGUGCCAGACCAUACUCCAGUCUUCAGAUCUAUCCCCAAACCACCGACAAUGGACACUGAAGGUUUAUGCUGUCAGCACCUCACCUCCGUUGGGUGCUGCAGAACCAGGUAACCGCAAGAUGAAGAAGAUAGGAGACAGAGUGGCUAAGUGUGGUGUGCCCGUGGGCUGUGUGUGAGCCUUGUUGGGCCGUGGGCCGUGCGUUAAAGUGAGUGGCGUGUGUGAGUAGAGCAGUAUAUAAGCUCGCAUUCCUGUAGCUGUUCGGCAUCGGCAAUUAUAUGAAAUGAAAUAGUUUCUCCUUUCUCUCUUGUGCUCUGCUUUCUUCCCCAAGUCGCCACCAACCCCUGAUCCCAAAUCCUAGGGUUCAUCCCCAAGGCAAGGACGUGACAGUCUGGCCCCACAUAACAAGAGACAAAAACAAUGAAACUUUAGCUUUAGUUAUACCUUCUUCUCAAAAACCCUGUAGUGCACUGAAAUGCAAAAUUGUUUAUUUUCAACACUAGCACCCUUUAUGUCUCUGAUAACCUCCUCCAAACGCUCUCUCGCCUGUCAUGCAAGUAAUGCAUUAGCAUUUCCAGAAUGUAAUGAAAUUGAAUAACAGAUAUGCGGAUUAUUAUAGUUCGUUGUAUUUUAUACCCCGUUUAUAACAGGUUCGUACUCGCUGGUAGGUUGGUAGGCUUCUGCUUCGUCACUCUGCAGGUAAAAUCUUUACGUAAAUUCUGAACACGUCAAAGAGAAAGGAUAAACUACAUAUAGCAAUUGCUCAAUUUAAUAAUGGCUUACGAGUUUGAUGUCUGCUCCGUGGCUCCCUGCAUAGUGCAGAUUUUCAAGCAUAAUGAAACUUUUCACCUGUAGAUGAAUAGCAAAACAAGUGAGUCACUAAUUACUGUUAGGAAAGCAACUUAUCAUUAUUGAAGGCCCAAGGGGCAUAUAUAUAUAUUACACAAAACUUGAGGUGCAAGGAAAGUAAACAUAGACUAAUAAGGACUCCUAGACUAAUACUAAUACUUCCUAACACCCCCCUCAAAUGCAAAGCGUAUGCAAUAGCAUUGCAUUUGAAGAAGUGUAAUACUAAAAAAAUGAUAAUCCAAAUCCGCGUCUUGAGAGUGUCGUCGUAGCAUGAAGAGUCUUCAAAACUUGUCGAGUCGCCGAAGAAGAUAACGAAGAGAUGACACAUCAGAGGUAGACACCGCAUCACUUGAAGAUACAAGAGAAGUAUCAAGAGAAGAUGGGUUGUCAAAAGAAGAUGGCACAUCAAGAGAAAGACACCGCAUCACUUGAAGAUACAACAUAAGUAUCAAGAGAAGAUGGGUUGUCAAAAGAAGAUGGCACAUCAAGAGGAAGACACCGCAUCACUUGAAGAUACAACAUAAGUAUCAAGAGAAGAUGGGUUGUCCAAAGAAGAUGGCACAUCAAGAGAAUAAAGCAUUGCACGGAAAAUUAUAGUCCACGACAACCGUCGGCGAAAGAAGUUCGGCGGAUAAGACACGAUGGGCGUAGAUCGACAAUACAAAAGAAUUACAGAAAAUCCUAUAGAAAACAACAAGGGCAAAUAGGCCACAAAAGUUGUAUAAAAAAAGGAUCUAGAACGGAAGAAAGGCUGACGGACAAAGGUAUGAUGGACUCGCAUGGCAUGAGAAAACAAAAAUAUCAAUGGAUUUGGUGGACGUAGCGGAAAACAAGGAAGCUAAAAGCUAGGAAGCAUACACGACACAAAGAUGCAAAAUCCAUCGUGUAUGCAGAAGACAUUGUACUUUUUUUUUAUUGUUGUUGAAAUCAAAAUAGGAACGGAGCAGAAGCUAGCACGCCACCAGCCACGUACGUGACGGAAAGGCAGCAGCUAGCAUGCAUGAGCGAAUGCAGCACCACGCAGCAAGAGGAACCAGGUAGCAGCAGGUACACCGGACGAAGAUCGCGAACGCAACACCACACAGCAAGAGGAAACAGGUAGCAGCAGGUACACCGAACGAAGAUCAUCACGCAGCAGCGACCAAACCCAGACAGACCAACACAACAACGAAGAACAACUGGGUAGCACGUCAUAGUGUCACCAAAUUCUGGGCAGCAGGUGCCCACGCGCCACGAGCGAAGCAGCUGGGCGGCAGGCGGCCACGCAGCUUGAUGGAUCUCGCGGGGAGCAGUCAAUGUGCAUGCAACGGUCAUACGUCUGGCCAGGAGGUGGCAUCGGCCUUGAGAUGGACGAGGCGACCUCGAUUUGGAUUGGAGUGGGAUGGGGCGGCGCCUCGUUCUGGAUCAGGAGCCGCCGCGAGUUCUCGUUCUGGAUCAGGAGCCGCCGUGAGUUCUCGUUCUGGAUCAGGAGCCGCCGCGAGUUCUGGAGCCACCGCGAGACCUGGAUCAGGAGGCGCUUGACCUGGAGCCGCCACGAGACUGGAGCCGCCGCAAGACCUGGAACCGCCGCGAGUUAGAGCGGGGACGAGAUCCGAUCCAGGCAGCAGGUGGAGCGCGGCGAGAUCGAGAUACGAUCCAGGCAGCAGUCGGGACGGAGCGAGAUCCAGGCGACGUGAACGGCGGCUGGAGUAGAUCGAGGCGGACGGGAUCCAGCGGGGGCAGGAGCGGGAACAAGAUCCAAACCGGGGGGGGGCUGGUGCGGGUGUUGGAUCUGGCGGCACAGCAACAGCGGGACGAGAACGAGAGCUGCAGCAGGAGGAGAUCGGGAGCAACAGCUAGACGAACAACGACUGCGUGGAGAAGGAUCGGAGCACGAGUUGCGCGUGCGAAAAAAUAACCUAAGGCUCUAAUACCAUGUUAGGAAAGCAACUUAUCAUUAUUGAAGGCCCAAGGGACAUAUAUAUAUUACACAAGACUUGAGGUGCAAGGAAAGUAAACAUAGACUAAUAAGGACUCCUAGACUAAUACUAAUACUUCCUAACAAUUACAAAUGUAUAGACCAUCCAAAUUAAAAGGCUACUAGAUACCAAUUAGUCGGUAAUACCUUAUCGCGGGCCCUUCCACCGACGACUGAAGUGGCGCACAAGGAGGCAACUUCUUGAACAACAUCGCGCAUCUGAUAAUAUGGAGUCAGGGAUAAGAAAGACCUACAAAUAUCAAGUAACAUGCAAGAAUUUUUCUUUUCAUUAGGCUUACCUCACUGGACAUGUAUGCCUCGUCAGGAUUAUUUACUUUCGGCGACAAUGUUCCGUCGUAGUCCAGGAAGAGGGCUAUCGUCUUGCCCUGCCAGUUGGUUGUGAUUUCAGCAAAGCAAUCAAUAGCGGAAGGGCGUUUAGCCUGCAAUGAAGCAUACAUUAGAAAAUGCUACAAAAGUCAGUCAACAAAUAACUAAAACUUGUGAUUAUGCAAAUGUACACUUUUAGAAGACACACUUUUAUUCAAAUUCAGAAAAUCUUGUUUAAGUGGCUCAAACUUGUGAAAAGGUAAAUAUUGUACUUAAGCAUGUAUUUUAAACAUACUUUUAUUGUGAGGUCAAAUUUUAAAUGUCCACUUCAUCCAUUAGAUGUAAAAAAAUGCUUUCCUCCAUGGGCAUCUGCACGAGGAGGUCUAUAUAGAGGUACUACCCUGGGUUGGGAGAUAGUAAGACAUAUGGGAAGGUAUGCAAACUCAAGAAAUCAUUUUAUGGUUGGAAAUUGUCUCCAGAGGCAUGUUUUGACAACGUGUGGUGUGUGGCAUGGGAUACUCCCAGUGCAGUUGAGAUGAUGCAGUUUUCUAUAUGCAUUGGAAGUCACAUAUCACAAAUUCAUAAUCCUAGGGGGUAUCACGUGGAAAUGUCCCAGGUUAUGCAAAUCUGCAAAUUUCCAUCAGAGCCAUCAGUUUAGCUAUGAAUGGUCAGAUAUCAUGUUGUCCUUUUGCUGCCAUUCAUUUUCUAGAAAAUACCCCUAGAUAUAUGUUCUCCUCUUCUGUCCCCAGUUGAUGGAGCUCUUGAAUGCACUAACAGAAGGCAUGUGCUUUUCAUGUGUGCAUAAUCAAGUAGGAAUAUAUGCUAGCAUGAAGAAUAAAAAGCAAUAAAUUUGAAACAUAAGUUUAACAGAUACCCCCUCCGUCCCAAAAUAAGUGACUCAAAAAUGACUCAAUUUUGUCCGUCCAAAAAUAAGUGACUAAAAAAUGACUCAACUUUGCACCGUGCAAAUUUGAGUCAUUUUUGAGUCACUUAUUUUGGGAAGGAGGAAGUAGUAUAUAACUUAUAACACGAUAAUGGUUUUUCUAAGAGCAUCGAGAACCACAAGCGUGUGACUUUCUGAAAUCAUGUGCAGUUACGUAUGUAACUGCAUUUUUUUUGUAAUUAUUUGAAACACAAGCUCAUCUCAACUUAAAAAGAUAUCCAUAUUCCAAAUUUAGGUUUAUUGAUAUAGAUAUAUGUUCCAGCAUAAUCGGUGUGGCAGUUUUCAAAAUGAAUGGGUUGUAGUUGUAAAAUACGUAGAUUGCCAAAUGCAUUGCUCAAAAGGAAUUGGAUAGUUAAAUAUUUCAGUUGUCCUCUAAUAGAAAACUUGUUGACUGUCAGCCAACUACACUAGUGCUACUUUUGAUGGAAAUCUUGACAGGCCCAAAUGGCACAGGCCCGGGAAGGUCCAGGACCUUGCAUCCACAAAGUGUAACAGCGGGCUGAAUUUUGAAGACAGUCAUUUAAGAAGGGUUUCUUUGCAAACUGAAACAUGUGGUUUGCAGGUAGUUUUCUGCAAAAUGACUGGGGGGGGGGGCUGAGNNNNNNNNNNNNNNNNNNNNNNNNNNNNNNNNNNNNNCAGAUGCUCAAACUGACCACACCGAAAAUUUGCAGAUUUUCAGAAGAUAGUGUGUUUCCACCUGAUGCACCCCGCUAUCCUGGUGGUGUAUGUUGAUGAUAUAAUGAUAGCCAAUGAUGAUGUUAAAGAAAUUAACCUCAAGGAGAGAUUGGGGAAAACAUUUGAAGUGAAAAAUCUUGGGCAACUUCUUACAAGUAUAUACAAAGAGAAAGAAAAGGUAGGGGGUUGUACAAGGGCCUAGGCCAGAGAGUUGAGCCAGCAGCCAAGAGGAGCAGCAAGCUCAGAGGAGAGCCUAAAAGAUAAAGACGUACGUUCCUUUUUAGAGAGGAGAGAACCAGGGUUAGUAUUCUAAAAAAUCUUUCUAUUCCUUCUGCUUCCAAAUGCUCCAGGCAACCAAGAUGAAUACCUCCAUGAAGAAUGGCUUGGCAAAAGCAGCUUUGUCAGCAAUGAUGGCAGGGGUGAUAUCAUAGUUAAUAGAAGAACCAAUGCAUAUCCUAUGUCAACAGGAACUGCGAAAAGGGCAAGACAGGAAGAGGUGAUCUAUAGGUCCAUUAGCACAUAGGACAGCCAUGUGCAUCCUCUCAACAAGAAAGUUCUUUCUGAGAAGUAUGCCUCAGUAUUAGGUCUGUCUUUCAAAAGUAGCCAGGCAGGAUCCUUCAGCUUUGGAGAGCAUUUUGAUGACCGUAUCCAUCUGACAGUUGAAGAGCAAAAGAUAAGGCGUAAAUUUUCUUGGAAGAGAAGCGAUUAUUUGCCCAGGAGUAGGUCCAGUGAUCAUGAAUUUCUUGAGUAAGAUGAACAUUCUAAAGGAGCUUCCUGAAUCUAAAGCCUGUUCUGAAAGAGGGAGGUGAAACAUAUCCAGAAGCUCAUUGUGCCCAGUCACCUGCUUCACAGAGACAGUAUCAUCGUUGGCAAAAGAAUGGAGCAUGGGGAAGAGUUGACUAAGGCAAGGGCUAGAUAGAACUGAGUUUUACUUAUGGACAGAACAGUAGGCAGCAGAAAAAUAGUUGUUGUAAAGCUUGAUAACAUCUAGCUGCCAGAAGGAACCAACCCUUUGAUCAGAGCAAGGGAUAGUGUCAUUUUAAUUUUAAUAAUUCCAGACUAGGCAAGCAAUGUUAUAAGUUUGAGGUAGGAAUUGAGAAGGGAUAUUGGCUUAUAGUGAUUUUAAUUUGAUUAUGAUUGAAUCACCAUGAGAUUGAUAGCUUCUUCAUAAAGGAGAAAAUGGAUGGUGGAAUGCUACAACUUGCUUACGUAAAAUUCGAUGAGCAAUUAGCAGACUGUCUCACUAAGGGGCUAGAAACCUAGUGAUGGUAUGGCUAUUGGUAGCAAGAUGGGCAUGAUUAUAUCUUGAGGGGUGUGUGUGAUAUUAAUAUUGUGCACGUACUAAAAUGAGCAACAACAAACAACAACAACAAAGCCUUUAGUCAUAAACAAGUUGGGGUAGGCUAGAGGUGAAACCCAUAAGAUCUCGCGACCAACUCAUGAUUCUGGCACAUGGAUAGCAAGCUUCCACGCACCCCUGUCCAUGGCUAGUUCUUUGGUGAUAUCCUUUAGAUCUCUCUUUACGGACUCUUCCCAUGUCAAAUUCGGUCUACCCCGGCCUCUCUUGACACUAUCAACAUGCUUUAGCCAUCCGCUAUGCACUGGGUCUUCUGGAGGCCUGUGCUGAAUAUGCCCAAACCAUCCCAGACGAUGUUGGACAAGCUUUUCUUCAAUUGGCACUACCCCAACUCUAUCUCGUAUAUCAUCAUUUCCGGAUUCGGUCCUUCCUUGUGUGGCCACACAUCCAUCUCAACAUGCGCAUCUCCGCCACACCUAGCUGUUGCACAUGUCACCUUUUAGUCGGCCAACACUUAGCGCCAUACAACAUUGCGGGUCGGACCGCCGUCCUAUAGAACUUGCCUUUUAGCUUUUGUGGCACCGUCUUCUCACAGAGAAUGCCAGAAGCUUGGCGCCACUUCAUCCAUCCGGCUUUAAUUCGAUGGUUCACAUCUUCAUCGAUAUCCCCAUCCUUCUGCAACAUUGACCCCAAAUAUCGAAAGGUGUCCUUCUGAGGCACCAUCUGCCUAUCAAGGUAACCCCCCCUCCUCCUUGUGCCUAGUAGUACUGAAAGCGCAUCUCAUGUACUCGGUCUUAGUCCUAGUAAGUCUAAAAUCUUUCGAUUCCAAGGUUUGCCUCCAUAACUCCAACUUCCUGUUGACCCUCGCCCGUCUAUCAUCGACUGACACCACAUCGUCCACAAAGAGCAUACACCAUGGGAUAUCUCCUUGUAUAUCCCUUGUGACCUCAUCCAUCACCAAGGCAAAAAGAUAAGGGCUCAAUGUUGACCCCUGAUGCAGUCCUAUCUUAAUUGGGAAGUCAUCAGUGUCGCCAUCACUUGUUCGAACACUUGUCACAACAUUGUGGUACAUGUCCUUGAGGAGGGUAAUGUACUUUGCUGGGACUUUGUGUUUCUCCAAGGCCCACCACAUAACAUUCCGCGGUAUCUUAUCAUAGGCCUUCUCCAAGUCAAUGAACACCAUAUGCAAGUCCUUCUUUUGCUCCCUAUAUCUCUUCAUAAGUUUUCGUACCAAGAAAAUGGCUUCCAUGGUCGACCUCUCAGGCAUGAAACCAAACUGAUUUUUGGUCACGCUUGUCAUUCUUCUUAAGCGGUGUUCAAUGGCUCUCUCCCAUAGCUUCAUUGUAUGGCUCAUCAAUUUAAUUCCACGGUAAUUGGUACAACUCUGAACAUCCCCUUGUUCUUGAAGAUUGAUACUAAUAUACUUCGUCUCCAUUCUUCUGGCAUCUUGUUUGCCCGAAAAAUGAGGUUGAAAAGUUUGGUUAGCCAUACUAUCGCUAUGUCCCCGAGGCCUCUCCACACCUCAAUGGGGAUACAAUCAGGGCCCCAUCGCCUUGCCUCCUUUCAUCCUCUUUAAAGCCUCCUUGACCUCCGACUCCUGGAUUGACUGCACAAAACGCCUGCUAGUAUCAUCAAAGGAGUCGUCCAGAUCACUGGUAGAGCUCUCACCCUCCCCAUUGAACAACUUGUCAAAGUACUCCUGCCAUCUAUGCUUAAUCUCCUCGUUCUUCACCAGGAGUUGCUUUGCUCCGUCCUUUAUGCACUUGAUUUGGUCAACAUCACCCGUGUUCCUCUCUCGGAUCUUCGCCAUCUUAUAGAUCUCCCUUUUGCCUUCCUUCGUGUCUAACUGUUGGUAGAGGUCGUCAGACGCCCAACCCCUUGCUUCACUCACAGCUCGUAUUGCAACCUUCUUUGCCAUCUUGUACUUAUCUAUGUUGUCUACAUUCCUAUCCAGAUAUAGAUGUCUGAAACAAUCUUUCUUCUCCUUAAUUGCCUUGUGGACAUCAUCGUUUCACCAGCAGGUAUCUUUAGCUUCUCUUCUACUUCCCCUGGACACUCCAAACUCCUCCGAGGCCACCUUACGAAUGCAAGUCGCCAUCUUCAUCCACAUGUUGUCUGCAUCACCUCCUUCCUCCCAAGGGCCCUUCUUAAUUGUUAGGAAAUAUGCAACAUGUGUUCCCAUGAGGCCAUAGGUCGGUAUAUAUACAUGCACAUGUGUGGAAUAUAUGCAGGAAACCCCUUAUACAAUGGGAUAAGUACGAAAGGGUACAUGGCUAUAUUAUAUACUCUAACACCUCCCCUCAAACUCAUGGUGGAUGAACAACACUGAGUUUGGAGAGAUAGAAGCCAUGAUGCGCUCUAGUCUGGGCCUUCAUCAGGAAAUCCGCCAACUGUAACUCGGAAGGCACAUACUGAAGAGCAAUAACCUGGUCCUGCACACUAGCGCGCACAUAGAAAGCAUCAACACCAAUAUGCUUAGUGAGCUCAUGCUUCAUAGGAUCGCGCGCAAUGCUAAUAGCACAUGUACUGUCAGAUAAUAACAUAGUAGGUGUAGUGACAGAAACACAAAAAUCCUGAAGUAACCACCGUAACCAAGUCAACUCAGCCGUCAAAAGAGCCAUAGCUCGCAACUCAGCCUCUGCACUCGAACGGGAAACUGCAGUCUGUUUCUUCGUCUUCCAGGCAAUGAGAGAACCGCCAAGAAAACACAGUAAGCAGAAAGUGAACACCGAUCUGAGGGAUCACUAGCCCACGUAGCAUCCGAAUAAGCCUGAAGCUGUAAAGAACUGGAGCGAGGAAAGAAUAGACGGUGAGAGAUCGUGCCCCGAAGAUAUCGUAGAACACGAAGAAGGUGACUAUAGUGGACCGAAGUGGGAGCGGAGACAAACUGACUCAGAAUAUGAAUCGAUAAGAGAUAUCCGGACGAGUGACAGGUAGAUAGACAAGACUCCCUACAAGAUGAUGAUAACGCGUCAGAUCAGGCAAGGGGUCACCAUCAGUAUCACGGAGGUGGGCAUUGAGCUCCAUGGGAGUCCCAACAAUGUGAUCAUCAGUAAGAUCAGCACGAGCAAGGAGAUCCUGGAUAUACUUUUCUUGAGAUAUAAAAAAGCCAUUAGAGGUAGAAGUGACUUCAAUCCCAAGAAAGUAGCGAAGAGAUCCAAGAUUGGACAUAAGAAACUGCUCAUUAAGACGGGCCUUUACAAAGGCAAUAUACUCGGGGUCAUCGCCAGUGAUGAUCAUGUCAUCGACAUAUAGAAGAAGAAGAGUCCGACCACGAGGUGAAAGAUGGACAAACAAUGCUGGAUCAUGAGCACUUGCUGAAAAACUAGUGGUAGUCACCACAGAGGCAAAAUGUUCAAACCAGGCACGGGGGGCUUGCUUAAGGCCAUAGAGAGAGCGGCGAAGACGAGAUACCAUGCCAUCACGAACCGAAUACCCAGGUGGUGGCUGUGUAUAUACCUCCUCACGCAGCUCACCAUUAAGAAAGGCAUUCUUAGCAUCAAGCUGAGAGACGGACCAGUGGCGUGAAGAGGCCACGACAAGAAGUGUACGAAUAGUUGUCAUAUGGGCCACAAGAGCAAAAGUCUCGUCGUAAUCACGACCAGGGGCGGAGACAGGGGCGAGCAGGGGCUAGAACCCCCCCCCCAACCGAUCGCACCCCCAACAACUAUCAGCGGGCAGUGUGGUACUAUGUACCGCUGCUCCUUUUUUUAGGGAGAAGUAUUAUUGUUUCUCUACUAAUGGCCGGGAGUAAUGAACUUAAUUAGCCCAUGCUUGAUUAACAACGCACUGGAACUAAAGAAGCCCAGCCCAUGUGCCAUUGUGGCUUUGCCUCUCCACGCGUGCUAUGCCAUGCAAAUACAAUCCAUCAGAUCGAACGGUGUUGCCUGCGUAUGGCUGCCAUAGGAGAGUCUAGGUCUAGGGCGCUUCCGUAGUCGCCUUCCUCCCUUCUCACAACCACAUACCACCACAUGGUCGGAGGCUGGAAGAUUGGAGACCUGUUAUGAGUAUUUAUCAAUUUCAACCUGGCCACUUUAUCGCGGCCUGCCGGUGUUGUCGUGGAGUGAACUCUCCGGCUAGAUUGUUUUUAAGGCACAUACAUACAACUAAUGACUAAUCUAUUUCUCUUUGAUGCACCAAUUUCUAAUAGCUUGAUUUAUAGGAAUAUUUGUUAAUUACAUGUAUUGGGAUGAGAUAUAGAUCUAAUUUAUUUGUUGCUUCUAUUUAGCUAUACUAUACCUAUCGGUUUAACCGAACAGAUUAUUAACUCUUCUGAUCUGAUAGAUAAAUGUAUGCAAUGCUAAAAUGAACAAACAGUCUGAAAACAAUUGUUGUUGUGAUUUAUAUAACUUAUAAUAAUUAUACAACUAAUGCUAUUGGAAAUGUGUGUUGCUAUUUGAGUGUGAGACUUGAUUCUUGCUUCUUUGCCCCUCCCCCCUUAUAUUCAAAUCUUGGCUCCGCCCGUGAUCACGACCAUGCUCCUGCUGAAAACCACGAGCCACGAGACGAGCUUUGUAACGCCCAAGAGAACCAUGAGAGCGAGUCUUAACCUUGUAGACCCACUUACAAGUGAUAGGACGAACACCUGGAGGAAGAGAAACAAGAUCCCAUGUACCGGUGCGUUCAAGAGAAGCAAUCUCCUCUGCGAUCGCAAACUACCAUUCAGGAUGAACAAUAGCCCCACGAUAAGAAGUCGGCUCAAGAACAGCAGCACCAGCGGUGGAAAAACCAAGGCGAUCAACAGACGGAAGCGGACGAGGACGCAAGCCAUAGGUAGGCUGAGAGGAGGAGGACGACACAUCACCAAAUGCAUCCACAUGACGUGAACGACGAGUAUAAUGCUGAGGAAAAGAUGGAAGAAUGUGAGGAGGAAUCGUCGAAACAUAAUCGGGGGGUGGAGACGAAGAAGUCACCGAGGAGGAAGGUGCAGAAUCCGGUGACAUGCGAGGUGAGGAAACCGUGGGAGAUGGUGGCGGCAAAUCGACAAGAGGUGGAGAAGCAGAGUGAGCAGGACGGGACGACAAAGGCUCGACGGGGGUGAUAGGUAUGUCAGGAAAAGUGAGGAAAGAGAUAUCCUCCACUGAAAAGGUCGAGGAAGAUGGACGCCGGUAGAAGGGACGAGACUCAUCAAAAGUCACAUCCCGAGAAAUACGCAUCCGACGACCUAUAGGAUCCCAACAACGAUAGCACUACCCUGUAGAGCAGAGGACGACUGGAGAUUGAUGAGAUAGGUGGAGGUGAAGACGCUCGAAAGGAACACUACCCUGUAGAGCAGAGGACGACUGGAGAUUGAUGAGAUAGGUGGAGGUGAAGACAACCUCAGCCCAAAAAUGAGGCGACAGAGAGGUGGCGAUGAUCAAUGCACGAGCUGUCUCAAAAAGGUGACGAUGCUUACGCUCAGCCACACCAUUCUGAGCAUGAGCACCAGGACAAGAGAACUGAGAGAGAGUCCCUGAGCAAGAACACCACGCAACAUCUUGGAAAUAUACUCGCCAACGGAGUCAACAUGAAACACACGAAUAGGUGAAGAGAACUGAGUGUGAACCAUGGCAGCAAAACGCUUAUAUAUAGAUAAAACUUCACUGCGAGAAGUCAUAAAGUAUAGCCAAGUGUAACGAGAGAAAUCAUCUAUGAAAAUAAUAUAGUAUCGAUGACCCCCUUUCGAAGCGAAGGGAGCCGGUCCCCAUACAUCGGAGUGGACUAAAUCAAAAGGACGAUGGGAUACUGACUCACUGGUUGGAUAAGGUAACUGAAUCUGUUUGCCAAGCCGACAACCCUGACACUAUAAAGAGGCAUCUCCUGAGACAGACCCCAGAAGGCCUCGACGAACUAAAGACGACAAACGAGAACCACAAAGAUGACCAGGUCGAUGAUGCCACUGCUGGAAGGAGCCGGUAGCUGAAGCGGAUGAACUGGUGAUAGUGGUGGUAGCGGAAGGAACAUGAAGCCAGUCAAGCUCCCAAAGACCCUCAGAGUCGCGGCGGCGAGGGCCAGCCCCAACCAAAGUGUGCGUUCGACGAUCCUGAACAGAACAAGAGUCAAUUUCAAGGAUGACGCGACAACCAGAAUCAGUAAGUUGACCAGCAGAAAAAAGAUUCAUGGUAAAUCGAGGAACAUGAGCAACAUCAGGAACAGAAUAAGAGGGCGUGGUAAGAUUGCCUCGACUAGCAACAAAAAGAGGAGUACCAUCAGCAGUGAGUACAUGAACCGAAAAAUCAAGUGGUCUAAGAGAGGACAAAUUGGAAGAAUGAGAAGACAUAUGAAAAGAAGCUCCGGAGUCCGGAACCCACGAGGAUGUAUCUAACUGUGUAGAGGGUGGUGGUUGCUCAGUGCGGGAAGCAUCAGUCACAGAACCUGCAGUGCCCGUCGAAGAAGAACCCGAAGCAGCAAGUAGACGCUUAGGCCUCAGAAUAUCCUGCUCAGUCAAGGCCGUGGCAGACGAUGUCGAAGGAGAGUUCCCUGAUGAUGAUGACCGCGCCUUAUGCAGGGGUCGCUUCUUCUGGAAGCACUGAGACUCAACAUGCCCAUCCAUAUUGCAGUAGCCGCAGUGAGGACGAGAGCGACCCUGACCACCUGUAGGAGUAGGCAAGAGCGGUGGAGCACUAGAGCGGGAAGAAGCCGGUGCAGCAGGCGGUAUAGCAGGAACUCGAGGAGCAAGCACAGAGGGAACCUCAAGUAACCCAGUGCCACGUAUACGAGUCUCCUCAGCACGAAUCUCAGAAAGCGCCUCCAUGAGGGAGAUACGACCACGAGCAAACAACUGAGCACGCCGGGGCUCAAACUCCUUACGAAGCCGAGACAGGAACUCAUAGACACGGUGAAACUCCAAAUCAGCCCGCACAGCCUGGCAACACUGACAAGUACGACAACCAGCAGUGCGGAGAGAAUCAAGCUGACGCCAGAUAGCAGAACUCUGUGCAUAGAAAUCAUCAACACUGGAGUCACCCUGCUGAAGAGCAUGCUCCCGACGGACCACAGAGAGGUAUAAGGCAUCACCAGAUGGCUCAUAGCGCUGACGGAGACGAGUCCACAUCUCAAAUACAGUAGGAAGGCCUAGAAACUCAGAGCAGACUGAGGCAGAACACUAGCAGUGAGAACAGCUGCAGCACGAGCAUCAUCAUCAAGCCACUGGGUGUAAACAGCAGAGCACCAUGAUACGUCUGAAGAGCCUCCUCAUAAGUCAAAAACUGCUCAUCAUAAGCACGAACAACGGCCUCAUCAGCAAGUUUAGCUUCAUCCUUCGCGGCCCGAUUAGCAUCCGCGGGAAGAACCGGUGGCUUCGGCGGAGUGGGAGCCACAGGAGGAACCGGACGUGGCGGACAGCGGACCCCGCCAGAAAGAACACCUCACAGACGUAUGCCACUCAUAUGAAUGCGCAUGAAGCCAAUGAACUUGGUGUAGUUAGUGCCAUCAAAAAUCACCGGACAAUGAGGAACAGCAACAUAGCUCGAUGAUGCAGUCAUUUUUUUAGUCACAGCAGCAGCAGGACAGAGAACAGCGACAACCGCAGUCAGGCUUCAGGCGGCAGGGGCGACGAGAACCAGCAGCAGGAGGAGAAGCAACAGGCCCGCGGUAGCCGGUCGGACGAGAGACAAGCAGUGGCGACCGAUGUUGUCAGAGAUGCUUCAAUCCAGAGGGCUUCAGACCAAAUAGGCAAGCGGGACCAGCAGCCUCGAGCGGAACCGCGAGAUCGGGACCUGCAGCCUCGAGAGGAAACGCGAAAUCGAGGCCGGCGGCUUCGAGCGGAACCUAGAGAGCAGGCGGGGCCUCCAGAGCGAGAUAGGCAAGCCCGCGGGCGAGACAAGCUAGAGCGAAAAUGCGAGAACGGAGCCAGCUUCGAGCAGGUCCUCCAGAGCGGGGCCGGCAGCGUCAAUCCUGAGGGCGGCUUCUGUUAGAGUUAUAAUAUAAGUCAUGUACCCUUUUGUAUUUAUCCCAAUAUAUAAGGGGUUUCCUGCAUAUAGUCCAUCACCUGUACAUGUAUAUAUACCGGCCUAUGGCCUCAUGGGAAUACAAGUUGCUUAUUCCUAACAUGGUAUUAGAGCAUUAGGGUUUUUUCUCGCACGCGCGACUCGUGCUCCGAUCCCGUCUCGUCCGCAUCUGGUUCCCGAUCCAGGCGCUACUUCCGUCCCGAUCCAGGCGUGGCUCUCGUCCCAAUCCAGGGGCUACUCUCGUGCGCGGCUCCCGUCCCGAUUCAGGGGCUUCUCUCGUCGCCAGCCGACGUCCCGGUCCAGGGGCCGCUCUCGUCCACGUCCCCGAUCUGGAGUCAAACCACGAGACAAGGAGCAUCCCCGAUCUGGAGUCACACCACGGGACAAGGAGCAGCAGUAACCUGAUCCAGUUCGGUCUGGAGUCCAACUAGUCUGCAUCUUCUCUGGACUCCACCUGCCACCGCUGAUUUUGUUCCCGAUUUGGAGUCCAACUAGUCAGCCCUUGCACCGCUGAUCCUGUCGCCCAGAUCGUCACCAGCUCCCGANCGCUGUCCGGUGAUCUUUGAUGGCACUAACUACACCGAGUUCACUGGCUUCAUGCGCAUUCACAUGCGUGGCAUCCGUCUAUGGGGUUUUCUUUCUGGCGAGGUCUGCUGUCCGCCCUGUCCGGUUCCUCCAGUGGCUCCCACUCCGCCGACCCCACCGGCUCUUCCUGCGGAUGCUCCUCAGGCCGCAAAGGAUGCGGCUAAGCUUGCUGAUGAGGCCGCUGUGAGUGCUUAUGAUGAGAAGGUCUUGGCUUAUGAGGAGGCUCUUCAAACGUAUCAUGGUGCUCUGUCUGCUUACACCCAGUGGCUUGAUGAUGAUGCUCGUGCUGCAGCUGUUCUCACUGCUAGCGUCCUGCCUCAGUUUGCCUCUGAGUUUAUGGGCCUUCCUACUGUGUUUGAGAUGUGGACUCGCCUUCGUCAGCGCUAUGAGCCCUCUGGUGAUGCCUUAUACCUCUCUAUGGUUCGCCAGGAGCAUGCUCUUCAGCAGGGUGACUCUACUGUUGAUCACUUCUAUGCACAGAGUUCUGCUAUCUGGCGCCAGCUUGAUUCUCUCCGCAGUGCUGGUUGUCGUACUUGCCCCUGUUGCCAGGCUGUCCAGGACGAUUUGGAGUUUCAUCGCGUCUGCGAGUUCCUGUCUCGGCUCCGUAAGGAGUUUGAGCCCCGGCGUGCUCAGUUGUUUGCUCGUGGCCGUAUCUCUCUCAUGGAGGCGCUUUUUGAGAUUCGUGCUGAGGAGACUCGCUUACGUGGUGCUGGUUUACUGGAGGUUCCCUCGAUGCUCACUGCUCGAGCUCUUUCUACGCCACCUGCUGCACCGCCCCCUUCUCGCUCGAGUGCUCCCCUGCUCUUGCCCACUCCUUCUGGAGGCUCAGGUCGCCCCCGUCCACAUUGUGGCUACUGCAACAAUGAUGGUCAUAUUGAGUCCAACUGCUACACGAAGAAGAAACACUUGCGCAAGGCGCGAUCAUCAUCUACAGCGACUUCGUCAUCCACCUCGACAACUUCAGCCAUUGCUUUGACUGAGCAGGAUAUUCUGAGACUUAAGCGUCUGCUCGUUGCUUCCGGUUCUUCCUCGACAUGUACUGCUGGUUCCGUGACUGAGGCUUCCCGCACCGAGCAACCACCUUCUACAAAGUCAGGUACACCCCAUGGGUUCUGGACUCUGGAGCUUCCUUUCAUAUGACUUCUAAUUCUUUCAUUCUGUCCUCUCUUCGAUCGCUUGAUUCUCCUGUUCAUGUCCUCACCACUGAUGGUACUCCCCUUCCUGUCGUUAGUAGAGGCACUCUUACCACUCCUUAUUUUGUUCCUGAUGUUGCUCAUGUUCCUUGACUUACCAUGAAUCUGUUUUCUGCUGGUCAACCUGCUGAUUCUGGUUGUCGUGUCAUCCUUGACCUUGACUCUUGUUUUGUCCAGGACCGUCGCACGCACACUCUGGUUGGGACUGGUCCUCGCCGCCGUGAUUCUGUCGGUCUUUGGGAGUUGGACUGGCUUCAUGUUCCUUCCGGUACCCACUCUAUCGCCAGUUCUUCCGCUUUGGUCGCCUCGGCUACUGGUUCCUUCCAGCAGUGGCAUCAUCGACUUGGUCAUCUGUGUGGUUCUCGUUUGUCGUCAUUAGUUCGUCGAGGUCUUCUGGGGUUUGUCUCAUGAGAUGCCUCUUUAGAGUGUCAGGGUUGUCGUCUUGGCAAGCAGAUUCAGUUACCAUAUCCACAUAGUGAGUCAGUGUCUAAGCGUCCUUUUGAUUUAGUUCAUUCCGAUGUAUGGGGUCCGGCUCCCUUCGCUUCGAAAGGGAGUCACAAAUACUAUAUUAUUUUCAUAGAUGACUUCUCUCGUUACACAUGGCUUUAUUUCAUGACUUCUCGUAGUGAGGUGUUGUCCAUUUAUAAGCGUUUUGCUGCCAUGGUUCAUACUCAGUUCUCUUCUCCCAUUCGUGUGUUCCGUGCUGACUCCGUUGGCGAGUAUAUCUCUAAGAUGUUGCGUGGUGUUCUUGCUGAGCAAGGGACACUCUCUCAAUUCUCUUGUCCUGGUGCUCACGCUCAGAAUGGCGUGGCUGAGCGCAAGCAUCGUCAUCUUCUUGAGACGGCUCGUGCAUUGAUGAUUGCUGCCUCUCUCCCGCCUCAUUUUUGGGCUGAGGCCGUCUCCACCUCCACCUAUCUCAUCAAUUUCCAGCCUUCCGCUGCUCUUCAGGGUGGUGUUCCUUUCAAGCGUCUUUUUUAUCGUUCUCCCGAUUAUUCGAUGCUUCGCUUGUUUGGUUGUGUUUGCUAUGUUCUUGCCCCCCGCGAACGCACCAAACUGUCUGCUCAGUCUGUUGAGUGUGUCUUCUUAGGCUAUAGUGAUGAGCAUAAGGGCUAUCGUCGUUGGGAUCCUAUCGUUCGUCGGAUGCGUAUCUCUCGGGAUUUGACUUUUGAUGAGUCUCGUCCCUUCUACCCACGCCCAUCUUCCUCGACUUUUUCAGUGGAGGAUAUCUCUUUCCUCACUUUUUCUGACACACCUAUCACACCAGUCGAGCCUUUGUCUAUUCGUUCAGCUCCCUCUGCUUCUCCACCUCCAGUCGAUUUGUCGCCACCAUCUUCCACGGUCUCCUCGUCUAGCAUAUCACCGGAUUCUACACCUUCAUCUCCGGUGACUUCUUCGUCGCCACUCCCCGAUUCUAUCUUGGCGAUUCCUCCUUCCAUUGUUCCAUCUUUUCCUCAGUGUUACACUCGUCGUUCACGUUCUGUGGAUGCCUCUGUGGAUGUGUCGUCAUCCUCGUCUCAGCCUACUUAUGGCUUGCGUUCUCGUCCUCGUCCGCCUGUUGAUCGCUUUGGAUUUUUCACUGCUGGUGCUGCUGUUCUUGAGCCGACUACUUAUCAUCAGGCUGUUAUUCAUCCUGAAUGGCAGUUUGCGAUGGCCGAGGAGAUUGCUGCUCUUGAACGCACUGGUACGUGGGAUCUUGUUUCCCUUCCUCCCGGAGUCCGUCCCAUCACUUGUAAGUGGGUCUACAAGGUUAAGACUCGCUCCGAUGGUUCUCUUGAGCGUCACAAAGCUUGUCUUGUGGGUCGUGGUUUUCAGCAGGAGCAUGGUCGUGAUUAUGACGAGACUUUUGCUCCUGUGGCUCAUAUGACCAUUGUUCGUACACUUCUUGGCGUGGCCUCCACACGCCACUAGUCUAUCUCUCAGCUUGAUGUUAAGAAUGCUUUUCUUAAUUGUGAGUUGCGUGAGGAGGUGUAUAUGCAGCCACCACCUGGGUAUUCCGUUCCUGAUGGCAUGGUAUGUCGUCUUCGUUGCUCUCUCUAUGGCCUUAAGCAAGCCCCCCGUGCCUGGUUUGAGCGUUUUGCCUCUGUGGUGACUGCCGCUGGUUUUCACCCAGUGUUCAUGAUCCAACAUUGUUCAUUCACCUUUCUUCUCGUGGUCGGACUCUUCUUCUUCUCUAUGUUGAUGACAUGGUCAUCACUGGGGAUGACCCCGAGUAUAUUGCCUUUGUCAAGGCCCGCCUUAGUGAGCAGUUCCUUAUGUCCGAUCUUGGAUCUCUUCGCUACUUUCUUGGGAUUGAAGUCUCUUCUACCUCUGAUGGCUUCUUUAUAUCCCAGGAAAAGUAUAUCCAGGAUCUUCUUGCUCGUGCUGCUCUUACUGAUGAGCGCGUUGUUGAGACUCCUAUGGAACUCAAUGUUUACCUCUCUGCUACUGAUGGUGAUCCCCUGCCUGACCCGAUGCGUUAUCGUCAUCUUGUUGGCAGUCUUGUUUAUCUAGUUGUCACUCGUCCGGAUAUCUCUUAUCCGGUUCAUAUUCUGAGUCGGUUUGUUUCUGCUCCCACAUCGGUUCACUAUAGUCAUCUCCUCCGUGUUCUCCGAUAUCUUCGGGGCACGAUCUCUCACCGUCUAUUCUUUCCUCGCUCCAGUUCUUUACAACUUCAGGCCUAUUCGGAUGCUAUGUGGGCUAGUGAUCCUUCAGAUCGCCGUUCACUUUCUGCUUACUGUGUUUUUCUUGGUGGUUCUCUCAUUGCCUGAAAGAUGAAGAAACAAAUUGCAGUUUCCCGUUCGAGUGCAGAGGCAGAGUUGCGAGCGAUGGCUCUUUUGACGGCAGAGGUGACUUGGUUACGGUGGUUACUUCAAGAUUUUGGUGUUUCUGUCACUACACCGACUCUGCUCUUAUCUGACAGUACAAGUGCUAUCAGCAUUGCGCGCGAUCCUGUGAAGCAUGAGCUCACCAAGCAUAUUGGUGUUGAUGCUUUCUAUGUGCGCGCUGCUGUGCAGGAUCAGGUUGUUGCUCUUCAGUAUGUGCCUUCCGAGUUACAGUUGGCGGAUUUCCUGACAAAGGCCCAGACUAGAGCACAACAUGGCUUUUAUCUCUCCAAACUCAGUGUUGUUCAUCCACCAUGAGUUUGAGGGGGGUGUUAGAGUUAUAAUAUAAGUCAUGUACCCUUUUGUAUUUAUCCCAAUAUAUAAGGGGUUUCCUGCAUAUAGUCCAUCACCUGUACAUGUAUAUAUACCGGCCUAUGGCCUCAUGGGAAUACAAGUUGCUUAUUCCUAACAGCUUCGAGUGGCUUGGAGAGCAGGGCCGGCGGCUUCGAGCGGGGCCUCCAGAGCGGGGCCAGCGGCGUCGAUCUACACGAUCGGGGAGGACAAGAGCAGUCGGUUGACCGACUGCUGGGAUGGGGUAGAAGAAAAAGCAGCAGUGGCGCCACGACGGAUCAAUCGCACGAGUUGCAGCGUGCAAAAAAUUGACCUAGCUCUAAUACCAUGUUAGGAAAUAUGCAACUUGUAUUCCCAUGAGGUCAUAGGCCGGUACAUAUACAUGUACGGGUGUGGAAUAUAUGCAGGAAACCCCUUAUACAAUGGGAUAAGUACGAAAGGGUACAUGGCUAUGUUAUAUAUACUCUAACAUUAAUGACCCUCUCCUUAAACGCUUGAGCUACCUCCGCCUUGAGCUUUCACCACUUCGUUCUAGCGACUUUGGCACGCUUGUCCUGCUGGACACGAAUCCGAAAGCGGAAGUCAGCAACCACAAGCUUAUGCUGAGGGACAACACUCUCUCCAGGUAUCACCUUAGAGUCUAGGCAUCCACGCCUGUCUUCUCUUCUCGAGAGGAUGGAAUCAAUCUGGCUAGAAUGUUAUCCACUACUGUAAGUCAUUAGAUGUGAUUCUCUCUUCUUAAAGAGGGUAUUAGCUACGAUCAUGUCGUAGGCUAGCGCAAAGCUUAAGACGUUUUCUCCUUCUUGAUUCCUGAUGCCAUAGCCAAAUCCCCCAUGCACCCCUUCAAAACUUGUGUUAGAUGUGUUAGAGUUAUAAUAUAAGUCAUGUACCCUUUUGUAUUUAUCCCAAUAUAUAAGGGGUUUCCUGCAUAUAGUCCAUCACCUGUACAUGUAUAUAUACCGGCCUAUGGCCUCAUGGGAAUACAAGUUGCAUAUUCCUAACAUGGUAUUAGAGCUAGGUCAAUUUUCUGCAUGCUGCAACUCGUGCGAUUGAUCCGUCUCUGUCCCGAUCGAAGCUGGUCCUCGAUCUCCUCCUCCCUCCUCCGGUCGAAGCUGCUGGUUCUCGCAGCCGCAGCCAGCCCCGAUCCCAGCAGCCCCGACUCCUCCCGUCGAAGCUACUGUUGGAUCUGGCAUCGAAGGUCCCGCCAGCCCCGAUCCCAGCGGCGACACCGGCUCCCGUGGCCCCGUUCCCAGGCGACGAAGAAGCCGCUGUUGGAUUUGGCAUCGAAGGCCCCGUCAGCCCCGAUCCUAGCGGCUCCCGUGGCCCCGUUACCAGGCGGCUCUCGAUCUGAUCCCGAUCGGAUCCAGUGGCACCCGAUCCCAGCGACGACUUCCCGAUCCGGACUCCACCCGCGCGACUCCACCUGUCGCGACUUGCUCUCUGUUCCCGAUCCGGAUUCCAUCCGCAGGCUUCUUCAAAAUCGACGGCUCCCCUCGAGAUCCCUCCUGAUUUCGUCGCCCCUUGCUGCUAAAUUCGCCGGAUCCAGCGCUGCUCUCGUCCUCCAGUUGCAGCGCCCGCCAGCCGCCCGAUUUGAUCCGGCUCGACUUGCUAUUCUCCGCUAAAAAAAAUGUCUGCUGCAUCUGGCUAUGUUGUCGUCCCUCGCUGUUCAGUGAUCUUCGAUGGCACUAACUACACCGAGUUCACUGGCUUUAUGCGCAUUCACAUGCGUGGCAUCCAUCUCUGGGGAGUUCUCUCUGGCGAGGUCUGUUGUCCGCCACGCCCGGUUCCUCCUGUGGCUCCCACUCCGCCGACCCCACCGGCUCUUCCUGCGGAUGCUCCUCAGACCGCAAAGGAUGCGGCUAAGCUUGAUUAUGAGGUCGCUAUCCGUGCUUAUGAUGAGAAGGCUUUGGCUUAUGAGGAGGCUCUUCAGACGUAUCAUGGUGCUCUGUCUGCUUACACCCAGUGGCUUGAUGAUGAUGCCCGUGCUGCAGCUGUUCUCACUGCUAGCGUUCUGCCUCAGUUUGCAUCUGAGUUUCUGGGCCUUUCUACUGUGUUUGAGAUGUGGACUCGCCUUCGUCAGCGCUAUGAGCCCUCGGGUGAUGCCUUAUACCUCUCUAUGGUCCGUCGGGAGCUUUCUCUUCAGCAGGGUGACUCUACUGUUGAUGACUUCUAUGCACAGAGUUCUGCUAUUUGGCGCCAGCUUGAUUCUCUCCGCAGUGCUGGUUGUCGCACUUGCCCCUGUUGCCAGGCUGUCCAGGCCGACUUGGAGUUUCAUUGUGUCUAUGAGUUCCUGUCUCGGCUCCGUAAGGAGUUUGAGCCCCGGCGUGCCCAGUUGUUUGCUCGUGGCCGUAUUUCUCUCAUGGAGGCGCUUUCUGAGAUUCGUGCUGAGGAGACUCGCUUACGUGGUGCUGGUUUGCUGGAGGUUCCCUCGGUGCUCGCUGCUCGGACUUUGUCUACGCCACCUGCUGCACCGACCCCUUCUCUCGCUCGAGUGCUCCGUCGCUCUUGCCCACUCCUUCUGGAGGCUCAGGUCGCCCCCAUCCACAUUGUGACUACUGCAACAAUGAUGGUCAUAUUGAGUCCCACUGCUGCACGAAGAAGAAACACUUGCGCAAGGCGCGAUCAUCAUCUACAGCGGCUUUGUCAUCUACCUCAACAGCUUCAGCCAUCGCUUUGACUGAGGAGGAUAUUCUGAGACUUAAGCGUCUGCUCGCUGCUUCAGGUUCUUCCUCGACGGGUACUGCUGGUUCUGUGACUGAGGCUUCCCGCACUGAGCAACCACCUUCUUCAUAGUCAGGUACAUCCCCAUGGGUUUUGGACUCUGGAGCUUCUUUUCAUAUGACUUCUAAUUCUUCCACUGUGUCCUCCCUUCGAUCGCUUGAUUCUCCUGUUCAUGUCCUCACCGUUGAUGGUACUCCCCUUCCUGUCGUUAGUAGAGGCACUCUUACCACUCCUUAUUCUGUUCCUGAUGUUGCUCAUGUUCCUCACUCCAGUUCUUUACAGCUUCAGGCCUAUUCGGAUGCUACGUGGGCGAGUGAUCCUUUAGAUCGCCGUUCCCUUUCUGCUUACUGUGUUUUUCUUGGUGGUUCUCUCAUUGCCUGGAAGAUGAAGAAACAGAUUGCAGUUUCCCGUUCGAGUGCAGAGGCUGAGUUGCGAGCGAUGGCUCUUUUGACGGCAGAGGUGACUUGGUUAUGGUGGUUACUUUAGGAUUUUGGCGGAUUUCCUGACAAAGGCCCAGACUAGAGCACAACAUGGCUUUUAUCUCUCCAAACUCAGUGUUGUUCAUCCACCAUGAGUUUGAGGGGGGGGGAGUGUUAGAGUUAUAAUAUAAGUCAUGUACCUUUUUGUAUUUAUCCCAAUAUAUAAGGGGUUUCCUGCAUAUAGCCCAUCACUUGUACAUGUAUAUAUACCGGCCUAUGGCCUCAUGGGAAUACAAGUUGCAUAUUCCUAACAAGAUGUGCCUACAUGGCCAUUGAGGUCUCCUCCUAUAAAGAGCCUCUCGCCAAUCGGUACACUCCUAACCAUGUCCUGCAAGCCUUCCUAGAACUCCCCCUUGGUGUUCUCAUUGUGGCCUACUUGCGGGGCAUACGCGCUGAUAACAUUGAGAACUAAGUCCCCAACUACCAGCUUGACCAGGAUAAUCCGGUCCCCACGUCUCUUGACAUCUACCACUCCAUACUUGAGGCUCUUGCUGAUCAAGAUGUCUACUUCAUUCCUGUUUGCAACCGUCCCCGUGUACCACAGCUUGAAGCCGGUAUCCUCCACCUCCUUCGCCUUUCGUUCCCUCCAAUUGUUCUCUUGGACGCAAAGGAUAUCAAUGCCUCUCCUCGCCGCUGUAUCAACUACCUCCCGAAGCUUACCUGUCAGAGACCCUACGUUCGAGCUAUCUAAGCGAAUCCUCCUAGGCUACCCUACGUACUAAAUUGAGCAAGGGUAAUAAAUGGCAAGGGGUGUCCAGGGUGAAACACAAUACAUCACUAGUUGGAUUAUUAAGAAUUGGGAAGAAAAAUGUACCGGAAACCACCACCAAAGUAGCAAAAAGGCGAUUGUCAGCAUUACUGCACCUCCCACUACACCGAGCACAAUCCAAAGAGUCUUGUGCCCUCCUGUAUGUAGUUGACACAUUAUCCAAGGAAAAGAAUAUUGUUAGGAAAGCAACUUAUCUGUAUUGAAGGCCCAAGGGGCAUAUAUAUAUUACACAUGACUUGAGGUGCAAGGAAAGUAAACAUAGACUAAUAAGGACUCCUAGACUAAUAUUAAUAGACUAAUAAGGACUCCUAGACUAAUACUAAUACUUCCUAACACCCCCCUCAAAUGCAAAGCGUAUGCAAUAGCAUUGCAUUUGAAGAAGUGUAAUACUAAAAAACAAUGAUAAUCCAAAUCCCCGUCUUGAGAGUGUCGUCGUAGCAUGAAGAGUCUUCAAAACUUGUCGAGUCGUCGAAGUAGAGAACAAAGAGAUGGCACAUCAUAGGUAGACACCGCAUCACUUGAAGAUACAAGAUAAGUAUCAAGCGAAGAUGGGUUGUCAAAAGAAGAUGGCACAUCAAGAGGAAGACACCGAAGAGAUGGCACAUCAGAGGAAGACACCGCAUCACUUGAAGAUACAACAUAAGUAUCAAGAAAAGAUGGGUUGUCAAAAGAAGAUGGCACAUCAAGAGAAUAGAAUUGUUAGGAAAGCAACUUAUGUGUAUUGAAGGUCCAACGGGCAUAUAUAUAUUACACAUGACUUGAGAUGCAAGGAAAGUAAACAUAGACUAAUAAGGACUCCUAGACUAAUACUAAUAGACUAAUAAGGACUCCUAGACUAAUACUAAUACUUCCUAACACCCCCCCUCAAAUGCAAAGCGUAUGCAAUAGCAUUGCAUUUGAAGAAGUGUAAUACUAAAAAAAAUUGAUAAUUCAAAUCCGCGUCUUGAGAGUGUCGUCGUAGCAUGAAGAGUCUUCAAAACUUGUCGAGUCACCGAAGGAGAUAACGAAGAGAUGGCACAUCAGAGGUAGACACCGCAUUACUUGAAGAUACAAGAUAAGUAUCAAGAGAAGAUGGGUUGUCAAAAGAAGAUGGCACAUCAAGAGGAAGACACCGAAGAGAUGGCACAUCAGAGGAAGACACCGAUCACUUGAAGAUACAACAUAAGUAUCAAGAGAAGAUGGGUUGUCAAAAUAAGAUGGCACAUCAAGAGAAUAAAGCAUUGCGCGGAAAAUCAUAGUCCACGACAACUGUCGGCGAAAGAAGCUCGGCGGAUAAGGCACGAUGGACGUAGAUCGACAAUGCAAAAGAAGGCCAGAAAAUCCUAUAGAAAACAACAAGGGCAAAUAGGCCACAAAAGUUGCUUAGAAAGGAUCGGGACCGGAGAAAAGGCCGACGAACAAAGGUAUGGUGGACUCGCAUGACGUGAUAACACAAAACAUCGACUAGAAAGCUAGAAGCAUGACAUGACAAAGGUAGCCGGAUUUGAUGGACGCAGCCGAAAAAUAUAGAAAGCUAGAAGCAUAGAAUAAACUCAAGACUAGAUGCAAUAGCAGCGUAAAAAAAAUCAGAGACCAAAACAGAGUAGAGCAGGCCAAGCGAUGGUAAACGGCCAUGGGGAGCACGAGAUGCAGCACACAGCCGGCCAUGUAGAAAGGCAGCAGCUAAUCGAACGCAUUACCACGCAGCAAGAUUGCAAACAGCGCAUGCAAGAAGCAGCAGCAGACAAGCAUGCAGGAACAGAGCAGCAGCCAGCCAGGAGGAGCACAUGCAGGUGGAGCAGCACCACGUAGCAGCAGGAACUGCAUCCCAUGCCGAAGGUAGAUGCAUGAGCAGUCACGNNNNNNNNNNNNNNNNNNNNNNNNNNNNNNNNNNNNNNNNNNNNNNNNNNNNNNNNNNNNNNNNNNNNNNNNNNNNNNNNNNNNNNNNNNNNNNNNNNNNNNNNNNNNNNNNNNNNNNNNNNNNNNNNNNNNNNNNNNNNNNNNNNNNNNNNNNNNNNNNNNNNNNNNNNNNNNNNNNNNNNNNNNNNNNNNNNNNNNNNNNNNNNNNNNNNNNNNNNNNNNNNNNNNNNNNNNNNNNNNNNNNNNNNNNNNNNNNNNNNNNNNNNNNNNNNNNNNNNNNNNNNNNNNNNNNNNNNNNNNNNNNNNNNNNNNNNNNNNNNNNNNNNNNNNNNNNNNNNNNNNNNNNNNNNNNNNNNNNNNNNNNNNNNNNNNNNNNNNNNNNNNNNNNNNNNNNNNNNNNNNNNNNNNNNNNNNNNNNNNNNNNNNNNNNNNNNNNNNNNNNNNNNNNNNNNNNNNNNNNNNNNNNNNNNNNNNNNNNNNNNNNNNNNNNNNNNNNNNNNNNNNNNNNNNNNNNNNNNNNNNNNNNNNNNNNNNNNNNNNNNNNNNNNNNNNNNNNNNNNNNNNNNNNNNNNNNNNNNNNNNNNNNNNNNNNNNNNNNNNNNNNNNNNNNNNNNNNNNNNNNNNNNNNNNNNNNNNNNNNNNNNNNNNNNNNNNNNNNNNNNNNNNNNNNNNNNNNNNNNNNNNNNNNNNNNNNNNNNNNNNNNNNNNNNNNNNNNNNNNNNNNNNNNNNNNNNNNNNNNNNNNNNNNNNNNNNNNNNNNNNNNNNNNNNNNNNNNNNNNNNNNNNNNNNNNNNNNNNNNNNNNNNNNNNNNNNNNNNNNNNNNNNNNNNNNNNNNNNNNNNNNNNNNNNNNNNNNNNNNNNNNNNNNNNNNNNNNNNNNNNNNNNNNNNNNNNNNNNNNNNNNNNNNNNNNNNNNNNNNNNNNNNNNNNNNNNNNNNNNNNNNNNNNNNNNNNNNNNNNNNNNNNNNNNNNNNNNNNNNNNNNNNNNNNNNNNNNNNNNNNNNNNNNNNNNNNNNNNNNNNNNNNNNNNNNNNNNNNNNNNNNNNNNNNNNNNNNNNNNNNNNNNNNNNNNNNNNNNNNNNNNNNNNNNNNNNNNNNNNNNNNNNNNNNNNNNNNNNNNNNNNNNNNNNNNNNNNNNNNNNNNNNNNNNNNNNNNNNNNNNNNNNNNNNNNNNNNNNNNNNNNNNNNNNNNNNNNNNNNNNNNNNNNNNNNNNNNNNNNNNNNNNNNNNNNNNNNNNNNNNNNNNNNNNNNNNNNNNNNNNNNNNNNNNNNNNNNNNNNNNNNNNNNNNNNNNNNNNNNNNNNNNNGACGAGAUCCAGCGGCUGGAGCAGGAACGGGAAAAAAAGUUGGAUCGUGAGGACGAGUUGCGACGUCCGGAGACCUAAACCUAGGCUCUGAUACCAUGUUAGGAAAGCAACUUAUCUGUAUUGAAGGCCUAAGGGGCAUAUAUAUAUAUUACACAUGACUUGAGGUGCAAGGAAAGUAAACAUAGACUAAUAAGGACUCCUAGACUAAUACUAAUAGACUAAUAAGGACUCCUAGACUAAUAUUAAUACUUCCUAACAAAUAUGACCAACAGAAGAAGCAUUCAAUUCUGCAUCUCAUGGUAACUCACCUUUCGUAGCCUUGAAGAACUGAUAAGGCUCCAACCGGUAACUGCACAAUAGGGUAGCCUUUCGCUCACCCAUUUGCCCACCACUCAGGUUUGGUGUAGUGGUCAGAUCUUCCAAACAGGCCUGACACUCAGCAGCUGAAAUUCCAGGUAAACAGUCAGCAUAACUGUACAGUUUGUAUUUGCAGGCACGCUCAUCACGAUCCUUUUCUCCCGUGGCAUGCCUUUGAGGAGAAUCUGCUGCCUUUCUUGCCACGUCUGCAAUAAGUGUACUGGCAUCCUUCUUGAAUGCCUUGCAGUAGGCAGGUAUUGGGGGACCAUCCGCCAUAAGGUCUGACUUCCAAUAUCCAAGAUGAAUUUUGAUGUUCUUCUCAGCGAACCAGAGACUGCACGUGUCAUAGUAGAUAGAAACACUCUUCCUGAAUGUGCAUACAACCCGGGCGUCCUGGAAGGCCCGAGUGAGACAUCUCUCGCAGUCAUACGCCUCUGUGUCACCAUGACAUCUUGCCAGAGCAUGUAUUCUGUCCUGGCUGGAACCAGCUAUCUGCCUGUAAAACAAAGUGGGGGAAGAGGCGACCGCCUCGGGCAGCGUGGUGGACAGUUUUUCAAGGUUCUGCUGGUAUUUGCUGGGCGCAGUGUAGUUGCCAUCGUCACAGAGAUAAUCCCAAUAGCCAGUCAUCGGGCUUGCUGCUGUGACAGUGGUAAGAAGAACCAGUGCAACCAUGACGGCAUGACCUGAAAAAGAUAGAUGAGUACCAAGUUAGUGACAUAUGAAAAGUGAUGCAGUUCAAGAAGCACAAACAUGAACUCAACAAAUUUAGCUAGUAAUCUUGUGAAAAUGAGAUUUUCAGUCAUUCCCUUAUGCUGCUUUCUCAGUUUUAUUCAAAUAGAUUCUAAAUGAUCUAGUUAAACUGGCAGUUUCCACAAUAUUCAGUUCAGUGAACAACAUGAUCACACUACAUAUAACUCCACUCUUCCAGAAACAAUAUUCUUGGCUAUUUAAGAGGCAAUAAUAAUAAUAAUAUUCUUCCAAAGUGAGUCCUAAUUCAGUUUUCCAACGAUGCAAAUUCUACAACUAAGCUUGCAUUCUGCAGUAUCUGCUUUGCUCUGCUCAAGUUGAGGACUGCUUUUGAAGACUGCAACUGAUGUGGUUGUGUUAGUUCAUCUGUGUUGUGUGAAUGCAUAAUGGCUGAAGAAUGUUUUGUCUGAAGAAUGUUCAUCUGUAGCAAGGAAAUAAUUAAAUGUUUUGGCUGCAUGGUAAAUUGCAUGCAGAAUGUGACUUGUGUCAUGAAAUUGUAUCCAGAGUAGCAACUGGCCGUUUUGGAGAGCAAAAAUGAAUGAAAAACAGGGAGGAUGCUGCAGAACAGAAACAGAGGUGGGCUGGAAAUGCAUGCUGCUGCCUGUGCAUGUGCGUUAUUCAGUGUUAGUGCAUGCAGAACUCUCCAACUGGGACUUGGAUGACCAGAAGACAGACUCUGAAGGUAUAAAUGGUGCUGCAGUAGGUUGCAUUCUGCUCCCUCUGUACCAUAAUAAUUAUAGUUGGGGAGAACUAUAAUUAUUAUGGUACAGAGGAAAUACAAGUUUCAGUAUCUGCACAGCAUAUAGGAGAACAUAGACAACCUUCACAACUUUGUUUAUUCGCAAUGCCUGUAAUUUUCCGAGCAAUUCGUCAUGUGCUAACAAUUUUCCCAACCAUUUGUUCUGUUUAAUCAAAUGGCUUCUUUUCCUUACUAAUUACAUAUUGUUAUUUUAUAUGGUAUUCUGGAACUCGAGGAAUUUUACUAUGGUCACUUUAGACAACAAACUAUAUGAUUAUCCAUGCAUGCUUUCUACUAUGAUACUUAAACUACAGAAUACAGGGUGGUCUUGCUCACCUCUAUACAUUUGCGUCCCCAUUUUUUCCCUGCCCUGGUUCACAACCCUGCCUUAGUUCCCAGCCUUCGCCAAAGAUCUGUCUGCAAUUAAACAAUGUUAUAAAAUGAGUCAAAUAAAACUCUCUGAUACCAUGUGAUAAAAAAAUUAAUCAAAAUGAUAAUAAAAGACAACUCCUUUUGCACAAAUACAGUAAUAAAUUAAAGUUGGCUGUUUACCCUGUUGUGUGCGUUAGUGGGCCUAUCUGUUAUGCUAACCAUUUUCAGAGGUACCAAUUAUAUCAAAUUGAUACCAUGUGAUAAAAAUUUGUAUCAAAUUGAUAAUAAAAGACAACUGCUUUCCUCUAUAAUUACUAUUUUGUUCUAAAAAGUGAGGUCUUAGAGCUCUUUUACAAGUAUACCAAUGGAGACAUUCCUUUCUGGUUGACAAGUGUCUAUGCCUUUUUAUUAUUAGCAACUUCUUUCUUUUAUCAUUUCAAACAUUUGCAGUGCCAACCAUUUCAAUCAGACAACUCAUGCUUUAUUUGUGUUAAAGCAUAAACGUGCACAAGGAGUUUGAGCUCACUUGUCCGUACACUCCUGUGCAGCCUAUGUCCACCUCCUUCACCAGCUCCACCGAAAAAUCUAUCUGCAAAUACAUAUAGGAAAAUCAAACAAACUAAAACAUCAAAGUCUAACUUCAACCAGCCAAUUUGAUUGAGGGAAUCAUUUUCGCAUGAUACAUUUCUGUGCUUCCUCAUUUCAAUUCAAUUCAAUUGGUGGAGUUGCUGAUAUAAACCAGACUUGAUUUGACGACCAAACAAGCUUAUGAUAAUAUGUAAAUAAUUCUUGUAUUAAGAGAAAUCAUGCUUGUUAGGAAUCAAGGGGAAAGCUAGUACACCUUCAUAAGUUGCUAACACACACAUCACCGUAGAAACCUCAGAAGGUCACAGAAAUCAUUAAAAAUAAUGACAGAACUAUGAGCCUAAAAUGCAAGACAUUUCAGUAUGCGGAUUAACCCACACUUCGAAAAAUGAAAGAGAAAAGGCCAUGUUGUAAAUAGUAGCAAUUUCAAGUUCUCAUGUGAAUAGUGACUUUGGUUGUUAUUCAUAGUAGGAUAUAUGCAUUAUUGUUUUUUAAGGUGGGAACAGAAUCCAGAUUUACAAAUGAUAGAUACAUCUUUUUGUCAAUAUUAGCAUUUUUCCUAGAAACAAAUCAUGAGUUUUUGGGGUGCUACCAUGCAUGCGUUUUGAGCAUUGUAGCACCUUAAGCACUAAGAGCGGCAAGUACCUUUUCAAGAUAGCUUUGGAGUCAUUUAGUGCCAAUUUUGUAGAAAGUGGGAGAACAGGAAACAAGUUUGGUUUUGAACCCCUUAUAAGCCAUACAAAAAAAUAUUACAAGGAAAACUUGUAUAGCAUUGGUUAGCUAGAAAUUUUGGCUCUACAUAUAUAACAUCAGAACUCUACUCNGUCCUUUUUCCUUGCCAAUAUCCAGACGUGUUACGGAAGUGUACUGAGGACAGGGUUUGGCUAAGCAUGUAUGUGUUCUCUAGUUUAUGAGCUAGUCGAACAGCACCGAGAGCGUUUCUCGGAGUAAACUCCCAUGUGAGCAUGUGGAAAAACAUUUGGCACUUGACAACAAUUAGUCAAGCUAGCUCACCACUACUGGUCUGCAGCUAGUGUAUGCCCCUCCCCCAUGGUGACCUUUCUUGGAGAAGAAUCGGUACCUGUGAAAUCAUUUUAAAUCAGUGAAGCAAAUACUUAGAUCUUAACAAAAAUGUACUGUAUUUCGUAUGAAAACAAGCUUUCUCGGAGACACAAAUAUGACUUCUAUCAGCAAGGGAAAUCUUGUCUGAAUACUACAGCUUUCAUGGCCCUUUUCCUGCUCUGUUUCUUGUUCUGAUCCUGCCCGCUUGGGCAUGUAAAUAACUUUGUUCCUGCCUUUUUAAUACAACAAGACGCAAAGCUUUUGCGCUUUCUCAAAAAUUAAAACACUACAGUUUUCAUGCCAUCAAUGCCAAGAAAAACUGCAAUCAUGGUGUCUAGUCAUUUAUUUAGCAGUAUAUAUAGAUUAUAAUAAUUAGGUAAUAGUGGUAGCAUCUGAGGGACUAUUAGGACACCUUUAGGAAUUUCACGAACUUCGCUGGAACAAGGGGAAAGACGAUAGAAUGAAAAAGAAACUUGCUUGGAGGCCCAGUUUGCCAAAAUAAAAUGGCACACUCGAAGAUAGGUUUAUCUACUUAAUUUCAGUAUGAGCUAUGAGCCUAGCAUGAAAGAAAUUUCAGUAUCCAAAUUUAACCCGUACUUUGGAAAACAAAAGAGAAAUGGCCAUGUUGUAGACAGUAGCACUUUCAAGUUCUCAUGUGAUUGGUGACUUUCUCUAUUAUUCAUAGCAGGGUAUGUAGUUUUGUAAGGUGUGAGUACAAUUUAACUUUAUGCAUGAAAGAUGCAUCAUCUAUCAAUAUUGUCAAUUUUUCCAAAAACAAAUUAUAAAUUUUCAAGGUAUUCAGGACAGGGUUUAGCUAAGAGGGUGUUUGGAUCACUAGAGACUAGAGACUAGAGACUAGUAGUAGUCACCUUUAGUCAGUAAACCUCCAAACACCCCUGACUAAUGGGUGACUAAAACUAGUUUAGUCCCUAGUCACCCCACCCCCAACUAAAAGUGACUAAAGUCUCUUCUCCAAUUAAUGGCUCAUCCUCCCAUGCUGGCACGCCAAUGGAAGGGAGAUAAAUGAGAAUAAUUUAAUACAGAGACAUUUAAUGCUGACUAGUAGUAGUCACCUUCCAAACAGGGCCUGACUAAAAACUUCUAGUCUGACUACUACUAGUCACAUGACUAGAGAGUAUCCAAACACCCUCUAAGCAUUUCCCCCUGCAUUUUGGUCACUACGUGUUAUGUAGUUUGUGAAUAGUCAAAACAGCACCGAAAGCGUUCCUCAGAAUAAACACCCAUGUGAGGAAAAACAUUUAGCGCUUGAGAACCAUUAGUCAAGCUAGCUCACCACUACUGGUCUGCAGCUAGUGUAUGUGGACCGGAUACCCUUGUUGGAGAAGAAUCAGUACCUGCAAAAUCAUAUUAAAUUAGUGGACCGGACACUUUGAUCUUUAAUAGGGAGAGCUAAAGAGCAAAAAUUUGAGGAGGCCAAAUUUCAUGCUCAUUUGUCUGAUAUUUAUCCUUUCAAUUUAAUGUGCAAGCUCACAAUAGCAAAAUAUGUACUCCUAUUUGAUGAGCAAACAAGCUUUCUCGGAGACACAAAUAUGGCCUCUAUGAGCAAUAGAAUCAUGUCUGAAUGCUACUACAGUUUUCAUGCCAUUGAUCCUAACUAUCAAGAAAAAACCCGCAAUCAUGGCCAGUCAUUCACUUGGCAGUAUAUAUAGCUUAUAUAGUAACUAUGUAACAGUACCAGCAUUUGAAAUACUACUAGGACAAUUUUAGGACUUUCACUGGGAUAGGAGAAAAGGCGAUAUAAUGGAAAAGAAAACUUGCUCGGAGGCCCAGUUUGUCAUACUAAAAUGUACUCGCUCUGUAAACUAAUAUAAAAGCGUUUAGAUCACUACUUUACGGAGGGAGUAACACUCAAAUAUGGCCAGUCAUUUUCCAUCACAGUAUCAUAUAGAAGUAUAGAACACAAAAGAUCGUUUUCCUUUACUGAGUUCUUCUUCUGGUAUCUUGCUUUUGGUUCAUAUGUGGCAUAAGAAUGGCAGCCACAAUCGAACACACCAGGUCAUCCCACUAUUCUCCAUGGACUCCACAUUAUUGGUUCCAGACUCCUAGUAAGUAAAAUCGCUCACCACAUGUUCACGACAAAUUAAAGACAAAAGCAAUAUUGACACAAAACUGAUUGUGUAUCCUGCAUCCUUAAAGAGAAGCGAUCCCAUAAAUAAAUUAUUGGAACCUGGGUUAUGAUAUAUAUGAAUAUAGGACCAUGGAACCACAAACACUGAUAACACUGAACAAGGAUAAAUAAAACUAGUGACACAAGACCAUUUUUCAAGGGCUAAUAUAGGGUAGACAUUCAAGUUAGUUUGCUUCUUUUAUAUAUAAGGAAAGAACUUACUCUCGCGUCAUGUGCCGAUACACACACACAAUAAAUUUAAAACAUGAGAAUAAAAUUACAAUAGAAAUGUAGCCAAAAAGAUGUAUAUUUAUUCAAUAAGGUUCUGAUGAGGGUUUUUUUCUAAACGGAUGAGGUGCGAUGGAAGAUUUUGUUGAGUAGAAAUGUAAGUUAACACUUAUAAUACAAAAAAAAUACCAAAUAAAAGUCCAAGUCAUUAUGCAUAUGCAUCGUAUUAUUUUAGUUGAAUAUUUGUAAAUAUUGAAUUAUCACGACCGGUUCAACUUCAAAAACAAAUAGCAUAUUUACAAAGUUAACACCAAACAAUACCACGACAUUUGGUACGGCGGUAGAUAUUUUAUUUCACAUACCGCUUAGGUAACAGACUACAAGCAGAAGAAAGAUUACACGAGACUAUCAAAUAAAUUUGAGACCCCUGCUUAACUAACCAUUUAAUUGGAUCAUUGGCGAUGUUAUCGUCACUAGUCCAGAGCAAUAGUGGCAGCUCACCUGCAGCAGCUGCUAACGAGCUGGCUUAAAUGCGGCCAACUAAAUAGACAAGCCUUGUUUUUAUUUUUUUGCAUAUAUAGAACUAAAAACUAAUUUUGAACAAUAUAUACAAUAAUAAUUCAUAUGUUAUAAAAUAGAAAAUGUUUGUAUAUUAGGAAAGAUGUUCAUGUUAUUAAUUUUGUGUUUUUAUAGAAAAUGCUUCAUGUUAUUUGAAAAAAGUAGGAAAAAGGAAGACGAAAAGAGAAACAAAAAUAGAAUUGAAGGAAAAAUAACAUAUUGCUCUGGCCCCCACCGGUCAUGUCACUCAUGAGGCCACGGAGUUUACACCCACAAGAUAUAAAUAAUAUUUUCCCUUUUGCAUACAUUUAUCAUUAAACAAUUAUGGCAUUAAGAAGGGAUCGUGGCUUGAUUGUAUGGUUUACGAUUCAAAAUAUUGUCAAUAUUUGAUUUAGCAACUUAGAUUUACCUAAACAGUUAUUAGAAAAUAAUCACAGAUAUAGCCUAAUUGCCAUACAUGUGCACGAAUUACGACGUGUUCUUGUUCCUCUAGAAAUGACUCAUAUUUUUGAAAGAGUAAGAACUAACAUGUGUAUACUUGCUAGAAUGGCGAGAUGGAUUUUUUAUUUACUUAUUUUCUGAAAUAUUUGAAUCCUUGAGAACAGAAUCAGCACGCAUAAAUAUGACAUACGGAAAUUAAAGAACACAUUUUUUUGAGAUAAAUUAUUGAAGAAGAAAUAAGAGAAGUAAAAUACACGGAGCAAAAAUCUGUAGGAUUGAAUGAGAUUGGCCCUCUAGGCAGCUUCCAACACAUUGGCUCAUGGAGGAGUUCUUGGGCGUCACGCUUCUUGCCAUUGCCUAGGAUCGGCCCUGCCUCACACUUUUUGGCCUUUUUGCCAUGGCCUGGGGUCGGCCCCGCCUCACACUUUUUGGCCUUUUUGCCAUGGGCUAGGGUAGGCCCUGCCUCACACUUUUCGGCCUUUUUGCCAUGGCCUAGGGUCGGCCCUGCCUCACACUUUUCGGCCUUUUUGCCAUGGCCUAGGGUCGGCCCUGCUUCAGACACUUUCUGGCCUUUUUGCCAUGGCCUAGGGUCGGCCCUGCUUCAGACACCAGAUGUAGCAUCAUUCGUUCAAGUGCAGCAUCUAUAUACCUCUAAAUGGAGUAUAAAUAAUUACAUCUCUUGUUCUUUUGCCAAGAAUGGGCAAACAUCACCACCAGGCAUCAGUAAAUAAAAACAAAAUUAAAAUACAACAUAUAGCAUUGUGGGCUCCUCUACCUCGUCUCUUCUUCUUUUGCCAAGAACGGGCAAACACCAUGGAUGGGUGCACUCAUGACUUGGGUGUCUCUUCUUCUUUUGCCAAGAACGGGCAAACGCCAUGGGUGGGUGUAGUCAGCAUGAUUGGAUGGGCGCAUGAACGCCCAUUGGAUGGGCGCAUGAACGCCCAUCCCAAACAGCUUGCUCUCAAGAGGCAUCCUUCAUGGCAGCUGGCUGGACCAUGGCGAAAGGUGCGGCGGCCUAGGACCCAUCCAUAGGAUUGAGUGGAGGCUGCUGGCUGCUGUCACAGCAUGCCGAAGCACCAGCAUCGCCAUUGGACAUUAUAUUGAUGAUGACUUGCCUGCAAUUUAGGAAGGCAAAGUUUCUGAACUAGCAAACAGAGAAAAAACUAAAGCUUGAGAUCCAACUUGCACACCUUGCUGGUAGUGCUAGUGAUGGUAAAGUCCAACCCAUCAGCCCUUCAGAACCCUGUAAGUAAGGGCUGCUUAUGGGCAGCCUAGGGCCCAGUGGCGGAGCUAUGUGCAAUGCUGAGGGGGCCACUGCCCCCUUGCUGGUAGUGUAGUGAUGGUAAAGUUCAACCCAUCAGCCCUUCAGAACCCUGUAAGAGGGCUGCCUAUGGGGCCAGGGCGAUAAGUGUGACAGCCUAGGGGCCAGUGGCAGAGCUAUGUGCAAUGCUGAGGGGGCCGCUGCCCCCCCCCCCCUGGUGGAGCAUGGCUGAAGAAUCUUCAUCAAGUUCCGCCACUGAGUGGUGGAGCAUGACUGAACAAUCUUCAUCAAGUUCCGCCACUGAGUGGUGGAGCAUGACUGAACAAUCUUCUUCAAGUUCUGCCACUGAGUGGUGGAGCAUGACUGAACAAUCUUCUUCAAGUUCUGCCACUGAGUGGUGGAGCAUGACUGAACAAUCUUCAUCAAGUUCCGCCACUGAGUUGUGGUGCAUGACUGAACAUUAAUUGCCUGAAGUGAGAACAAUGAAACUUGAGGCUCUUUGUUGUGGAGGAGAUCGUCAACGACGUUGUCGCGAUCCAUUGCAUGCAUCCACCACACAGGCUCAAGAAAGCCGCCAUGUUAUUUGCAGAAGCAGAUCGAUGUGAGAACCGGAGCCUCACAUGUGCUUGUUGAUCCCUAAUUUUGGAUCUUGGUUUUUAAUUCUGCUUGGUUUGUUUGAAACUACAGGUGUUGUGCCCGGGAUUGACUUCCGCGAACUUAGACCUGAAGACUAAAAGAUUGAUGUGGUAAGAUGACAUUCAAUUUGUUUAGUGAUGUACUUGUUUGUUCUCUUUAUUUGUGUCUUCCUCUUGUAGAUGUGAUCGUUGUUGUGAUGAAGAUAUUUUCUUUUUGAAAAGAUAGGAGUGUCUGUGAUUUUUUGUUGAUGUCUUUCGGUUUCGAGUAUGGUUCUUGUAGCCUAGGAGUGAUAAUACUCGCAGGGAAUGGGAAACAGACAUGUAGUGUACAUGUUUUAAAUUAUGAAAUAGUUUCAUUAAAACUAAUCUAUGACAGUGUUUGGUUCAGGUUGCUUCAAAAACUUCUAGAGUAUGAAACAUUAUUGGGGUUCUGCAUUUCUUGAGGACAUUUAAAUGUUUCUUGAAGGAAAUGGACUACAAAGGAAUAUUUUAACUUGUUUCUUUUCUUCUGGCAGAUUCUAACUUGCUUUAACAUAAGAUUCAUGCCCAUUAUUAAAGGGACAUUCUUAUAAUGCGAUGUGAAACUAUGUGUUUUCUUGUAAAGUUAUCAUGUGGCCUUUUUAGAGUUUGGAUGAAGGGGAAUAAAAUUCAUAUCAAUUUGCAGGUUUUAACAGUUAUAAAAUAUAAUUAAUAUAUUAUUGGUAAAACCAGUGCUUAAAUUUAUUCAAGAAAAACAAGCGGUCAUGGAAAUAGGGAUGGAGGAGUAACAUGCUUUUCCAUUGUAAAAAGGACAACUCUUCAUCCCCAAGAGAAUAUUCUUCUAUUCAUAGUACUGGACGGAAACCUUUGCUGAAGGCCAUAGGAAGGUAGCUUUUUCAACAAUAAGGUCAAUCGCGGUAGCGAAAAGGGGAGGGCGGAGGGAAUGCGGGCGUGUUUUGUUAGGACCCCGAUAACGCACGAACGUUCGGGAUUUGACGAUGGCAAAUCAAAUGUUUUCAAUGGCAAUUUUAGUGACGCGAGCAUUGUAACUCCGUGCUCAGUGUAUUUUUUGCCAGAAAAUUGCCGUGUGUGUCAACUAAACUUGCCAUCCUCGCAUCACUAAAACUGCCAUCGAAAAAGUUCGAUUUGUGAUGGUCAAAUCCUGAACGUUUGGGAUUUAUCAUUUCCACUUUGUUAACAUGCUGAUGGAAAUGGGUAGUGUGGAAACAUAUAACUUAUUCUUGGGGACUAUCUGUACUAUAUUUCUCCUUGAUAUGUUACUUUGGGACUGAAGGUUUAUGUUAGGGUUUGGAGACAGUGCCAACUAAGGUAUGCAACUAUGACAGGGUAAAACAUUUUUUACUUCCAAGAUGAUAUCAACUGAAAUAUUUCUGUGGGCUGAAAACAGACAGGAAAAGGGGGGAACCUGACAGGGAAAGUAUUUCCUAUCGGUCGCCCGUCAGGAAAAGACGACAGGGAUAGCUUGACAGGGAAAUUCGCUUUUGCCUGUCAGUCGGGCUUAUUGAAGAGUAAAUGACAAAGGCAUGCUAACUUAUAGCAAUCAAACCAGCAAUGCUUCCACCCGUAUUGAAGAGUAAAUGCUUUGGAAUCACUCAUGCAUUCGUGGCAUGCUAGCUUGCCAUGGGUACCCCACCCAGCAAACAUACCAAAGGCGGGAAAGUCGUGGACUGACCAUAGAAAUGCCUCUUUCAUUGGAAAGUUUACCUUGUGAUAAGUAUCCCAUGUUUCAAGCCCCGCCCACAACUGCAUCAGUUCAUCAGCUAAAGGUUGCAUUAGGACACUCAAAUUUUUACCAGGAUGUUCACGACCAGGCAUAACAAGGCUAAGGAAUAAAUACUCUGGUUUCAAGAGAAUACCAGGUGGAAGGUUUAAUGGAGCUACAAAAACAGGCCAGCAAGUAUAUGUACCAUCAUUCAACUUGUAUGGUGUAAAACCAUCACCAGCUAUGACAAGACGGAUAUUUCUACAAUCUUCGGCAAAUUCUGGGAAGUCCUUGUCAAACCCUUGACAAGCUUCACCAUCAAUAGGGUGCCUUUAGGGGGGGGGGGGGUAUCUCAAGAUUUCACCACUUCAUGUGGGCCUUUAUUAACGAAAAAGGCUUUCGCCCCGCUUUAUAUAUAAAGCAACUAUCAACAACAACCCGGACAAAUGCACGCCACCACAACACACGCACACACCCAAUGCAGGAUACAUAAGCGCUGAGCACAGCAACACCACCCCUAGCACUACAAGAGCAACCAGGGGUUUCAACCGUGAACACGCCAUCACGAAGAAAUGACCCGAUCUGAGGAUCAGAAUUUUCCCUGGAGCAACACGAAAGGCAAUGAGAGCCGCAACGACGCCUUCAAGAAGGGAACGAGCUUCGCCGCCGCCAAUCCGUCCGCGGCCAACACUCACCGCCAUCGAACGCCACACCCCGGCUACCAUGCCGCCCACAUGGCCAUGGCCAUCGGGCUGCACCAAGCCACUAGCUUUGCCCAUGAGCACCGGGCUACCACCACCAGGCCGCUUCCCUAGCAUCCAAGACCUUGACACCACCUCACCCGAGACCCGCCGCCACCCCAACCAAAGAGACGAGCGGAAAGGUCCUGCCUUUCGCACCCCUGGGCGGCCCCAGCACCAAGACCCAAUAGGCUGGCCAAAACUGGCCUCCAUCGACCCAUCCUGCAGCACCGGGCACAAGACGAGCUCGGUCUUGUUGCAUCGGGCGCGAGACAAGGUCAGACAUGCAACAGCGAGACGAGGUCGGUCUUGUAGUACNNNNNNNNNNNNNNNNNNNNNNNNNNNNNNNNNNNNNNNNNNNNNNNNNNNNNNNNNNNNNNNNNNNNNNNNNNNNNNNNNNNNNNNNNNNNNNNNNNNNNNNNNNNNNNNNNNNNNNNNNNNNNNNNNNNNNNNNNNNNNNNNNNNNNNNNNNNNNNNNNNNNNNNNNNNNNNNNNNNNNNNNNNNNNNNNNNNNNNNNNNNNNNNNNNNNNNNNNNNNNNNNNNNNNNNNNNNNNNNNNNNNNNNNNNNNNNNNNNNNNNNNNNNNNNNNNNNNNNNNNNNNNNNNNNNNNNNNNNNNNNNNNNNNNNNNNNNNNNNNNNNNNNNNNNNNNNNNNNNNNNNNNNNNNNNNNNNNNNNNNNNNNNNNNNNNNNNNNNNNNNNNNNNNNNNNNNNNNNNNNNNNNNNNNNNNNNNNNNNNNNNNNNNNNNNNNNNNNNNNNNNNNNNNNNNNNNNNNNNNNNNNNNNNNNNNNNNNNNNNNNNNNNNNNNNNNNNNNNNNNNNNNNNNNNNNNNNNNNNNNNNNNNNNNNNNNNNNNNNNNNNNNNNNNNNNNNNNNNNNNNNNNNNNNNNNNNNNNNNNNNNNNNNNNNNNNNNNNNNNNNNNNNNNNNNNNNNNNNNNNNNNNNNNNNNNNNNNNNNNNNNNNNNNNNNNNNNNNNNNNNNNNNNNNNNNNNNNNNNNNNNNNNNNNNNNNNNNNNNNNNNNNNNNNNNNNNNNNNNNNNNNNNNNNNNNNNNNNNNNNNNNNNNNNNNNNNNNNNNNNNNNNNNNNNNNNNNNNNNNNNNNNNNNNNNNNNNNNNNNNNNNNNNNNNNNNNNNNNNNNNNNNNNNNNNNNNNNNNNNNNNNNNNNNNNNNNNNNNNNNNNNNNNNNNNNNNNNNNNNNNNNNNNNNNNNNNNNNNNNNNNNNNNNNNNNNNNNNNNNNNNNNNNNNNNNNNNNNNNNNNNNNNNNNNNNNNNNNNNNNNNNNNNNNNNNNNNNNNNNNNNNNNNNNNNNNNNNNNNNNNNNNNNNNNNNNNNNNNNNNNNNNNNNNNNNNNNNNNNNNNNNNNNNNNNNNNNNNNNNNNNNNNNNNNNNNNNNNNNNNNNNNNNNNNNNNNNNNNNNNNNNNNNNNNNNNNNNNNNNNNNNNNNNNNNNNNNNNNNNNNNNNNNNNNNNNNNNNNNNNNNNNNNNNNNNNNNNNNNNNNNNNNNNNNNNNNNNNNNNNNNNNNNNNNNNNNNNNNNNNNNNNNNNNNNNNNNNNNNNNNNNNNNNNNNNNNNNNNNNNNNNNNNNNNNNNNNNNNNNNNNNNNNNNNNNNNNNNNNNNNNNNNNNNNNNNNNNNNNNNNNNNNNNNNNNNNNNNNNNNNNNNNNNNNNNNNNNNNNNNNNNNNNNNNNNNNNNNNNNNNNNNNNCUCCUAAGGCUGCGUUUGGAACGUUGUUUUUUGCUACCUUUAUAACAUUUUACACUUCUAUUACACUGGCCUACAACCAAAAUACAUGUCAAGGAAUGUAUUUGCAUUCCGCUUCCCAACCUCCGCUUGAAUUGUUGUUUUUCUCCCACCCUUGUAAACUGGCUGCCAUAGCCAAAAAUUUCAAAAGUACAAACUUUCAACAACAGCAAAAUUUCAGCAACACACAGUGCACUUUUAACAACAUACCCAGAUGCUCAGGACUCGUACGAUACUGCAAAGGAUCUCAACCACAUCCAACCAUACCCAGAUGCUCCCCAAAACACAAACAAAGAGAAGCUCAGUCUGCGUUAAGAUUUGCAUAUACAUAUGGACUGAAAAUCCAAAAAACGCAAGGCUUGGCAGCCAGGGAAGCGAUUUGACGAAAAUUAAGGGCAGCACUUCAGCUCCACAAGUUUACUGAAUCGCAUCACGACUGAAAGCGUGCAACAAUCAUAUCAAGUUCAUGAUGUUCGAGGCAAAAAUCUAUCAUCACACCAUAAAAGAGUUAUAUUUCAAGGUUUAUCCGAUAUCAUGGAAACUCUAAACAUCCUCUUCUCCUGCAUUAAAGCAGCUGAUGACUUCCUGACUGUUCGAAUUCACUCGUGCAGGGUGCCCACAAUGUCGUCCUCUCUGUAAAGGAGGUACCUGAAAAAUUUUAGGUGCAUUAGAAGUAGAUUAAUGAUUAUGAAAACAAAGCUGGGAGAGUGCAGUGCUGCUUAAGUAGAUUAAUGAUUAUGAAAGGUGCCCAGGUGUUUUCAGGUGCCCAGAAUUCACUCAUGCAGGGUGCCCAAGGCUGCAAUUUGCUGCUCUAACUACAUCAAAAUAAAAGUAGAUUAAUGAUUAUGAAAGGUCUACAAACUACAGUGAUGCUUAAGUUAAGCCAGUAUCCUUUUCUGGUAUGUGACAAAGGUUAAGUUAAGCUGGGAAAGGAGCAAAUACAAUAGCUUGUUUUGGAGCUACCAUAUCCAUCAAACAAAACAUGGAAACUCUACCCAUAUCCAUAUGUUCUCGUUUAUGUGAGCAUUUUUUUCCCUGAAGGAGUACAUGCACGUUGUGAUUUCCUUCUCGUUUCUUAUGUUUUUUUAUUAUUCUGAAGGAGAUCAACUUGUACAUGAUGCACACAGCCUGAUCUGGCAGCCAACAAUAAUAAAUCUUCUGCUACUAUCAGAUUGUUAGGAGAUGAAGUGCACCAAACUUAUCUGCCAGUUGCCAGUACUGCAUCUAGUAUUUAGGUCAGAUGUAGAUUCAGUAUAAACUAAAAGGAGUUUGGGCAAGAUCUGGUGAGGCUUUUCCACACCAUAUUGAUUAACAUAACUGACCACCCAACUAGACUAUGAAUCCUCGAUUCGUUGAAAAAAGAAAAUCAGGAUUCACAAUCAAACCAACAAGAGAAGAACAAGAGACUCUCUAUAUUUAACCCUCUCUAUAUUUUUCCUUUAUAUACAGAACCGAACUUUAAUUUCCCCGACUCAUGUACGAGUAGCAACUAAACGCAUUCCACUGUGGAUUGAGCUGUGCUAGUUACAGAACAGUGUUGCCACUUGUGCUUAUAGGUGGAAUAUCAUAGAGACAGGGCAGGAAUAUAUGUUGCUGCUUAAUUUAAUUUAAUUUAGCAUCAGAUUCUGGAGAUCAAUUUUGCAUCUUAAUUUAAUUUAGCAUCAGAUUCUGCGCUUCUAGUGAGGCUUUUUAUCUGCAUGUUUUCACGUCCAGCUGAACAACUGAUCUUGAUCAAUGAUAAGCACCCACCUCUACCAAAAAGUAAAGUAACACCUAUUUUCUUCCGCAUCAUCCAGAUUUGGAGCUAGUGAGAUGUUGUAAUGAAUCUUUGAGAGGAGAGGGAGCAAGAACAAUACCUAUGAUCAAAGCACCAGAUUGAUUGAAGGAAUAUCGCCAGGUGAAAACCGAGCUGCAAAGGAAUACUCGCUGAAAUAAGCCUUGGAAACUUAUCUUUAGUGGGGAGAAUAAAUGCAGAAAACCAAGUUUUAUGGGACUUACAAGUAGGAGGCUGAGGACUGAUCUUGUCGACUUCCUUCUUUAACCACAUACCCCGCAGUCUUGAGUUGUAACCGAGGAAAAUCUCACAGUUUGCUGCAUCUUUGAAAACAUCAGAGGCAAAGAUUUUCACCUCGUCGGGCACAUCUUCCAUAUCAUUCAAGAUUUCCAAGCAUUCUGUAAUUGAGGGUUGUUUUCCUUGUUGUGACACUCUCUCCUUCUUAGUAGCUUGCUCUUUCUUGAAAUUCACAUACGCCAUCAUUGAAUCUUCAAGGCGUUGUACAGAUGUGGCACUUUUCUGUUUUUUGGGUCUCCUUCCUUUAGCACUUGAUUCACUUAUUUGUGGAUGGUCUCCAUCAGCAUCUUCACUGCCAAAUUCUUCCUCGUCACGGGCAGUGUUUUCUCUUUCAGCAUCUCCAUCAACAUCAUCCCAUGCAGGAAUAUCAUUGAUGUCAAUUAUCGAAGGAGUCCUCAUGCUGUCAUCGCUUUGAUCUCUUGUAUUUCUCUUGCUGGAACUGGCAACCAUCUUCUCCUUUGCUCCAAAGUUGCUACCUGAUUUUGUGAUAGUCGGAGGCUUCCUUGAUGUGAGACAAUGCCUUCCUUGAGCAAUGUGCCCUUCAUAGAGCACACCCAAUGCCUCAUACAAGGGGAACCUUUUUUCCUUCAUACAUUUUGAGCUUUGAAUCCUCCUAUAUAAUCAAUAGAAAGGUUGAGCAAAUCAUGCAUAGGCAAAGGAAAGUACAUGCACUACAAGGAAUAAAAACUUACCGCAAUGAUCUCCUCCCAUUUUUCAGGUGUUGUGUUAAUCACACAUGCAACAUCAUUCCACGAUAUUCCAGAACGGUUGACUAUGGACUUGAUAUUUUUGUAGUGCUUCUUCAGUUGAGCUUCCUUAUCCUGGACCUGAUCCUUGGUAAAUCUUGCCUCUGGAUAUAAAUUGUUCAAUUCUUUAACAACUUGAUUCCAUCCUUCAGUAGUCCACCCAUUUUGGCCACGAUAAUGAGAUAGAUUGUACUCUGUAAGUAUCUCGACAAGACCUUUCUCAUAUCUUGCUGUCCACUUAGCCCUAUUUUGCGUCAUAUUGAACCUAUGACAAUGUAACUUUAGCAAUAAAUCAACAUCAAGCAACAUAACUCAAACAUUAAGAAAUAUNNNNNNNNNNNNNNNNNNNNNNNNNNNNNNNNNNNNNNNNNNNNNNNNNNNNNNNNNNNNNNNNNNNNNNNNNNNNNNNNNNNNNNNNNNNNNNNNNNNNUCGGCGGCGCGGCGGCCGGCGAAGGCGGCGAGACUGAGACUCGUCUCCCUCGGAGGACAUCCCGCACCCCUCUGGUCUCUCUCUCUCUGCUCCGAGGGAGGGCCACCCCAUCCGGACCCCCGGGGGGGGGGGGGUCCGGGACCGGCCGGCGGCUGGCCUCAGUUACUUCCGGCGGAUAGGUGAGGACCGCGCCGCUCGCUCUCCUCCUUUUUCCCUGCCUUCUCGCUUUAGCCCCCUUCAUUCACUCUGUGGCGCGCAUGAAUUACGUCUUAUCUUACUCUGUGGCGGAUAGGUGUGGACCGCGCCGCUCGCUUUAGCCCCCUUCAUUCACCGUAUUACAUGAAUUACGUCUUAUCUUACUCUAGAUAAGGAGGAAGAACAGAAAAUUUGGUCACCACUUUUAUGUAUUACACACACAAAAGGGCACAACUGUCGUAUAGGCAAAGCAAAAGGGCUUUAGAUAUCGGAUGGAUAAAUAACUUGCCAUGUGUGGAGAAACAAAGAAUCCAUACAGAUCCAACUCAAUUAUGUAGUAUUACUAUUACACACACAAAAGGGCUUUAGUUUAUUUACUUGUACUUUCUCGCUUCUCGUUUAGAUUCUCAGGGUUUUCUGUUGGGUUGCAUGCAUCUCCAGCCUCUAUCCCAACUUGCUUGGAACAUAAGGCUUUGUUGNNNNNNNNNNNNNNNNNNNNNNNNNNNNNNNNNNNNNNNNNNNNNNNNNNNNNNNNNNNNNNNNNNNNNNNNNNNNNNNNNNNNNNNNNNNNNNNNNNNNAGAGCUGGAUGAGGCGGACAGAGAGGCAGCCACUCGGCCCGUUCUAGAGACGUGAGGCCGGCGUUGACCAUAGACAAGAUCCAAGCCGCCUCGAGCUGGAGCCCGAUCUGGCGGCGGACAGCAGCAAAAUUGGCGGCCCCGUGGUGCGCGAAAGUCGCGGGCUUGUUCGGGAGCGAGCAGGAGGACGCCGACGAGGGGGAUUGCAGAGCCAGCGCUGAUCUGCGCGAGGAUGAUGCGGCCCGAGUUCCUGAGCGCCCUUUGCGGCGUGAGCGCCGCCUUCAUCUCCGCGGCCGACGGCACGUUGAAGGCCGCGUCGAGGAGGUCGAGGAACGGAUGCGACGCGUCGGUGUCGUCACCGGCGGCCGCGCCCGCCGCGGGGGACGCGCGACGCGGGUGAGGGGAGGGCCGAGGAGGGGGCACGGUGCCGCGGCGGGGGUUUCUGUCUCCGUCGCCAUGGCUGCUGCUGCGCGGGGGACGGGCGCGCGGCGCGGAUGAGGGGAGGCCGAGGCUGGAGGCAGCGGCGGCUGGAGGCGGAGAAGAGCCCAGGACGAGCCGCCCCUGCUCAGAUCGAGCAGCAGAACGAGCUGCCCCUGCUCAGAUCGAGAGGAGAUCGAGCAGGACGAGGCGGCGGCAGAAGAUUGGGACGAGGCAGGGGCUGGCACGAGGAGGAGCCGUUGCCUGACGGGAACAGGAAAAAAAAUUGGAUCGUGAGGACGAGUUGCGGCGUCCAGAGACCUAAACCUAGGCUCUAAUACCAUGUUAGGAAAGCAACUUAUCUGUAUUGAAGGCCCAAGGAGCAUAUAUAUAUUACACAUGACUUGCGGUGCAAGGAAAGUAAACAUAGACUAAUAAGGACUCCUAGACUAAUACUAAUAGACUAAUAAGGACUCCUAGACUAAUACUAAUACUUCCUAACAAAAACUUGUGCAGAAAAUCAUAGUCCUCGACAACCGUCGGCAAAAGAAGCUCGACGGAUAAGGCACGAUGGACGUAGAUCGACAAUGCAAAAGAAGUCUAGAAAAUCCUAUAGAAAACAGCAAGGGCAAAUAGGCCACAAAAGUUGCAUAGAAAGGAUCAGGACCAAAGAAAAGGCCGACGGACUAAGGUAUGGUGGACUCGCAUGGCAUGAGAAAACACAAAAUAUCAACGAAUUUGGUGGACGCAGCGGGAAAAAAAAGCUAAAAGCUAGGAAGCAUACACGACACAAAGAUGCAAAAUCCAUCGUGUAUGCAGAAGACAUUGUACUUUUUUUACGAGAUCUGACAGAACCCGAAGCAGACGAGAUCCAGCCUGACGAGCACCAGCAACGGAUGAGGGCAGCAGCCGGUAGCAGCAGGUAGUAGCACGCCAGCAACAUGUAGCAGCACACCAAAUACCCCAAUAUCAAAAAAGGUCCCAGCAACUCGAGCGCGUUGACUCCAUCCAGAGUUGAAUCUGAGUUUACUUCGCGAGAUUUGAUUCAACCAAUCGAGAUGGCGCAGGCGAUCGAGGCUCAGAGGGAGGGCGUGGAGGUGUACCACGGCGCGGCGCUGUGUGCGGAGAAGGCGGUGGAGCUGCUGGCCGAGACCAACAUGCCGCUGGGCCUGCUGUCGCUGGCGGACAUGGAGGAGGUGGACUAGAACCGCGCCACCGACUUCGUCUGGCUGCGCCAGAAGAAAGCACUCGCGCACACCUUCAAGCAGAUCGGGCGGCAGGUCUCGUACGCCACCGAGGUGACGGCCUUCGUCGAGGACCGCAAGAUGGCGGCUGGGGGCGCGAGAUCUAGAUGAGGCUGGGGGCGCGAGAUCCAGAUGAGGCGGCGGCGGCUGGAGGCGGCGGCCGCCGGCCGAGGCGAAUAUGGCGGCCGCGGCGCGCCAGGAGGCGCAGACGGCGCGGAAGCUGCGGAGCAGCNNNNNNNNNNNNNNNNNNNNNNNNNNNNNNNNNNNNNNNNNNNNNNNNNNNNNNNNNNNNNNNNNNNNNNNNNNNNNNNNNNNNNNNNNNNNNNNNNNNNCCUGCCCACCGCCCCCCCCCCNUAUAUAGGCGAAAGAUCUAGGUCAGGGGGGCGCCAGGGAGGCCACAAGCCUGCCCCACCGCCCCCCCCCCCCCCGUGGCGAAUGGGGGGCUUGUGGGCUCCCUGUAGCCCUCCUGGAUUGGCCCACAAGCCCCCUGAUCUUCUUUCAUUCGGGAAAAAUCAUUUCGGGGAUUUUAUUCCGUUUGGACUCCGUUCCAAAAUCAGAACUGAAAAGAGCCAAAAACACAGAAAAAACAGGAACUGGCACUUGGCACUCAAUUAAUAAGUUAGUCCCCAAAAAGAUAUAAAAGGUACAUAAAACAUCCAAAGAUGACAAGAUAAUAGCAUGAAACCAUCAAAAAAUUAUAGAUACGUUUGAGACGUAUCAGACACGGCCUACCCCCGUGGUCGCGGGGUGGGGGCUUGUGGGCCCCUGAGGCUCCCCUGCCUUGGCUCCCAAGCUUCCUCAUCUUCUUCCAUUAUGAAAAAAAUCUUUUCGGGGAUUUUCUUCCCUUUGGACUCCGAUUUAAAAUCUCCUCUGAAAGGGGUCAAAAACAUGGAAAAACAGGAACUGGCACUUGGCACUGAGUCAAUAAGUUAGUCCCAAAAAAUAUAUAAAAGGCAUGCAAAACAUCCAAAGUUUGACAAGAUAAUAGCAUGAAACCAUCUAAAAUUAUAGAUACGUUGGAGACGUAUGAAGCAUCCCCAAGCUUAACUCUUACUCGUCCUCGAGUAGGGAAGUGAUAAAGAAUGAAUUUUUGAUGUGGAAUGCUACCUAGCAUAGUUGUCCUUUGCAACUUCUUUCACGUGACAUGAAUGUUCAGAUCCGUAAGAUUCAAAACAAUAGUUUGCUAUUAAAAUGAAAACAAUAAUACUUCAAGCAAACUAGCAAGGUAAUCAUGAACUUUCAAAUAACAAGGCCAAGGAAAGUUAUCCCUACAAAAUCAUAUAGUCUGGCUAUGCUCCAUCAUCCUCACACAACUAAUGUAAAUCAUGCACAACCCCGGUAUUGGCCAAUUAAUUGUUUUCGCACUCUUACUUUCUCAAACUUUUUAUAACUAUCACGCAAUACAUGAGCAUGAGCCAUGGAUAUAGCACUAUAAGUGGAAUAGAGUGUGGUGGUGGUUGUGAGACAAAAAGGAGGAGAUGGUCACAUUGACUCGGCAUAUCAAAGGACUAUGGAGAUGCCCAUUAAUAGAUAUCAAUGUGAAUGAGUAGGGAUUGCCAUACAAGAGAUGCACUAGAGCUAUAAGUAUGUGAAAGCUCAAAAGGAAAAUUAGUGGGUGUGCAUCCAACUUGCUUGCUCACGAAGACCUAGGGCAAUUUUGAGGAAGCCCAUCAUUGGAAUAUACAAGCCAAGUUCUAUAAUGAAGAUUCCCACUAGCAUAUGGUCGUGAAGAACAUGGUGCUAUUAUGUAGCACAAGUGUGGAAAAAAGAUAGUAGCAUUGUCCCUUCUCUCUUUUUCUCUCUUUUCUCUUUUUUUCAUUUGGGCUCUUAGGCCUCUUUUUUUCUCUCUUUUUUAUUUUUGGGCUCUUUGGCCUCUCUUUUUUUAUUUCCUCACAUGGGACAAUGCUCUAAUAAUGAUGAUCAUCACACUUUUAUUUACUCACAGCUCAAAAUAAUGAUGACUCUAAAGGAAAUGCCUCCAGAAGUAUACCAGGAUGUGCAACAAUCUAGCAUGGCGUAUGACGUUGAAAACAUCUCGCUAGCUAUCUUACGGUCAUGCAAUGGCAAUAUGAGAGUGACGGCACAAGUCAUGAGAAGGAACGGUGGGAGUUGCAUGGCAAUAUAUCUCGGAAUGACUAUGAAAAUGCCAUAGUAGGUAGGUAUGGUGGCUGUUUUGAGGAAGGCAUAUGGUGGGUUUGUGUACCGGCGAGAACUGCGCGGCACUAAAGAGGCUAGCAAUGGUGGAAGGUGGAAGUGCAUCUAUACCAUGGACUCACAUUAGUCAUGAAGAACGCACAUACUUGUUGCGAAAGUUUUUAUUAGUAAUCGAAACAAAGUGCUAAACGCAUACUCCGAGGGGAAGGGUUGGUAGGUGUUAACCAUCGCGCGAUCCCGACCUCAACACAAAGGAUGACAAUCAAUAGAUCAAUUAUGCUCCGACUUCCUAACAUAGCAGUUCACCAUACGUGCAUGCUACGGGAAUCACUAACUUCAACACAAGUAUCUCUAGAUUCACAACACCCUACUAACAUAUCUCUCAAUAUUACCGAAUCCACGUCUCAAAACUAAUUGAGAGGAAUCAAAACUUCUCUUUCUACUCAAUGCACAUGAAGAUGGAGGUUUUUGCAUCCUCUUUGGGUACCUAUCACAUUUGGGACUACUUUCAUAGCAUAAGCCAAACUUUACAAAACUCGACGCAACCCCGUCGCUCUAAAAAGAUANAAGUGAAGCACUAGAGCAAAAGUAUCUAGCUCWAAAAGAUAUAAGUGAAGCACUAUGAGCAUUCUAGCAAAAUCAUGAUGAGUGCAUGUCUCUCUCUCUCAAAUAGGUGUGCAGCAAGGAUGAUUGUGACACAACAAAAAUAAAAGACUCCUACGAUACAAGACGCUCCAAACAAAACACAUAUCAUGUGGUGAAUAAAAAUAUAGCUCCAAGUAAUGUUACUGAUGGAUUGAAGACGAAAGAGGGGAUGCCUUCCCGGGGCAUCCCCAAGCUUAGGCUUUUUUGUGUCCUUGAAUUUGGCUUUGGAUGCCUUGGGCAUCCCCAAACUUGAGAUCUUUCCACUCCUUAUCUCAUCUUCCAUGAGAACAUCACCCAAAACUUGAAAACUUCACAACACAAAACUUAAACAGAAACUCGUGAUAACGUUAGUACAAGAAAACAAACUACCACUUCUUUUGGUACUGUAGCAAACUUGAAUUCCAUCUAUAUUGGUGUUGGUCUACUGUAUUCUCACUUUUCCAUGGCUAGUACUCCCCCCCCCCAAUACUAACCAUAGUUUCAUCAAACAAGCAACCAACUCAACAAAAACAGAAUUUGUCAAAAACAGACCAGUCUGUAGCAAUCUGUAUACUUCGUGUACUUCUCGUACCUCAAAAUAUCUGAAAAAUUACGACUGACUGGGCAAAAAGCAUAUCAACCAGCAGCAAAAAAAUCAACUCAAAAGCUCUUUCUGAAUAAAAAUGAAAAAUCAUCUCGUGAGCGAAAAGUUUCUGUCUUUUUCCAGCACGAUCAAACAACCGUCACCAAGACUAGUCAUAAAGGUUUUGCUUGGCUCAAACACAAAAAGAACACACAAAACAGANNNNNNNNNNNNNNNNNNNNNNNNNNNNNNNNNNNNNNNNNNNNNNNNNNNNNNNNNNNNNNNNNNNNNNNNNNNNNNNNNNNNNNNNNNNNNNNNNNNNGGGGGCAGYGGCCCCCUCAGCAUUGCACAUAGCUCCGCCACUGGCCCCUAGCCUGUCACACUUAUCGCCCUGGCCCCAUAGGCAGCCCUCUUACAGGGUUCUGAAGGGCUGAUGGGUUGAACUUUACCAGUCGACUACACUACCAGCAAGGGGGGCAGUGGCCCCCUCAGCAUUGCACAUAGCUCCGCCACUGGGCCCUAGGCUGCCCAUAAGCAGCCCUUACUUACAGGGUUCUGAAGGGCUGAUGGGUUGGACUUUACCAUCACUAGCACUACCAGCAAGGUGUGCAAGUUGGAUCUCAAGCUUUAGUUUUUUCUCUGUUUGCUAGUUCAGAAACUUUGCCUUCCUAAAUUGCAGGCAAGUCAUCAUCAAUAUAAUGUCCAAUGGCGAUGCUGGUGCUUCGGCAUGCUGUGACAGCAGCCAGCAGCCUCCACUCAAUCCUAUGGAUGGGUCCUAGGCCGCCGCACCUUUCGCCAUGGUCCAGCCAGCUGCCAUGAAGGAUGCCUCUUGAGAGCAAGCUGUUUGGGNNNNN